This 102374-nucleotide long non-coding RNA is filed under the name Citrus x clementina. RNAcentral describes it as "Citrus clementina (C. clementina) long non-coding RNA (CCLE_LNC004536)". Lineage: Eukaryota; Viridiplantae; Streptophyta; Magnoliopsida; Sapindales; Rutaceae. The record is from RNAcentral.
GCUGGCUCAGUUCUCUACCCAGAUCACACCCAUGUGAAUCUUCAAUUAAUGAACAUUGUAUUUUAAGAAUAAAUUUUUAUUAAAAUAAGAUGUCCAAAGUAUAUCUUAGGGUACAAAUUAAUGGCCUCACCCAUCUUUAAAUAGCUUGAAGCUUCAAAGUCAAAGUAGAAGAAAGAAAACACAUUAUUUAUUUAUUAAUUACUAUCCUCGUGCGCAUUUGUAAAAGAUAUUGAUAGUAUAAAACUAACUAAUAUUAUUCUUUCUUCAAAAUUAUGAGAUUGUUACGAGUAGCCACGCAAACAUGAGAACGUAGCCACCGAAAAGUUUGGAUCUGAAUAUUGCCCCGAGAAAAAACAUGCAGUUUGGAUCUGAAUGGCACUGACUUAUGAGGAAAAGUCAUUUCUGAAACUCAUGUCCUUGCCUUAUUCGCUUUAGAGGUGAUACAAAGCUGACCUUCACGAUUACUGCUUCAGUGAUUCAGUGACCAAAUCACAAUUUCCAUUGUGGUUUAAGACUCGAAAUGAACAGAAGAAAUACAAAUCUGAAUCACAAAGCUUUCGGUAAGUGUAAAACACAAACACACAUGAUUGAGAUAAACGCAUAAGAAAAUAAUGAGAUAGAAAUUAAUUAGAGUGUCGGACUUACAGAAGAAAAUAGGAUAUGAGGAAAGAAGGAACGUUGAUUUGGUCUCUCCAAAUUCUCAUCCUACUUGAUUCCAGUUGCUUUUCAUCGUAUCGGCCAACGCUUCCAAAAGUUCCACCCGUGCAGGCCUUAUCAAAUUUCGUAAAUCUGGUGCAGUCCACUUCACUAGUGGCAGCAAAUUUGAGAGUUUUGGGUUUGGUCCGGACGGGAUUUGCAUACACUGGAGUCACCCCACAACACUUCAACUUGUAACGUUUGCUUUUAUGGUCAACCUCCAGACGAGAGCCAUCAUGGUCAAGAUAGUAAAGGGCGAACUCCAAUUUGACAGGAGUAUGGUGGUCGCCAUCAGGAAGCCCAAUACUCCAACAGGGAUCGAAUCCAAGCAUUAGAUGAUCUGAGUCAACAGUAUCGUACAUAACCAACCAGCAAUCGUGAUUAACAAGUUUUUUUUCCAAACGGUAUCUACACACGACUUGGAAAUAUUGGGCGCUACUGGCUUCAGGAUCUUUCUCAAAGACAAUAACAGCACAAAGAGCAAAUCCUACGAAGUCUUUAUUACAACGCUGUGGCAGUUGAAUAGUUAUCGAAGAUCCUGAACGUUGAUUGAUGAACCACUCUGGAAUUUUAUUUCCAGGUACAAUGAUGCUGCUUUCAAGUGGUGUAAAAAAUUCCUGUAAAUGUGAAAAUCAUGACUCCUAAUGUAAUAGAGAAGACAAAGAGCAAAGCCUGAGCAAGAGAAAAACAAAUGCGUACCAAGUCAUAGUAUGGUCUCUGAGAUACAGCUGUUUGCCAAACCCUUAGUUGUAAAUCUCUCAAAAUUUUGCUGCGUGCUCUAUUAUUAAGUUUCAGGCAAUUGCUAAACAGAUGUACUCUGAGCAGACAUGAUGGAAGCUCUGGCAAAGAUCGAAGCCGCUUGCAAUUCCUUGCAUCUCAUCUUUCUAGACGCAGUGGAAGCUCUGGUAUUGAUUGAAGCAUAUUGCAAUUUCUCAAGUUAAGACACUUCAGCUGUGAAAUCUUACCGCAGUCUUUAGGGAUUUUCGUUAUACCACAGUCUCUUAAAUCUAGAGAUCUUACCGCAGAUAGAACUGGUAAUAAUAGAGGUAAUAGCUUGGUUUCAUUGGCUAGAGCAGACUAUAGGCGAAAUGACUUGGGCGCAAUUUAAACGGGUUUGACUACUCGAUUUGGGACAUUAGAAGAGAAUGAUGCAGUUGGCAGUCUUACCAAACUACGUCAACCAGGAACUGUUCUUGACUAUCAACGACAAUUUGAAAAGUUGGCUGAUCGGACUAGCAAUUUAACUGAGCCUUUCUUCAUUAGUUGUUUCCUCUAUGGGUUACGUGAAGAUAUCAAGGCUGGCAUACAACUAUUCAAACUUGUUACUCUCCUACAAACUUUUGAACUUGCUGUUAACAUAUAUGUUUUCAUAAUUUUGAUUUUGAUGGUAACAAACAAGAUUAAAAAUGAUUAAUCUUUUAAGCUCAAAUUAUUUUUUAUUCUUUUUAAUAAAUCAUUAUUUUCACAUUAUAAAUGUUUCAUAUUUAAUGAAAAAUGAUUUUAUGAAAUUAGUUGUUUUUCAAGUUUAUGAUUUAAUUGAAAGAAUUUUGAAAACUUUGAAAUCAACAAAUAUUGCUUGAAAUUUUGGAGGACUUAUUUGAAAAUUAUCAUAGCAUUUUGGGCUAUAUCAUAAUUUCAAAAAGUUUUGGUAUUAACAAAGAAUUAAUUAGAAAUUCUAAAAUUGGACCUAUUUGGAAAGUUUCAUAACGUUUUGGGCCGUAAUACAGUUUUAUAAAGUUUUGAGGUCAAACUGUAAUAUCAGAAAAUAGUGCAUUGUACAGGUUACUGUAGCAAGCGGCUUACCGGAUGUGAAAAACCGACAAGCCGGAUGUUGGGCAGAAUGUAUCCGAAUUGAAAGCGGCUUUACCGAAUAUGGUAAACGGCAAACCGGAUAUUGGGCAGUAAGCUUCUGGAGCGUAAACGGCUUACCGGAUUUCGCAAGUGGCAAGCUGGAUAUUUUGAAAUUCAAAAUUUUACCUUAACGGUAACAUAAAAGCGGUUUACCGGAUAUGGUAAACGGCAAGCCAGUUACGACCAAAAUGUGCAUAACGGCUAGUUUUUUAGCUCAAACUAUAUAAACUCAAAACAAAUUCAUUUUUGGUAAUCCAAGCAAGCAUCAACAAGUGCACACAACUUAUAUUGAGUUUCAAAUUCGAAAAUCAUCAUAAAUUAAAUCUUCAUUGUACUAUCAUUUGUAUAUCCACUCUUAAAGAGAGUUUCAUUGUUGUAUUUUUCGUUUCUCAUCAAAUUGUGAGUGUACAAGUGUGAGAAACACUUGGGGUGAAGAGAUUAGAGAGAUAAUCUCUUGUUGUAAAGGUUCAUUACACCUUGAAGUCAAUUGUAAAUGUUUGAAGCCUUGGAAAGGCUCGGAUAGUGAAAUCCCCAAGCCCAGUGUGCUUGGAGGCGUGGACGUAGGCAGGGAUUGCCGUACCACGUAAAAAUCCUUGAGUCUGCUUUCUCUUCCCUUGCUCAUUUAUUAUUGUACUUUCAUUGAAUUUAUUAUUUUCGAAUUUAUUAAGGCAUUAGAUUAAAUUGUUGUGUGGUUUGCUUAGCUUAAUUUUUAAAACCCAAUUCACCCCCCCUCUUGGGUUGCCUAGUUAGUAUUUCACUUGCUAGAUUUCAGGAAAAGGCAAUUACUUUACAAGGCAAUUGUUCCCCUAUUCCUACCAUCCAAGAUCCACUCCAACAAUUACAGUCAACUCCUACUCCACCAGCACCCUCUUUAUUAGGACCGGUUCCCUCUAUCGUACCUAAUAAUGUCAAACGUUUAUCCUCAGCUGAGCAGGUGGAAAGACGUUCUAAAGGGCUUUGUUUCAACUGUGACGAGCAAUUCAAGCCUAGACAUCGCUGCAAACAAUCUCAACUAUUGCUUUUAGACGCUGAUAUACCUCUUUACAACCCUCCAAAACCACCUGACCAUCAUAUGGAUUGAAAGAUUUCGGUUAUUGAGACUGGGUAAAAGGCUUGCGAACAAGCCUCUUUUAAGGGGUUGGAAAUGUUAGGACCCUAAUAGUUUAUUUUAUUUUAUUUUAAUUGCUUGUUUUAAUUUCUUUGCUAUUAGUAUUAGGUUUUCUUAUUUUAAUUAAAGUCCUUAUUAAAUUACAAUUAGGAUUGUCUUGAACUACUAUAAAUAAUUGGUUCUUAUUAUGUUUUUAGGAGGCAAGUAAUAAAAUUAAUUCUAAUUCCUAUUAAUUCUUCUCCCUUCUCUUUAAAUUCUUCAUCUAUUCUCUCUUAAUUCUCUAAUCAAAACCCUAGAAUCCUAUCAGACAUUCAAUCCAUAAUGCGCAAAACUUGAAUCGUCUAUCAUCUUUAACACAGAAUCUUUAUCCUGCCCAUUGAAAAAACAUGAAAUGUCUAGAAACAAACUCUUUUCUUCCGCCUUUAUUUCAUUAUAACUGAUUUUCAGCACAUCGUAGAUAUCAGGGUCGGAAAUCCGUUUUAAGUUAUCCAGUGCAUUUUCCCAAUCUAGCUUGCUCUUCUGACGAAGGAAAGAACCCAACACUCUCACUGCUAACGGAUUGCCAUUGGCAUAAUCUAGUAUACGCUUUGAGUGCACCAAGAGAUCUUCAGGGCAAUGGUUUUCUUUAAAGGCACAACUACAGAAGAGCUCGAGAGCUUCACGAUAUUUCAAUCCAUUAACCUUAUAUAUAUUACCAACUCCAAAAUUAUCAAGAACUCGUCUAUCUCUAGUGGUUACAAUGAUUCGACUACCCAGACCAAAUCGUUCAAGCCCCCCAAUUAAAUAUUCCAACUGACCAACUUUAUUAACAUCAUCGAGAACUAUAAGCACCUUUGUCCGUUGGAGCCUUUCGCGAACAUAUUCAGGAAGAUUGGGAGUUCUUAUUCUGAAAUUUUCUUCAAAUACUUCAGAAAGAACUUGGUCUCGUAGAUGUAACAAUCCACCUCCUUUCUCUGAUUCUUCCCUCACAUUCACCAAGAAGCACUUGCUUUCAAAUUCCUUAGAAAUUUGGUUGAAAAUAACGCCAGCAAUGGUUGUUUUACCUAUACCGCCCAUACCCCAAAUUCCUACAAUUUUGAAAUCCAAACGUCCGAGGCAUAACAAUGAUUUAAUUUUCUCAAUUUGUGAAUUUAAUCCAACUAGGCCAUUGGGGUAGGUAGAGACUGUAAUGUUUUCUACUUUCUUCAAAAUAUCUUUAACAACUACAUCUAGCAGGUGUGCCUCAGACCUAGCAAGUGCAAAUAUGAAGAGCAAUGACUCAAAUUGGACCAAGUUCGAAACGGAGAAAAUAAACAUAAACAUCAACAGUUCCUUCAUAUUUCCAAUUUCUUAUUAAUCUUAGAUACUAAAGGGUAAAUAAAGGCUACCUGAUUUCCUUGGAAGCCCAUCCCGAGAGAUUGGAUGCUUCUGUCAACGCAUGCCUCCACUUCUGAACCUUUUCUGGCGUCUUCUUGAGCUGUCGUUUCUCAUGCUUAGAGAAGGCAUCCCCGAAACUUCCGGUUUGCUUCCGCACAUCAGAUGGAUCUACAUGGUAAAAAACAGGCACAACCAUUUGGCCAUUCAUUUGACGGCAUUCAAGAACUUUGACAAGUUCAUCCAAGCACCAUUUCGAAGAAGCGUAGUCCUUCGAGAAAAUGAUAACUGAAAUCUUUGAUGCUUCGAUUGCUCUCAAAAGGGCAGGCGAAAUCUCGUCUCUCUCUUAAGUUGUUCAUCAUCAAUGAAGGCUUUAAUUUUCUCUCGAUACAAAGCAGCAUGAAGAUGGCUAGUAAAGUUAUCGCGGGUAUCCUCCCCUCUGAAACUGAGGAAGACAUCAUAAUUGCUAUGAGAAGUUAGACGAGAAGAAGAGGUAGAAGAAGAUGAAGCCAUAACGGAAGUUUUCUACUCUUUGGGACAGAAACAGAGUGCAAUAAAUAUGCAGCUGUGCAUAUUUAUUGAGAAUGUAUUAACAAAGUGCAGUAAAUAUGCAGCUGUGCAUGUGCAUGUGCAUGGAGCUUUCUUUUCUUAACUUGUUUUUAUUUUUUAUUUUUUUUAAACAUAUUGUUGACUUUCUGUCUCGGUUCGAGAAGGUUUCCUGUGACUUCUUGGAGCUUUCUUGGUACUCAUUAUGAUUACUUUUUAGUUUAAGGAGGAUCCUUCAAUCUAGCAGCUCUGACUUUCUGUGGCCGAACAUCUAGAAACUAUAAAAGCAAUUUAUUAUAAAAUUAGAUGUUGAAGAUGCACCAAGAAUAAUGCAACUUCCUUUAAUUAAAACUUAAGCCCUUGCAACCUUGCUAAAGAAUAAAUAUUUAGAAAAUUGAAGUUGAAAUCCAUUAAUAUUUUUUUUUCUCUUUUGGUCCCCUUAACAAUUUGGAGAAGACCGAAAAUAUCCUUCAAGACAUCAAAUUUUCCCAAUGAGGCAUGGAGAUGAAGGUGAACCCAUGAGACAGAUCUUUAAUCUUGUGAUAAGUUCUAAUGUCAUGUUUAUACUUUAAAAGUUCGUAUGUCAAAUGAUGUGCAUUACUACAAACAAACACGUGUUAAUUAUUUUAUUAUCUCACAGCCAUCGAAUAAAUUGUAUGAUUGAUGUACAACUUUGUAGGUGCACCUCUGUUAUGAACAACACGGUUUCUCAGGUGUAGAUGUAAAACCAAAUCAAUUUAUAUAUUUUCAACAUCAAUCCCUUAUUGGAUGGAUCUUGCAUUUUCAAGACCAGAUCAUAAGCAUUGUUGAAAGUGAAUCAGAAGCAGACUUAAAACGCAGCGUUUUGCUGUUGUUAGUUUACCAGUUUCAUCACUUAAGUCCCACGUGCAUCACUUAAAUUGACUAAGGUCACAAGCAAGGGGACAAGGCUACGUUGCAGACUCUGUAUGUAACAGCUCAGUGCAAACUGGCCUUGUAUCAGCUGAGUUCCAACAGCUUUUCCUCUCUCCUACAACGCGUGGAUGCUCCCCAUUUGCUAUGUUACAUACAGAGUCUGUAACAUAGCAAGCACCCAAGCAAGGCUGUCAAGCCGUUAUUUUUUACGGGAAGCGACAAAGAGCUCGGUUAGGCUGGCGGCUGCACCAUUUUCUGGAGAGAGACAAUUGGUGGGGGGUUUUUUUCUUCAAGUUUGUACUCAGUGGUAUUAAACACAAUUUUUGUGCCUUGCAUUAAAAAAAUCGGCAGAGAAAUUGACUUGUUUAUGGGAUGGGAUUAAGUCAUAUCGGGUGACUGAAUCAUCACAAAUUCUGUUUUGUCGAUUGUUCUGGUUUAAUCUGUUUUGCAAUGUCUUUGAGUCUUUCAACUGUGUUCAUAUUCUUGAUCUUGAGGGGGGUUUCUUUUGCAGAGAUUAAGGAUAAUAAGAAAAAACCUUGAAUGAAAUGCUUCCCUGAUAAAAAUGUAAACUAGAUUCGCUUAUAGCUGUGAACCAAGAAAAUGACUCAAGCAUACAGAAAGAACUAAUUUUUCCCCGGCAUAAAACAUUCUCUAUUAUUCAUUGACAUUGAUAGUACAAUGAGCAGAGAUGAAGUAUUUUUCUACAUCCAGCAUCGACAGCUGGUAGUUGAUCAAACAUCAUUACAAAACUGACAGUUUGUCUUAUUGUUCAUGAAUCAGGAGUCAUCAAUCCUUCAGUCCUCAUCACCGAGGUGUCCUGAAUGUUCUUGCUCAACAAGCCAACCAGGGAACUUAUUGCUGACCCUUUGAUUCAUUAUUGAUCUCGAUUCUCUGAUUGCUCUAGAAUUCAAAUGUGAUGUAUCCCAAAAUGCUUCACUGAGCAUUCCGUCGAACAUAAUCUGAAAACCAACAAACACCUUCUCAUUUUAACUAUUCUACAAGAUGCUGCUCUGUUCAGCUCUGCCAGAAGAUCAUCCGUGUUUACAACUGCUCUCAUGGUAUAGAAAUACAAAUGCCAUAAAGAUAUCGUCAGUGUACAUAUGUCCUAAAAGCCCAGCCAUCUUGCAAGCCAAAAAAAAGGGGUAAUGUGGUCAUACUUAUCAAGCAUGAAUUAAAUUCCAUUCAAAAUUGUCCUAUUUUAUGCCUUGGAAGGCACAGAACCAUAAGCAUUUGGAGGUUUCUAAUGGUCUCAUAAAGUACACAAACCAAAAUUACAAAGAAAACUAUCUACAAAAAUUGAAUGACAACCAAAAAUAUAAAGAAAACCCUAUAAACAAAUGCCAAUUUUCCAUAGUCCAUGAACGUGAUGCUACAUAGUUUCACUACAGUAUACUCAAAUAUGCAUCAGAAAGUUAAGGUAGUACUGGAUCAUGGAAAUAAGGAAAGACUAGGCAUCUUUUGGUGAAAAAAGAUGGUGCAGCAGCAACUUAUAACCCAAGACAUUAUAAAGCAGUUUGGUUUAAGCUAUUUCUGGAAAAAAUUUGCAGAAAUGCAAAAAAUAAAAAUUAGAUAAUCGAUUAAAAGUAAUCCCAUAAAAUAAUGAUAAAGAAACAGAAAUUGAUGGGAGCAUAGAACUUACACAAGAAACCAUAAUAUGAGAAACUAACUCUUUUGUUAAUCAGCAUUGACUUGAUCUCUGCGAAUUCUCUUGGAACUUGGUUCCGGUUCCCCUUCGUCAGAUCUGCCAACACAUGUAGAAGGUUUACUUGUGCCAGCAGGCAUCUUAUCAUGACUGCAUUCUUCUUUAGUAGUGGCAGCAAAUUUCAAAGUACAAGUGUUGGGUUUUGUCUUAUUGGGACUCAAAUAUACUGGACACACACCACAACUUUUCAAGCUGUACCGUCCGUAUGGUAAUCCAUCAUUUUUAUCUACAAUGUCGAAGUCAAAUGAGACAACUCCAGGGCGUUGACCAUCAGCAUCAUGUAGCCCAAGAUUCCAACAGGGGUAAAAACCAAGUAUGACGUGAUCCGAGUCAAUGGAGACGUCAGGGCCAAAACGCAAUUGAUGUUCGGUUUCAGAGCGUGUCCUUAUUUUAAAUCUGUAGCGACAUAGGACUUCCAUUUCACCUUCCCCAAUGACAACACAAAAAGCAAAUCCGAUGAAGUUUCUUUCUAUGUUAGAACAUUGCUGUGGCCAUCCAAGUGCUAUUGAAGAUCCUAAACUUCGAUGAAUAAACCAAUCAGGAAUUUCACUUCCAGGUAAACAAAGGGUGACUUCAACUGCAUGAGCAAAUUCCUCAUCUGAAUCCCAAAGGACUUGUUGACAUAGUUUCAGAGAUUGAACUAUCAUAUCCUGCAUUCUCUCCUUUGAAUCUGCCAGAAUUUUGAUGUUUCUGUUUUCAUUCAGUUUGAGGCAGUUGCUAAAAUUGAAGUUCGUAGAUACCCUGGAACUUUGUUUUAAGGGCACGGGGAGUAUUUCCAUUAUGGAUCUAUCUAAUUCUUGUGGCCAUGAAGGAAGCUUUGGCAAAGAUUGAAGCCUCUUGCAAUUGCUUGCUGUUAACAUCUCUAGAAACAAUGGAAGCUCUGAUAAUGACUGAAGCAUUUUGCAAUUUCCCAAGUGAAGGUAUCUCAGCUCUGGUAAUGACGGAACAUUUUCUAUUGCAGUCUCCCGUAAGUCUAGUUUUCUUAGAUUUGGGAUUUCAGAUGGUUGUGGGAUCCUGGUGAGAAAUUGGGAGUUGCGUAGGUCGACAAAUUUUAAAUUGAGAGCCUCCUGUUAAAAAAAGGUAAUUACUAUGUUAAAUUACUAUGCAUCAAUAAAAUUGUCAAUUAAUUAAAUAAAUGUAAAGAAAGAAAAAGUUGGUAAUAGUAAUACAACAUACCUUUUCUCCUUCCCAAAUUUGCUGAACUUUGCUAUAAGGCAAAUUCAGUUCAAUAAGAUACUCUGGCUCAAAAUAAAAUGGCAGUGUUUUUAAAGGAUAUCCAUGCCAAUGGAGAUAUCUCAAUUUCGCAGGAAGAUAUUUAAGAACUCGAUCAAGAAGCACUCUAAAACUCAUAGUUGAAAGAUCACAAUGCUCUGGAAUGUAGAAUUUAAGCCAUUUGAGAUUUGACAUAUUUUCAAAGGCUUCAAAAUCCAAACGUAUCUCCUUUGUUUUGGACAAAUCAAGGAAUAUGCCCUCAAUUGCAUCAGUACCCUUUUAAACAAAGCAAAGAAUGACUGAAUGAGUAAGCAUAAAUUCUACAAAAACUUUUGAAAAGUUGAUUAAGUGCUUCCUAAUUGAAGAAUAAAAUGCACAUAAAAUCUACAAUUAUUAAAGUAUAGGUCAUAUAAAAUCUACAAUUAUUAGAGUAUAGGUCAUUUUACUUGGUUCUUAGUGCCAAAACAUUUAAGCAUUAGCCGGGGGAAAUAAUAAAGUGAUAAAUAAAAUUAACACUUAACAGAACCGUUAUAACAUCAAGGGGAUUAGAAUGAAAUUUUAAAAUAGGAUGGGGGUUUUGUUCGAUUAGUUAUUUGCUUUCUCUAUGUAGAAAGGGGUGAGCUCUUUUUGACCCUAAAAAACUGACCAAGGCUUUUAAGUAAAAGUUUCAAACAAAAUGAGAGGAUAGCGAAUGGGAUUAUAUUUUAUAUUAUUUAGGGGUUUACGUUGUUUUGUUCGUACAAAUAACUUAGACUAAGGAUGUAUAGAGAGAAAAAUUAUGUCAAAUAAGUUGAUCCGUACCUUAUUUUUUGUUAGCACGUCAUAGACAUCUUCGUGAUCCCAUAGCCUGCUCCGUUUGCCUGGUUCUUCAGAUUCUUCGCGAACAAUCGUUUGACCCAUUUCUUGCAAUAAAUCAUGCAUUUGCAACCUCUUAUACGAUAUUGUAAUGAGUGACUUGUCAGCAAGGAAUUCCAGUUCAUAGCGCAGAGACGUAGGCUUGUCUUGUAUCCUUGUCACAUUGUCCACUUGUUCUCCUUUGAAGAAACAUGCAAUGUCAAGAAAUAUUUUCCUAUGUUUGGGACUUAGCUCAUCAUAACUGAUUUUCAGCACCUUAUAAAUUCUAGGUUCAGAAAUCAGUGUCAAGUCAUGCAAUUUAUUGUACCAUUGUUCUUUGCUCUUUUGUCUCAGGGAAGAACCCAAUACUUCAAGAGCUAACGGAUUGCCAUCAGCAUAACAUGCUACUUUCUUUGAGAGCUCCAGAAGAUCAUCAGAGCGGUUUUUUCGACUUAAAGCUUUUCUACAAAAGAGCUCACAAGCUUUAUCGUGUUCCAAUCCCUUGACCUUGUACACAAUACUAUUGACUCCAAGUACUCCUCUAUUUCUAGUGGUUAUAAUAAUUCUACUUCCAGGUCCAUAUAGAUUUAGCUGUCCAACUAAACUCUCUAAUUCUUGGAUGAAGUUGUCAUCAACAUCAUCAAGAACGAUCAGCACUUUACUCCGCCGAAGCCUUUUCCAUAUAUAUGAGUUGAUAGUAAGAGUUCCUAUUUUGAGAUUACUUUCUCCUAAUACUCGAGAAAUGGCCUCAUCUCUAACAUAAAGUGCUCCCAUUUUUCUUGAUUCUUCUCUGACGUUUCUCAUGAAGCACUUGCCGUCAAAGUGGUUUGAAUAUUCUCUAGAAGAAAUUUGGUGGAAAACAGCUUCAGCAAUGGCUGUUUUGCCAAUACCGCCCAUGCCCCAGAUUCCUACGAUUCGAACAUCAUCCAAUUCCAGACACAGCAGCGAUUUGAUUCUCUCAAUUUGUGAAUUGAAUCCGACGUAGCCAUCAAAAUUAGGUGGGUCUGCCAAGUCUUCCAAUUUCUUAGAAAUAUCUUCAGCAAUCUUUUCCACAAGUUCCGCAUCAUUCCUAGCAAGUGUUGUUCAAGAUAUAAAUACAAUGAUGAUGAAUCAAAACAGACCAAGCUAGGCCUAUAAAGCAUUAAUGUUCUUUCUUUCAUUGAUAAAACAAAAGGAAGAGUUAAAAGAGUUACCUGAAUGACCUGGAAUCAUGAAAUCCAGAUAUAUUUGAAGCUUGGAUCAAUGAAUCCCUCCAUUUCUGAACCCGGACCUCACCUGGAAAGUUCCUUUCGUGGUGAACAAAAGCUUCUCCAAAACUCCCCAUCUGCUUUCGCACAUCAGAUGGAUCUACUUUGUAGAAAACCGGUACCACAAUUUGGCCAUUCCUCUUCUUGCAAUCAAGAAUCCUGACAAGUUCAUCGAGGCACCAUGUUGAAGAAGCAUAGUUUUUUGAGAAGAUGAUUAUCGAAAUAUCUGAUGUUUCGAUUGCAUUCAAAAGGGCAGGCGAGAUCUCUUCUCCUCUCUGAAGUUCUUCAUCAUCUAUGAAGAACUGUAUUUGUUUCCGACGUAAAGCUUCAACUACAUGGCUGGUGAAGCCCGUACGAGUAUCCUCCCCGCGGAAACUGAGGAAGACAUCAAAUUUGCUUUGAGCAUUGAGGUUAGUAGAAGAUGAAGCCAUGGAUGAAGAAACAGAGCUUCAAGGUAGAUGAUGGAUCGGGUCAAUAUGCUUUAUUAUUAUUAUUCAGAGUAAGAAGACCAUAAAGAAAAAGCGAAGUCAGAAAUAAUGAGCGUGCAGUAGCCAGUAGCAUUGCUCUUUGUCGCGCGUGUAAAUAUUAUAAUCAACACCCCUAAGAUUUUUCCAUUUGAAAGAGAUAAUGAGAGUGAAUCGGCCUGGUCUUAUAUUUACUGGAGCGAGUCAGCAUUUCUCAUAGCAAAGCCAUCAAUUGGAUUAUGCAACCAUAUUUUAACUGAAUUAUAUAUAAGGCAGAGCUAUAAAUGUGGGAUAAAAGGUUUGAAUUUCUAAUCGCAUUUGUUCUGAUAGAGCUUGAAUAUCUAAAUUCAUCACAACUUUUCAUCUUCUAUUUCUAAUGAACAUAACUUUACGAUUCUCCGGAUUCAUUGAAUCAAAGAGAUACAACCAUUACAAAGCAGAGUUUUUUUUCUUUUGUGUGUGUGUGUGGGGGUCCCCCCGUUCCUCCCCUUCUUUCCCCCCUUUUCUCCCCUUUUCUUUCUCUCCUCCCCCCUUUUUUUUUUCGGGGGGGGGGGGGGUUGAAUUGGGGGAAUUACUGCCUCCCCCCACACCACCCCUCCUUCUCCCUUUCCCCUUCGUCUUUCUUAACAAGCUUAUACACAGGUAAAAAACAGUAAUUUGCUGAGCUGCCAAAAUGACAGCUUGAUUCAACCAUUUUCGCACAGUAAGAAAAAGCCUUCAAUAGAUUGCUUCUGAAGCACUUCUGCGCCACCAAGGGCUGUCAUUGCGUAUAAACCCAAUGACAAAUGCUGUCAAGCCACCGGCAAUCAGAUUCUUGGUUGAAUAAAAGAAGUUGAAUUCAAAAUCAGGACAGAAUGGCACUGCUUUAUCGGAAACAAAGAGGGAAUAUGAGAAGACGUAAUAUCCCCGACAACAUAUAUCCAAAAAUUAUAAGGAAACAAGAAUUGUUAAUGCAGUAACUUCACAGAUAUGUAAAUGCAAAUAACACUUUUCUGCAGUUUUAUAUCUGCAUAUCUCUCAAAAGCCCAAAAAGCAAGAAAUAUGUUUUCGAAUCUGUAGCACCAAGUGAGGGAUUAUUCUUUGUUCACUCUUUAUAAUGAAAACAAUAACAGAAGAUCAAAGUAAACUGAGUCAAAAUAAAACAACAUUCAAACACAAAACUCGACACAUACAGAUGCACAAAACUCCCAAGUAAUUAAAGAGAACAAUAAAGACAUUACUGCUGGCAAAUAUAGCCACAACUUAUUAAAUUUUAAGUUUAGUCACAACACCGAACAUCUUCAUUGAUUUGGAAAGAUGUUAUCAGAGUGAUUCCUUCAAGCACAGAAGGGGUAUCUUCAUCUUCAUGAAAUAAAUUGCGGGUAUUAACUAAAUUGACAGAAAGCUGAACUUCUACAUUACUUCUUCUGAGACUAAAUCCAAAUUUAAUGAAAACAAUAACAGAAGAUCAAAGUAAACUGAGUCAAAAUAAAACAACAUUCAAACACAAAACUCGACACAUACAGAGCGAGGAAAAAAAAAAGAAUAUAGCAAUGAAGUAAAUAUUAUAUUUGGACAUAAAAUCAUUGAUUCCAAUAAUUAUACAUAUAAUAUAAUAAGCCGGAAAUAGUGAGGAGAAAACAAAUAAAAUAGAUGUUAUCAGAGUGAUUCCUUAAAGCACAGAAGGGGCAUCUUCAUCUCCAUGAAAUAAAUUGCGGGUAUUAACUAAAUUGACAGAAAGCUGAACUUCUACAUUACUUCUUCUGAGACUAAAUCCAAAUUUCAAAUGUGGUACAAGACUCGAAAUGAACAAAACUACAAAAGAGAUACAAAUCCGAAUCACAAUAUUUACAGUCAAGUGUUAAAAAAAUUAGAUUAAGACAAAAGCACAAGAAAAUAAUGAAAUAGAAAUGAAUUAGAGCAUGGACUUACAGAAGGAAUGUUGAAUUGUCUCUGCAAAUUCACAUUUGAAUCAAGCCGAUUUCAUCAGGCAUAUCAAAUCCUGUAGAUGUUUCAGUUGUGAUUGCCUUACUUGCUUUCAAUUUUGCUUGCCUUAUCAUCCAAUUUCCCAAUUUCGGCAGUAAAUUUUAGAGUCAAAUUUUUGGGUUCGGUCUUGUUGGGAUCUGCAUAUACUGGACUCACCCCACAACAUUUCACCUUAGCAGGGAAGAAAUCAACCAAGACAGUUGUGUUGUGAUUACCCCCACCCACGGGAAACCCACCUAUCCCCAAGGGACUAAAUCCAAGUAUGACAUGAUCUGAAUCAAUGGCGUCGCGAAUACUAGCCAAAAAGCAAUUGAAUGACAAAUCUUCGGGUUUAUUCAUUUUAAUGUAGAUUCCACAGUUGAUGUUGAAAGAAUCCCAACUAUUAGAAGGAAGAUGCUUAAAAUCAAUAACAGCACAAAGGGCAAACCCAAUUAAGUUGAUUAAACAAUGCUCCGGCAGUUGAAGAGCUAUUAAAGGUCCAAUAUUUUGAAAUGCGAACCACUUAGGAAUUUCGCUCCCAGGUAACAGUAUGCUGGGACAAUAGAGUUGUUCCUGUAAAAUGAGAAUCACGAUUUCAGAUGUAUCGAAAAGGGAGAGAGGAGAUUCAGAAAGAAAGAGAGAAAUGAAUAAUGAAUACCUUUUCAUAAAAUAGUCUCAAUGAUGCAAUUGCCAUAUGCUGAAUUCUUAGCUCUGAAUCUUCCAAAAUCUUGUUCUCUUUUAGUUCCCAGCAAUUCUGAAAUUCAAACUGCAUUAAAGAGCAACCAUGCUUAAUAGGAAAUGUAGUUUUGGAUAACUUUUCGAGUAUGGAUAUAUCUAGUUCUUCUAGACAUGAUGAAAUCUCUGGCAAAGAUUGGAGCCGCUUGCAAUUACUUGCAUCUAAAUGACUUAGUAACAGUGGAAGCUCUGGUAAUGACUGAAGCAUAUUGCAAUUUCUCAAGUAAAGAUAUCUCAGCUGUGAAAAUUGCUUGAUGGUUGCAGGUAACCUCUCCAACUCACUUCCACUUAGAUUUAUUCUCUCAAGAUUUGGGAUUUCUGAAAAUUCUGGCAAUCUGGUGAGAUAUCGUGAAUUAUAGAGGUUGAUAAAUUUUAACUUGAAAGCCUUCUGUAACAAAAGAUAAACAGUCACUAGAACGAAUUAGUAUAAUUUAAGGAUUCCACAAUUAACCAUAUAACUUUAAAGAAAGAAAAAUAAAUAGUUAUGUAUUUGUAUAUCAGACCUUUUCUCCUAUCCAGAUUUGUUCAACUUUACUGUAAGGCAAGUUGAGCUCAAUUAGGUAAUUGGGUUCGAAAGAAAAUGGCAGUGUUUUCAAAGGAUAUUCAUGCCAAUGGAGAUAUCUCAAUUUCUUGGGAAGAUAUUCAAGAUCUUGGUUAAGAUGUAAUUUAGAGCUCAUAAUUGGAACACCAUUACACUCUGGCAUAUAGAACUUAAGCAAUGUGAGACUUGACAUAUUUGCAAAUGCUUGAGGACUUAGAUGAAGGUAGUUUAUUUUGGACAAAUCAAAGAAUAUGCCCUCAAUUGCAUCCGUCCCCUACAAAAAAAGAAAUAAUAAUAAAAUAAUUAAAAAAAUGAGCAAGCAUAAAAUCUACAAAAUAAAAUCUUUUGAAAAAUAGAUUAAGUGUUUCCUAUAUAAUUGAAUAUAUACAACGUGCAUUUUUUUUUAAUUAAUACAACAUCUAUAUAUUAAAAAAAAAAAAGUGUGCGGUUAUUCUAGUGAUCAUCCUCUCUUCUCCAUUACAGUCUUUUUCAUUUUACUUUCCCCUAAAAGUUAAAAGUUGAGAAGAUAACAGUUAAACAAAUUCCAUCAUUAAAUAAUCUAACAUUUGGUGAUUGCAAUGAUGCUCUCAUUUAAUAGUGUAUAUAGAAGCCAAAAUGUUUAUUUGCUGAAAAAACUACCCAAGGUUUUAAAUGAAAUGAUAUUAUAGUGAAUGGGUGUGAAAAAAAAAUGUUUUGCCCCUAUAGUAAAACAUCCACUAACAUUAAAAAAAAAAUAAUGUUGCAUAUAGCCUCACGUACAAAAUGUCAAAUAAAUAGAUUCUUACCUUAUUUUUCUUUAGCACUUGAUAGACAUCCUUGUGAUCCCAUAAUUUGCUACGUUUGCCUGGUUCUUUGAAAGAUUCUUGAAGAAUAAUUGUCUUACCUAAUUCUUGCAAUAUAUCAUGCAUUUGCAGCCGGUUGGCAGAAAUUGUAAUGAGUGACAUCUCAACCAGAGUGUUCAGUCCAUUGUGCAUUGAUGUAGGAUCAUCUUGUACCCUUGUCACAAAGUCUACAUCCUCUCCUUUGAAGAAACAUGCGACAUCAAGAAAUAUUUCCUUCUCUUCCCAAUUUAGUCCGUCAUAACUGAUUUUCAGCACCUUAUAAAUAUUAGGAUCUGUAAUCAAUUUCAACUUACGCAAUUUAUCUUUCCACUGUUCUUUGCUCUUUUGAUAAAGAGAAGAACCCAAAACUUGAAGAGCUAAUGGAUUGCCAUUGGCAUAAUGCGCUACCUCCUCUGAGAGCUCCAGGAGAUCAGGAGAGCGAUUGUUUUGUCUAAAGGCUUUUCUACAAAAGAGCUCAAGUGCAGAAUUGUGUUUCAAUCCCUUAACUUCAUAUACGUUUUCUACUCUACGUUUAUCGAGUAGCCGUUUAUCUCUAGUAGUUAUAAUGAUUCUACUUCCAGGGCUAAAUAGCUCUAACCCCCCAGCAAAAUUUUUAGAGUUAUCAUCGACAUCAUCAAGAACGAUCAGCACUUUCCUCUGUUGGAGCCUUUUCUUGAUAUUUGGGGUUAUAGUGGGAGUUCCUAUUUUUAUAUUUUCUCCCAUUACUUGAGAAAUAACCUCAUCUCGAACAUGCAUUACUCCCAUUUUGCUUGAUUCUUCUCCGACGUUUUUCAUGAAGCACUUGCCUUGAAAAUCCCCAGAAAUUUGGUGGAAAAUAACACUAGCAAUGGUUGUUUUACCGAUUCCGCCCAUGCCCCAAAUUCCUACAAUUCGAACAUCACCCAAUUCGAGACAUAGAAGUGAUUUAAUUUUCUCGAUUCGCGAAUUUAAUCCAACGAAGCCACUUAAAUCAGUUGAAUCUGACAUAUCUUCCACUUUCUUGGAAAUAUCUUGAGCAAUCUUUUCCACAUGUCCCGCCUCAUUCCUAGCAAGUGUUGUUCAAGAUAUCAAUACAAUGAUGAUGGGUCAAAACAAACCAAGCUAGGCUAUAAAGCAUCAAUUUUCUUUUCAUUUUCUACCUAAGACUGUAAAUGACUAUUGAUUUAAAAAAAAAAAAAAUUUAUUUCACUGUGUUCAGUUAAGGGUUACCUGGAUUCCGUGACAACAAAUGCAGAAAUCGUUGAUGCUUUGAUCAGUGCAUCCCUCCAUUUCUGAACCUUAUCUGGGAAGUUCCUUUCAUGGCGAACAAAAGCUUCUGCAAAACUGCCCUUCUGUUCGAGCACAUCAAAUGGAUCUACUCGGUAGAAAACUGGUACCACAAUUUGACCAUUAUUCUUUUCCAAGCAAUCAAGAAUCUUGACAAGCUCAUCGAGGCACCAUUUGGAAGAAGCAUAGUCUUCUGAGAAGAUAAUUAUCAAAAUUAAUGAUGUUUCGAUUGCAUCCGAAACAGCAGGCGAAAUCUCAUUUCCUUUUUCAACUUCCUUUUCAUCAGCAAUGAACAAUUCUAUUUGUUUACGACGUAAAGCUGCAGCUAGAUGGCUCCUAAUGCCAGUACGAGUAUCCUCCCCUCCAAAACUGAGGAACGCAUCAUACUUGCAUUUAGCAGUAAAGCUAGAAGAUAAACAAGAAGAUGAAGCCAUGGACGAAGGGAAAUUAGGUGGGUCUGCCAUGUCUUCCAAUUUCUUAGAAAUAUCUUCGGCAAUCUUUUCCACAAGUUCCGCAUCAUUCCUAGCAAGUGUUGCUCAAGAUAUAAAUACAACGAUGAUGAGUCGAAACAGAACAAGCUAGGCCUAUAAAGCAUUAAUGUUCUUUCUUCCAUUGAUGAAAACAAAAUGAAGAGCUAAAGAGUUACCUGAAUGACCUGGAAUCAUGGAAUCCAGAUAUAUUUGAAGCUUGGGUCAAUGAAUCCCUCCAUUUCUGAACCCGGACCUUAUCCGAAAAGUUCCUUUCAUGGUGAACGAAAGCUUUUCUGAAACUCCCCCUCUGUUUUCGCACAUCAGAUGGAUCUACUUUGUAGAAAACCGGUACCACGGUUUGACCAUUCCGUUUCUUGCAAUCAAGAAUCCUGACAAGUUCAUCGAGGCACCAUGUUGAAUAAGCAUAGUUUUUUGAGAAGAUAAUUACGGAAACAACUGAUGCUUCGAUUGCCUUCGAAACGGCAGGCGAAAUCUCAUCUCCUUUCUGAAGUUCUUCUUCAUCAUCAAUGAACAAUUUUAUUUGUUUACGACGCAAAGCUGCGGCUAGAUGGUCCCUAAUGCCCGUACCAGUAUCCUUGCCUCGGAAACUGAGGAAGACAUCAUACUUGCUUUUACCAGUAAAGCCAGAAGAUAAAGAAGAAGCUGAAGCCAUGGACCAAGGAAAAUCUUCAGAUUUUAGAAAACGAAACAGAGAUUCUUUUUUUGGAUACAAGAUGUAAUAAUCAAAAUAGUUUUGAAGUAAAUAUAAUAAUAUCAAUUAGAUACUUGUAACUCACUACUUUUUUUUUUGUGGGUGUGGUUGGAGGAGAUGAGUAUUGAGUCCAAUUUUCAUAGACGACAUAAACUUGGAAUAAUUAUUAAUUAUAUAGUUGGAUUAUUGACAUGAUGUUGAUAUAUAAUCCUCUGGCUUAUCACAAAUGACAGGAAAAUAACACAGUGGAUUACUAUCAAGAUUUAUCCUUUUAAUAUCUCAUUUUGUACUUGAUACUACAAAUUCAAAUAAUAACACAUAAUUGAAAGAUAAAUCUGUUUCGGUAAAGAAAUUUUCAAAUCUUACUUAUGUUUUAAUUUUUUUUUAAAAAAAAUCAACUUCAACGAUACAUAUAAUUAAAGAGAAUUUGAUAAGAUGAGCGUCAUCGCUCCUCACACAACUCCCACGCGAGCCCCGUAGCCUUUCGUAGGCAGAGCGGCGGUACUCAUUUAAUCAAAUUUUCAUAUUUAAAUACUCAAACCUUUUAUGUAAAAAACAUUAAGAUGAAGAGACAUCCACACUUAAUAUUUAAGAGCGGCAUCUGCAAAUUAGUACUUUUUCUAAACAUAAUUAAAAUCCUUGAGUUGUAUUUUCCAACAAAAGGUAGAAGUCAAGUCCAUAAACAUAAGUAAAUUAAGCAAUAAAAUCCAACUGGAGAAAACCUUGUGGCACGGUUAUUGGUGACCUGUCAUGUAACUGAAUGGUAGAGUUCUCGUAACUUUUUUAAUAUUAAAUUUAAUGGAAGCCGGUUCGGCAACGUUGUCGGGUGCGCUACUGCGCGCGGCAAAUACUCAUUUGAUGAGCUAUGACGUGCCCGCAAAUGGAAGUAUGCUAUGCUGGCAACCGUGCUUCGUAAGGCGCACGACUGCGUAACACCUUAUUUAAAAUAUAAUGUGAUUUUGAAAAUUUUAAUAUUCAUCAAUAAUAAAUUUAUUUACUUAUUACACUUGUUGUCAAAGACUCCUUAAUACCGUUUCAUGUGUUGAAGUUGCAAGAUAGUUUCAUUAUUAAUACAAUCGAAAACAUCUUUUUUAAUGGACACAAUUAAGUUAUCACUUAAUUUGUGCUUAAAUUUUUUUAAUAAUAACAAAAAUAUUCACAUAAUGCAACAGGGAGAACAAAUAUGAAUACAUGAUGAAUUUGGAAUUUUGAAAUAACAAAAAAAAAAAUCUUUGAAAAAUUAUAAAUUAGAAUUAGCAAACUUACAAUUUAGGGAUCAAUAUUGAAAAACUAUAUAAUUGAAGGAAAGUGCUUUUGAUUUAUGGGAACUCUGAUAAAAUCCACGCACUGAUGCACACGCACUACUUUAAUCCACUAUUGCACUACCAGCAUGCAGCCAUGCAGUACCACAUAAAUUAAGUGCAAGUUUGGUAAUGCUAUACCUUUUAAAAUAAUUGAUGUUAGCUCUAUUGUAGAAAUGAUAAAUUGUGAAGUGAAUUGGUUAAACAUUUAGCAAAUUUUAUUUUUAAAAGUGUUGUAAAUAUUAAACUGUUGUAAGAAUAUAAAUGUCGUAAGGAUAUAAAUGACUAAAUUAGACAUAAUAUUGAAUAAAAUUUAUUUACACAUUUACAAACAUGUAUAUAAAAUACUUAUAAUUUUGUGUAUAUAUAAUAAUUGAUAAUUAAAAUAAAUAUUUUAUAUUAUUAAUUCUAUUUUUUUAUUUUGUUAUCUCAAUAUAAUUGGUGAUAAUAAUAACCUCUUUAAAAUUAAUAAUUUUAUUUCCUGAUUAAUAUAAAAGUGAUUUUAAAAAUUAGAUUUUGAAAAGUUACUUUUUUCCUACUUUACAAAUUUUGUUGUAAAAUAGGUGAUUUUGCUAAAAGUGAUUUAUAAAAGAAUUUCUCAUAUACCAAAAUUAUUUUUUAAUCUCCUAAAAGCAACCCCAAACAUGCCCUAAGUGCUUUUCUUCAAAGUAUUAGAAAGAGAUAAGAAAGAAAAAAAAAAGUGAAUCCCUUUUGUUUUUAAUUGGGUCUUUAUUCUUCUCAAAAAAAAAAAAUUGGGUCUUUAUUUUUAUUUUAAUAUCUAUUUUUUUGUUUUUAUUUAAGUUUCAUAGUAUUUUAAUAAUUAAUCAAACUAUUUAAAAUUAAACAUUUAAACUUAGGGCAACAUGCAAUCUUUUAAAGCUAACAAGGACUUUCAUAAUUUUAUAUUUCAACCAGCGCACUUUCUUAAAUAAUAAAUCAAAUACAUUUCUUUUUAACAACCAUCAAAAAAAUUUUGAAAAGUUAGUUGGAGAAAAGUCGUCUGGGCCCGUCCCCCAGCCAGUCCUAUGCUGAUACGUCCACCGGUAGCGUUGUCCCCAUCGCCCAAGUCAAUCUUAAGAGACAAUUAGAGUUUAAAAAAGAAAUCAAUUUGAUUUUCUCCUCUAUAAACUCUAUUUCACUUUAAAAAUUAAAAAAAGAAAGAAAAAAGAAAAAGAAUUGUUCCACAAUAAGCGCCCAAGUCCAAUCGAGCACACGCAUAAAGUUCGGAGAUUUGAGUUUUUCUCCUUGUCUUUCAUGAUCUAGUAACAAUCAUUGGUUAGAUAGAAAAAAAUAAAUACAAAAUUUAGUCUUAACCAUUCUUUAAAUAAAAGAGCAAUAAAAAAAAAAAAAAAAGAGGAAUAAAAAGAGAGAGGGGGAAAAAAAACUAAGGAAAGGAUCCUUGUCCAAAGCUAGGACAAGAAAACACAAAAAUGUGAUGGAAUCAAAAGAAAUGAAAGCAGUAAUACGCAUGGGUCCUUAUUGAGUGAAGCAGAUAAAUGAUGAAAGCCAUUUCAAUAUUUUUAUGUUCCAGAGUAGCAACAAAAUUUGCAUGUUCUUUACACUAUUCAGGCUUGUGAGGAAAAAGGUUUUCAACUUUUGCGCCAACUUCUCUGGCAGAUGAUGAACAAGAACUGCAGGGUCUCGAUCCAAUGAAUAAUUUCUUCAAGAACGCGAAAAAUAAACGCAACAAAAGAAUUUAACAUGAAACACGUAUUUAGAUUUGAUCUCUCUUUAACCAAAUGUUAAUGCUGUUGUUCAAACAUGACUUAUUGGUCUUAAUGCAGAGUCUCUUUAUUUUGUGAUAAAAAUCAGACUUUACCACCCGCUGAUUUCUUUUACAUCUUCAGAUCUUGAUCAUUUUAAUCCAGUAACCUUUUUCUCAUGAGAUGACUGUCAAUAUAGAAAAAUGAAACAGAGCAUAACUGGUUUAUCAAUAGUUAUAUAAAGGGGUUAGAAUAUGAAAAGAGUGCCCAUUGGAUUCUGCUGUAGGGAUUUAUUAAGUGCCGGCAAUAAAAUAUUCCGUCAUACAAAUCAUGGCAGAGGAAAAAAAAUGACCUGAAUCCAUAAUUGCUGAGACUAAAAAUUUGAAGAUACACACACAACUUUUGAAACAAAUAUGAAAACCAAUGAAGAGAAAAGAAAAGAUACUAUAAACUUGACCAGUUCAUCUAAAAUCAUGAUUAUUCGUGAUUAUAUACAAACGGCAAUUCAUUGGAUCAAUAAUAGGGAUACAACUAAAGACAAGCGACACUAAGGAACACCGAACCACAGGGGAACUUGCUUGAGUGUGACAGAUAAAAACAGAAAGAAACAAACACGUUCAAUUUUGAGAAAUUUGAUGAUCACUCUCAACUUCUGGUUCUUUUGAAAAAGAUGAGAAUUAUGUAAGACAAAGAAGACUAGAUUUAUAUCUGCGAAGUGGACCAGAUAUUUGGAAAUCACCCAUAAUACCUUGGUCUAAAUCAAGGGUGAGUAUUUGUUACUCCUCCUGAUGGCUAUUUAUAACCAGCCAAUCGAGAAUUUAGCAUAAAAGAUGUAGCCAUUCACCAAAAAAAGUCCAAAAUCUCAUCUGCUUUAGCUGUUGGACCUCAAGAGAUCUAGCUAGAAUCAAAUUGUCUGACUAGCUUUUCAUACUGAAUUGGCAAGCUUAAAAUCCUAAAAGCUUUAUGAAAAUUCUCUACCUCUUAUUUUUUGUUGUAAUCAACGAGUGGUUAUCUUAAAUUUCGAUGAGCUACUUGCAGUUAAUGGUCAAGAUUUGCACUCCACUGUUUGGCACAUUUGUAGUGGAAAAAUCAGAAAUGUGAUGCGAAAUACUCCAGAUUUCAACCUAAGUUCAUUCAUGACUAGCGAAUCCAGUAACCGUUUAAACUAGUGUCUUUGUUUUAAUUUGUUAUUAUUUUUAAUACUCCUGUUUUUCCCAUAAUAAGUAUUUUCAUCCAUUUAAUCACAAUUCUUAAGGAUAAUCAGUUAAGGCAGAUAAUCAAACACUUGCUUUUCCCAGUUGUGGACAAACACUACAGUACAAUAAACAAAGCAGGUGUUUGGGAGAAAAAGGGGAGAGGUAGUAAAGCACCGUGUAUCGACGAACGGAAUAACUCCAGCACAAUCUAAGGUACCCAACAUAAUUAGAGCCUUAGAGGUACCCCACACAGAUUGAGGUAUGCCGUACAAUCUGAGGUACCCGGCACGAUUCAAGGUACCCCGCACAAAUAGAGAUACCCGACAUGAUACGAGGUACCCCGCACAAUUAGAAGUAACCCACAUAGAUUGAGGUACCUCAUGUAACUGGAGGUACCUGGUAGAUCAUAUGCAAAAGAACCCUCCGAAAAAGUCCGCCAUGAGAAAUGUCUCCACCUCUUAAAAGAUAUUAUUCGAUUUUGUCAGAAUUAGGAAUAAAACACGUCGUGCUAAAAGGGGGGGACAGCCGCCUGCCACCUCUGCCAAAAGUGGAGGACACUGUCCUAAGGACAGUGGUCCUCAGCCGCCUACCUGACAGCUACUGCAGAGGUACCCUGGACUACUCUCCAGCGCGCACCACGUCUCCAAAGGAUGAGAUACGCCGCAAACAUGCACAUAAUGACCCAAAAAUCAUAAAAAGGUAAAAAAGACGUUAGCAAAAAAUGGUACGCCAUGUGGCAGCUGAGGUACUCCAUAUAUAAAGGUACCUAAGUUUCAUUCUCCAUCAUACUCUAAUUCACCAACAACACUCACACUCCAUAAAAUAGGUUUUCUUCAACCUUAAAACUUAAUUUACAGAGGGCUGGCAAGCUUUCUUGGCCAUAAAAAGCUUGAGUUUGCUAACUUGAGCGUCGGAGUGUGAACGCCGAGGUACCCCGGCUUCACCUCUAACCUCUAUUUCACUGUUUUGCAGGUGUGAAACUCAUUUGGAAGGACUUUUUUCUUGGUUCAGACCUUUCUCCAUUGUUGCCACUCCCUCUUUCCUUCUCACCUCCCCGAAUUUCGGAUACACCGCACACAACAAACCAGUGAGAUACCCCAUCUCCCCCAAAAAUACAAAUUCAUUGUCCUAGAUAUGUUUGACUUUUCCUACCCCAAAAUCUAUCGAAAACAAUUGGUGCCGUCUGUGGGAAGGCGCACAAAAAGCCUUCUCUACGGUUACCAAAUUAGUUAUUGUGUGUACUCCAAUACAUGGCACCCGACGUACUUCCCGAAGGUUUAAUGGCGGAUCCUAUAAGGAUAAGAGAUGACAGUAGCGGUGAAGAUAGUGAUCCCGCAAGAAGGGUAGCCUGUCUGAGCAAGGGUAAGGGUAUCAAGCAAUCGACGGGUAUUCGCCAAGAUGAGGAACCUAUUUAUCACAAGCGUUUCGAGGAUCUUGCCAACGCAAUACUUAGGACGGUUUGAUCUUGAGCACUCGAAAGUUCACUUCCACCAGUGACGCUAGAUGCUCCACUACCUCAAACAGACGACCAAGCUAUGGUCAAGAAAGAAGUACCUGAGGCCAGCAAGCCAAAACAUAGGCCAUCGGGUACCCAUUCUAAGUUUCAAACCGUGGGCUCCCGAGAAGAGCAUUCCACCGCCUCUUGCAAUUAUCCGCAGCAGCCAUGGCACGAGGCGUGCAAAGCGUAACCAUGAGGAUCUCCAUGAAAAAUUAAACGUCAAAAAGACUUCCUAAAUGGCGGCGACAUCAUCAGGUACCCCUAGGGUACCCUUUGAACUUGUGGGAAAAAUAAAGAAUCUGGAAGCCCAAGUGAAGCUCUUCUCCGAGAAGCAAAACAUCACAAGUGCUCCAACACCAAUGACCUACCAAUUGCCAUUCACUAUGGAGAUUCGGACGACAGCUCUCCCCGAGGCGUUCGCCAUGCCUCAGAUACCCCAAUACUCGGGUACCACUGAUCCCUCGGAGCAUGCUGAGCUAUACUACAACCAAAUGCUUAUCAAGGGUGUAGAUGAGAAUGCCAUGUGUAGGAUGUUUACACACACACACUCACAGACCCCGUAAAGUCAUGGUUUCGGCCUUUGAAGGCGGGUAGCGUAUCUUCUAUACACCAAUUGUUAUCCGAAUUUACUAAAGAAUUUUCUUAUGCUUCUACUCAGGAUAGGGUAGCCUCCAAACUUGCCUUUAUCAAGCACAGGGAAACCGAACUUUUGGGGGAGUAUGUGAGCCGUUUCCACCAGGAGGUGUUGCGAACCGGAGCAUUUGGGAACCAACACAUACUAACCCAUUUUGAGAAAAAUUUACGAAUGUGUAAAUUAUUUCGUUCUUUCUAAAAAAAGCGCCCACUUUCGUAUGGGAAACCCUGUUCUCGGGCAUUGCAGCAGGUGGAGAUUGAUGAGAAAUGUCAUUUGAAGUGCCACAAAGAUAAGGUCGAGAUUACAAAGAACAAGGAGAAGCCCAAGAGGACGGAAGCACCAAUAUCGAGGGUACCCUAACCUCUACGAGCUGCCCCGCGAGGACGAGGGUAUAACACUUAGGGUAUCUCACGGGUACCCCAACCUCCAAGAUCGCCACCUCCGAGACCUCGGUACGAAUCUUACCACCCACUGAAUCGUUCCUCAGAGCAGAUCUUUUACCAUAUUUGGGAUAAUGGCUUUCUCCGUCCACCCAAGCCAAUGAAGAAGUACCCCAACAUGAAGCGUAACCUAAAGUAUUGUGAGUUCCACGAGAACUUUAGUCACAACACAGCCGAGUGUUUUACCUUGCGUGAGGAAAUUGAAUCUCUGAUUCUUAGCGGGUACCUCAAAGAAUUUGUUGCCGGCAUGAAGGAAGCUCGGAAAUCCAUAGAGCAUGAUAAGGGCAAGCGGGUAGCUGAUAGCUGUCCUGAACGAGAGGUACUCUCGAGACAUAAGAAAGGCGUGUAUGUUCGGAUGAUCAUGGGCCGACCGACUCAGCGGGCCAAUCCCGGAGGGCUAUCAAAGGCUAUAGUUGAUCGUUAUCAACAAACCACCAAUAUUGGCAGAGAAGUCAACUUUAAUGGAUGGGGUACACCGAAGGUACCCCACCAUCCCCCGCUUAUCCUUUUUACAUAAAAAGAUGCUGAGGGUAUCUCGUACCCCCAUGACGACGCCUUAGUAAUUACAUUGAAGGUUACUAUUGGUAAGGUAGCAAGAACUCUUGUAGAUACUAGCAGCUUCGUUGAUAUCAUUUUCAAAAGCACAUUGGAUCAACUAUUGAUUGAGUCACCAAAGAUCACCCCAUAUGCUACACCUUUUAUUGGGUUCGCCGAAGAUAUGGUUAUACCAAAAGGCAUCAUUACAAUGCCUGUUACAUUUGGUAAGGUACCUCACCGUGUGUUCAUAUGAUUGAUUUUCUUAUUGUGGAUCACCCGGGUGCCUACAACAUUAUAUUGGGUAGGCCGUUCUUAGUAGCAACUAAAGCGGUGGUAUCCAUGCACUACCUCACCAUGAAAGUCUCAGCCACCUAAAAAGUUAUCACCAUUAAAGGGUAUCAGCAAUCGGCUUAUGGAUGUUAUUUCGUGGCCUCCAAAGUCACUUACCAAAUAACUUCUGAUCCACCAGUGAAAAGGUACCCCAGUGAUAGUCAGCCCGUACCUUAUCCCUCAAAGCGAGCACUUGUUAGACAGGGGAGAGCAGUGCUAAAAAAAUCUCCUCAGGUAGCCCACCCACCAAAACAGUUGGAAGCCUCACCAAUGGGCGUAGAAGCAAUUGCUCAGGAUAGCUCAGGGGUACCCCAUGAGGAUCAUGUGGAGCCCAGAUGUGAAGUUGAAGUACCUUUGGAUCCCUUAAUAUUGAAAGAGAAAAAACGGGGUACCCAAUUGAAGACCUUGUUUCAGUCUCGAUUUGUGCCACCGACCCAACAAAGAUCGUGAAACUAGGCUCCAAUCUUUCGGAGGAACAAUGAGAGAGGCUCAUCAACUUCUUACCGAGCACCACGACGUAUUCGCUUAGUCUCACUCGGAUAUACCGGGCAUCCUACCUUCCCUCUUUUGUCAUAAACUCGAUGUCAGCCUACAUUAUAAACCGGUCAAACAGAAGCGUCACACCUUCAACUAAGAGAGGUACGACGUACUUGAACAAGAGGCAGACCGCCUAUUAGCAGCGGGAUUUAUUCGAGAAGCAGUGUAACCCGAUUGUGUAUCAAACGUAGUUCUAGUCAAGAAAUCAAAUAGAAAGCGGCGUAUGUGUGUGGACUUCAUCGAUUUGAAUAAGUCCUGCCCUAAGGAUAGCUUCCCGCUUUCCUAGGUGGACCAGCUGGUUGAUGCAACAACGGGACAUGAGAUGCUUAGUUUUAUGGACGCCUUCUUCAAUUACAACCAAAUCCCAAUGCCGGGGCUACCUAUCAGCGGCUAGUGAACAAAAUUUUCAAGGAACAAAUCGGGCGUACCAUGGAGGUUUACAUAGACGACAUGAUCACCAAAUCAGUGCUUGCAAGGGAACACCUGAGGCACCUCAGAGAUACCUUUACAGUUUUAAGAAGACACCAAAUGCGGCUCAACCUUAAAAAAUGUGCAUUCGGGGUUAUCUCGGGAAAAUUUCUUGGGUUCAUGGUACAACAACGGGGGAUUGAGGCCAACCUUGAUAAAAUUCGCGCGGUUCUUGAAAUGAAGUUGCCACACACCAUCAAGGAGGUUCAAAGUUUAGCAUGCCGGGUAGCUGCCCUGAGCCGCUUUUUCUCCAAGGCCACUGACCGGUGUAAGCCUUUUUUCAAAGCUUUGAAGGCCGACAAGAAGCUCCAAUGGACACCCGAUUGCGAAGAAGCUUUCCGAGAACUGAAGGGGUACCUCGUGAAUGCUCUACCACUUACCAAACCUGAACCGAAUGAGGUGCUUCUGUUGUAUCUCGCCGUAUCCGAGCAUGCCACCAGCUUUGUGCUACUCUGAGAAGAUAAUAAUGGGGUACAACGGCCUAUUUACUACACUAGUAAGGCUAUGGUCGAUGCCGAAAAGAGGUACCCCACCUCUGAGAAGAUCGUUUUGGCACUAGUUGUCUCCGCAAAGAAGCUCAGACCAUUUUUUCAAGCUCACACCAUUGCAAUCAUCACCAAUCUUCCCCUCCGGCAAAUCCUCCAGAAGUUAGAUGUGUCCGGAAGGCUUCUCCGAUGGUCCCUCGAAUUAAGCAAGUUCGACAUCAUUUUCAAGCCUCGUUCGGUAAUUAAAGCUCAAGCUAUCGCUGAUUUCAUUACGGAAUUCGCCAAUGACUCAUGUGGUGAAGGUAAUCUAAGGUACCUGUCAGAUACCCCAUCCACUGAUGAAGGGGGCAGGUCUAGGAAAUAUAUGUAGAUGACUCAUCUAACUCACACGAAAGUGGUGCGAGAGUUAUUAUAAUCGAACCGAACAAGGUGAAAAUAUGCUAUGCUUUGCAAUUUGGAUUCAAGGCUUCAAACAACGAAGCCGAACACGAGGCCAUCAUAGCGGGGUUGAGGAUGUCAAAGGCUUUGGGAGCAAAAAGGGUACACGUUAAGAGCGACUCCUGGUUGGUGGUAAGUUAGAUUACCGCACAAUAUCAAGCGAAAGAGGAAAACAUGAAGGGGUACCUCAGAAAAACCAGAGAGUUGAUGUCCCAAUUUUGUGAGGUUAAGGUGGAAAGGAUAUCCCGACUGGAGAACAUCGAAGCCGACACUCUGGCAAAAAUGGCGUCCCUUGGUGUAGUUCAGUCAGCUGGCCCCAUCACGACAGAACACAUACAUGCCCCCAGUAUUGAUCUCCUAGAGCCAUUGGAAGUAGAAUCACUGUCCAACGGGGUACUUUGGAUGGUGCCUAUCAUAAGUACCUCAAGGACGGAGAACUCCCCUCAGAUAAAAGUGAAGUAAGAAGACUAAAGUAUAAAACCGAGCUGUAUUGCCUGAUCCAGGAUACCCUAUACAAAAUAGGGUUCACUCUUCAUUACCUUAAAUACUUGGGAAGUGACGAGGUCGAGUAUGUCAUGAAGGAGAUACAUGAGGGGAUUUGUGGCAAUUAUUAUGGAGCACAAUCACUGGCGCAAAAAGCUCUCCGUCAGGGGUACUACUGGCCUACCAUACGGGAAGAUGCUAAUAAUAUGGUACGAAGUUUUGACAAAUGCCAAAGGUUCGCUAGGGUACCCCACCUACCCUCAGAGAAGCUAACAAUUAUAUCUUCCCCUUGACCCUUCACUAUAUGGGGAGUGGACCUCAUUGGCCCGUUACCUACCGGGAGGGGACAAGCAAAACAUGCAAUCGUAGCGGUAGAUUAUUUCACAAAGUGGGCAGAAGUGGAGCCACUAACAAGCAUAACAGAACAAAAAAUAACGGAAUUCAUUUGGAAGAACCUCAUUUGUAGAUUUGGGAUCCCUUGUGCAAUUGUUAGUCAUAACGGCAAGUAAUUCGAUAAUGAAAAAUUUUGAAAUUUUUGUUCGGAGCUUAGGAUAGCCAACCGGUUUGCUACACCUGCCCACCCCCAAACUAAUGGGCAAGUCGAAGCCGUUAACAAGAUUGUCAAAGGUAUCUUGAAGAAGAAGCUAGAAGAAUGAAAGAGAGCAUGGGUAGAGCUACCUAAGGUUCUGUGGGCCUACCAGACUACUCAGAACACCUCCACCCAAGAGACCCCGUUUUCCCUCGCAUUCGAUGUUGAUACAGUGAUUCCAACAAAAAUCGGGGUACCCUCUCACAAGGUUGAAUACUUUGAUGAGGUUAAGAACACCUCAUUGAUUGCUUCAAAUCUUGAUUUGGUGGCUGAGAAAAGGGUUAGAGCAUAAUUGAGGACAAUCAUAUACCAGCAUCGCAUUUCGGGUCUAUAUGAAAAAAUGGUAUGCCUUCGAUCCUUCAAGAAAUGAGACUUGGUCUUGAGAAGGGUAACUCAGAGCAUUAGGGUACCCUGCGAAGGCACUUUUGGGGCAAAUUGAAAAUGACCUUACCGCAUCGAUAAACCCGUUAGGUCAAGUGCAUACAGGCUGCUCCACAUGGAUGGGACAAUCGUGAGGCAUCUCUGGAAUGCUGCAAUGCUACGGAAAUAUUACUAAAGGACAGUGUCUUAACCUUUAGUCUUUUGCUGUUAUUUGCUUUCUUUAAUGUUUUUGUGUGGUAGGCUAAAUGAGGUACCCCAAAUACCCUAUGUUGGUUAGUUGCAACUUUAGAAUUUCUUUAAUUCCCAAAUGAAAAGAAUAUGAGGUCUUACGGUCUCCCGUUCUCCUUAGGGUAACAAAGUUAAGUCAUGUAUUGAUCAAUGCUUUCGUUAUCUAUAAAUGCAAUUUCUUUCUCGACAAAUAUGAUGUGUGUUCUUAAUUUUUUCGCCACUUCGAUCAUGAAAUGCGAAUUAUAUUCAUUUAUCGCCAUUAAUAUACCCUCGCAUCUGGUUAUAUGCAAUUAUCGCCAUACGCCUGUCAAUUAUGACUAACCUAUUACAGGACCAGCCAGGGUACUUAGCAUGUAUAGAUCGUGACGAUCUAUGUAAAGCCAAGAUUGGCAACGGAGUGAAUAGCCCAGGGGUAGUCUUUCCGCGGAAGCAUGACAAAGCUACUUAAAUAAAGAGAGGGAGGGUUAAAGAGGACUUGAGGGUGAAGUAAAGCCGGCAUACCCUAGCGCCACGAGGUUCUGCUUAGGUAUAAGUACACCCACACCUCUGUCCUCUUACUUGAGCAAAGUAGGGGGUAGGCCAUUAAAAAAUUCAUAGAAAACUUCGAAAGAGCAAAAAAAAUUAAUUGGUUGGGCCAAUUGCGUGCUCUCAUUUUCAAUCAGGAUGUCGCGAUGGUAUUUUGAUUACCUAUUUGUGGAAGAUCCACCAUAAUUUUCAAAAAGGACAUGCACUAAGGGCGUCAAUCUACAUAAACCAGCAGACGCCGGAUGUCGAAUAUUUAUUAAGUACCUAGGGUACUCCAUUUUAAAAAAAAUUUAUCGCAUAUAAUGGGGAGUACCCUAAAGAUUUGCAAGAUAACAGUUUGGACUAGCAUUCAUUUGCAGAAUAACACGGAUACAAAAUACAAGUUCAAAAUAUGGAGGGCUCGGUAGUAUGGUAUCAUAACAAAAGAGAGAUCUUAACGAUGCAAGAUAUCCCAAGAAAUCAAAAAAUAAAAAUAAACAAGUUCCAAAUAGCAAAAUGUGGAUAGAUCCAUAAAAACAAGAGCACUAUAAAAUGGCUACACCGAGGGUGGAACACCGUCCCCACCAUUCGUCUCCAGAGGGCGAUCAGCAGAGGACUCUGAGGUACCCAGAAUAUGAGCAGCCGAAGCAGGGGCAUCUGAGGCAGGCAAUGGCUGAAGCACGCGGGGUACCCUAUGCGACCCAAGAGGGGUACCCGACCGUGCAUGGGAAGACUUAUUCCUCUCCUCAAUCGUCUUCAGAAUCGUGGCCUUGUUGACAAAUUUCUGCACACAGGGUACCUCCAGUUCUGGAUCCACGCUCCACACCUCCGUCAUGAUAAGGGAUAACGCCUCAUUCGCCAUCUUCUUCUGUCGGGACAAUAGAUCCUCAUUUGUGGCCCUCAGCUCAUCGCAAUUCCUCUCUACUCGAGUUUUCUCCCCAGAUAGGUCAAGAAUGCGUUCUUGUAAAAUUUUGACUUCUUGAGCAAGCUUGUCCUCGCAAGACUGUCGACUUUGGAGCUCACCCCUUAAUUUGUCAACCUCCGAUUGGGCGGCAACAAGAGAGUCGAGAUCUGGAAGGCAGUGGCUGAGGAGAAAGGAUGCUUGCAGGUCGUUAAAGACAUGUUAUAUAUAUGUGUAUGGCAAUAGGAACAAAUAAGUAAAGAAUGGAGUGUACCCUAGGUACCCCAAUAAAGGCUACCUCUUGGGUAGCCCUGAGUGCCUGACCAUAGCGCUCGCUCAAACUCAUCUUGUCCGUCUCUUCAACGACCUCGAAAGUAACAUUUUUAGCAGAAUAGUAGAAACAGCGAGUCAAGUGUGAAACUUUCUUGUUGGAGGUCGGGUCUAGGUCACCUUCGCACAAUUCGUCAGGGAAAGCAGAAACCAACUCGAAUUUUUUCUUUUUAGAAUGAGGGGUACCCUUCAACCUGCUGUGGGAGGUACCCUAGGAUUUCUCCUUCAGUCCGAGAGCUCGAGGUGGCCGGGUAUUUUUUUGAGGUAACGCCAAAUCCUGAGAUCCAAAAGCUCCACUCACUACUACUUGGAAGAAAGCAUCAAAAGCAUCACUCGCUGACUCUAUAACUGCACUCAAUGCACAAAAGUGAUGUUAGUCGGACAGGCGCUAAGUACUACAAACGCAAAAAUGGCAAACAAAAAACAGAAAAACUAAAUAAAGAACGCGGAGAUAACGGGGUACCCCAGUCCUGUAGAUAAUAACAGGGUACCCCCAACAUCCAAAUCAUACAUGAGUCACCACCGGAAGCAGGUGGAAAACUUCGGUCAAUCAGCCCCGCUCCCCCUAACCUGCUCUCUUCUAACACAUCACUACCCCUCUGUGCACCUCGAAACCUCUCCACAAACUUCUUCACAUCUUUUCCCACCUCCUGAACUGGGCAUGAUCCUUUAGCCCAUGUCACACCUACAAAAUCACGGAGAACCCAAGGUUAGUGAGACAUUUAUGCGAAGGAUUACAGUAAAGAACAGUAAACAAGGGAGAUACUUGCAGUCUACACUGAAGGAACUUAGAACCUCCAAAGGGUUGCCCUUAUCACCUAAAGUCUCUAUCCCCCACUUACCUUCAGCGACAAACCACUCCUUUUUGUAACCCUUCUUCAAGGCGGAGUCCCUUUUAACAAUAUUGACAUGAUCACUCCAAGCAGAGAAGUAAACAAUAGCAGAACUCUUGGGCUUUUUGAAUUGGUAAAGGCCCUUCAACUCCCGAAUAAAAAUAUCACGCCUCAAUACCUCCAACCAUAACACCUGCAAGCCCGUACGUAUCCUCCACCCUAGAAGGGACAGCUGCGCAGGAACUACCCCUAAAUAGCUAAACAUCCUCAUAUAGAAAGGUGGGAGGGGCAUGCGGAGUCCAAAAUCAAAGAGGUUAAUGUGAAGAGCAAUCCCGUCAGACUUCGGACACUCAGGUCGUUCAUCCACAUAGAGUACUCUAAGCUGGACAGAGGGAUGAAUAUUGUAUUUGGCUCUAAUUUGUUCUAAGUCCCUCAAAGUAGCCCUCCUAGCACCUAGUGAAUGAGUGUUACCAUAUUUUUAAAGUGUGCCAGAGGGAGACUUGGGAGGCUGGUCUGAGGAAUGAGCUGGAACUUGGGCUUGGAUGACUUACCCUUUCUUCGAGGAUGGUGGGCUGGUCGUUUACUAGAAAAGCGUUGGCUGACACGAGAAGCACUCCUAGAGGGAGGGAGCUCAAAAUGUGAGUUACAACUCGUAGAGGUACUAGGAAGAGACCUAUCACCCUCACUAAUGGAAAUGUGGGAAAGAGAUCCUGUAGGAGGGCUGUCAACACUACUAGCCUCAACUGCACGAUGCUUCCUCACUGGUCUCACUUUUUUCUUACCCAUUGACUUCUUGCCACACACCACCAGGCCACAAGUCCCCCAACAACAUAUCCACCAUGCCACAAGCCCCUAACAACAUAUCCACCAAGCCACAAGCCCCCAACAGCAUAACCAACAGGCCACAGGUCCCCAACAACAUAUCCACACCAUACACCACCCACCACACAUCAACCAUCAAAUACAAACACCAACCACAAAAAAAUAGAAAUAAAAAAUAAAUUUUUCUCAGAGUAUGCAAAAUAGUGCCAUUGUAAAUGCGCCAAAAGAGGAAGAACGAGGAAGGAUACCUGUAAUUCACCAACUUGGCAAAUCAGGACUUGUGGUCGUGGGGUGACAAAGCUGCAGGUAACCAAAAAUAGUAGGUAAGAAUAUGCAAGUAUAAAAAUAAAAAAUAAUCUUAAAUAUAUGUAGUUAUUUAUUUAAAAAAAAAGGAUGAUAAAAUGAAAAACGAAGAAGACAGCAGGGGAAAAGCAUUACGGUGACCAGAAUACCGCUAGCCACCAUCCGAAUUUGACGUCGGUAGCCGUAGUUGUAGCCAUCGAGAACCACCGUGGGAAUGAAGAACGAGGAAAUAAAAAAAAAUAAAGAAUGAAGAAGACAACGCGGGAGGCGGAAGCUGCAGCCACCGAACCAACGCCGGCUGCCGCGGCCACAGCCACCGAACCGACACCGGCUGCAGCGCCGAGAACCAAUGCCGAAGAUCAUGAAGAAGAACGUCGGCAAAAAAAAAGAGUAAAGAAGAAAUUUGUACCUGUGAGCAAUAUUGAUGCAGUCAUGAGAAAAGACAAAAGUUUGAAGGAAGAAGCCACUUGAUCGGUUUUAUGGGAGAUUGUUUUGGAAUUUUCAAAAAUAAUAAUAAGAGAUUGAUAUUUACGUCAGGGGAUUUUAAUUAAACCUGACAGAGCACACUGAACAAAAAGAAAGUCAGGGAUGUUUGCAUGAGAUUGAUACUUUUAAAAUUCAAAUUGCAUGUCAGACGGCUGCCACUUCCCAAGAAAAAUGAGAGAGAGACAUUAAGACAACUGUUUGUUCUCAUCGUAAAAAAAAAAAAGGGCGAGAAAAGGAAAAGACAAAGAGAAGAUUUUUUUAGCUCGACAAUACACAAAGUUUAAUCAAUGGAAGAAACUGAGCAAGGUACCCCUGGUCCAGCCAUUCACCAAGCCGAACCCCGCAUCGCCACGUGUCACUCAUACAUCAUAUAAUAAGUUUUUUUGCCUCUAAUACUUCUCUCUAAAAGAAACUAGGGGGAUGUUGUUUGGAAGAAAAAUAGGAGAGGUAGUAAAGCGCCACGUGUCAACGAAUAGAAUAACUCCAACACAAUCUAAGGUACCCGGCAUGAAUUCAGGUACUUCGCAUAAUUAGAGGUACUCCACACAAAUUGAGGUACCCCGCACAAUUCGAGGUACCCUACACAAUCUGAGGUACCCGAUAUGAUUCAAGGUACCCCGCACAAAUAGAGGUACCCGACGUGAUAUGAGAUGCCCCGCACAAUUAGAGGUACUCCACAUACAUUGAGGUACCCCAUGUAACUGGAGGUACCGACAGAUUGGAUGCAAGAGAACCCUCUGAAAAAGUCCACCAUGAGAAACGUCUCUACCUUUUAAAAGAUAUUAUUCGAUUUUGUCAAAAUUAUCAAUAAAAAACGUCGUGCUAAAAGGGGGGGACAUCUGCCUGCCACCUCUGCCAAAAGUGAAGGACAUUGUCCCAAGGACAGUGGUCCUCAACUGCCUACCUGACAGCUACUGUAGAGGUACCUUAGACUAUUCUCCAGUGCGCCACGUCUCCAAAGGAUGAGAUAUGCCGUGAACAUGCACAAAACGGCCUAAAAAUCAUAAAAAGGUAAAAAGACAUUAGCAAAAAAUGGUACGCCACGUGGCAGCUGAUGUACUCCAUAUAUAAAGGUACCUAGGUUUCAUUCUCCAUCAUACUCUAAUUCACCAACAACACUCACACUCCAUAAAAUAGGUUUUCUUCAACCUUAAAACUUAAUUUAUAGAGGGCUAGCAAGCUCUCUUGGCCAUAAAAAGCUUGAGUUUGCUAACUUGAGCGUCAGAGUGUGAACGUCGGAGUACCCCGGCUUCACCUCUAACCUCUAUUUCAUUAUUUUGCAAGCGUGAAGCUCAUUUGGAAUGACUUUUUUCUUGGUUCAGACCUUUCUCCAUUGUUGCCACUCCCUCUUCCCUUCUCACCUCCCCGAAUUUCAGAUACACCGCACACAACAAACCAGUGAGGUAACCCGUCUCCCCCAAAAAUACAAAUUCAUUGUUCUAGCUAGGUUUGGCUUUUCCUACCCCAAAAUCUAUCGAAAACAGUAGGCAUGGUGGUUUGAUGGGAAUUGAGAGCAUAUCGAGCAUUUUCAUUAAAGCUCUUGUAGAUUUUAUGACUAAAUCUGUAUACAGUAUUUCAACAUCUACAUUUUUUUCUUAUAUCUUGAGACCAAAAGGACAUCACCAAUGUCAACAUUAUGGAAAAAACAUUAAAAACAAAAAGACAAACCAAAAACCUAUAUACAUGAACUCAUCCAACUCACCAUUAAUGUUCGAAUUAAUUUACACCAGUAGUCUUACAGCAUGAGUCAUAUAAUCACCCAAUGAAAGGCUCAUCUAGCACUUUCUUCUUGAAUCACAACUUUACUAAUAGCUUUGUUUAGUGCAUUUCUUCUUUUAGCUUAUCUGAUGAAUGUGUUUGGGGUGUAUAACACCCUGAUUAGAGGCAACCCACCAGGAUUCCCGUGCUCAUAGGCGAGGAGCUACAAAAUGUAUCCCAGCAGGAUUCACGUGCUCAUAGGUGAGGAGCUACAUGAUAUACUCUUGUAGGAUUCACGUGCUCAUAGGCGAGGAGCAAUCUUGUACAUCUGAUAGACGAAGUACGAGAGGGUUCAAAAAAGAAUCCAGGUGCUAAAGGACCCAGUCAAUGGUAGUUAUCGACACGUACUCUCGUUUCACAUCGAAAGACCCGACGUAGUAAUGAACGUGGGGGAGUGGGAAUUGAGCGCCCAAGUAAUAAGCUAUAAAAGGGACUUUCGGGUUAGACAUUGAGGGGGAUUCUUUUUCCUCUCACUCGGCGAGAUUAAAUCCAUAGGAUCAUUUUCCCUCUCUAACCACUGAGAAAUUUCUCUUUCUCUCAUGACUUCUUUAUCUUUAAAAUUGAUUAUUUUGAAUUCUUUUCCUUUAAAUUUACUUAAAAGCUUUUUGUUUAAAACAAUCAUAAUUAAGCCACAUGAAUUGUGGUAUGGGUUUUUUCAAAUAGACCCAAAUCGCUGACUUGAGCGUCGGAGGGUUCUCGCCGGAAAAACUUUCGGCACCUGCUGACUGUUGGCUGUGCUCACAGGCUCACAGGUUAUCUGGUCAUGGAUCGUCUGCUCAUGGAUCGUCCGCUCAUGGGUGGUCUGCUCAUGGGUGGUCUGCUCAUGGAUCGUCUGUUCAUGGAUCGUUUGCUCAUGGAUCGUUUGCUCAUGGAUCGUUUGCUCAUGGAUCGUUUCCUCAUGGAUUGUCUGCUCAUGGGUGGUCUGCUCAUGGAUUGUCUGCUCAUGGGUGGUCUACUCAUGAAUUGUUUGCUCAUGGGUGGUCUGCUGAUGGAUUGUCUGCUCAUGGAUCGUCUGCUCGUGGGUUGUCUACUCAUGGAUCAUUUGCUCAUAGAAAAUAUGCUCAUUGUGCUAACUAAUCAGCGGCUUCCCACCAAACAAAUUUAAUGCUGAUGCAGGAAUCUGAGAUCUGACCAACUCAUCCGAAUUUCGACAUCAACAGAAUGUACUCUGCCACUAUCACAUGGAACUUGGGAGCGAGCUUACUUGAAGAGGAAACAUUCAGCCCUGCUUUCUUCAAGGCCCUAUUAACAUGUUUCUGAGCCUUUUGGAAGUGGACCGAGCAGAGAGCAGGCGAAGUGGAUUUAAUUAUCGGCUUUCCACAUGUUAUGGGACCUUGCACAGCGCUAUAUGCGUACAAACAAGAAGAAAAAUUAUCAAUUUCAAGUCAUUUCUAAUCGUUUGGCAUUUUUGGUUAAACUUAUGGAUGCAUGUCACUUAUUUCAAAAUUUUGUGAACUCAGUUUGUAGUUGGUCAAAUAUUAAGGGAUCUGAAUUCUGCGAUCAGCCAGCAAAAGUUACCUAAUUUAUCUGAUUAUAUGUUUUUAUCAUUGCAUUUGAUCAAUGACAAAUGUUGAGGAUUUAGUAGAAAAUAUUUUCUUCAACUUUUAUAAAGAAAUUGCUAAUAAGAAGAAGCGUAAACUCAAAUGAUAUAAAACAAUGAAAAUUUUGAUAGAGCCAGCAAAUUGUUUCUGUUUUAACCAUUCAUGGCCUCUAUUUACAUUUUCAAUUUCGACUGCUGUAUCAUGGCUCGGCAUACAGCAUAUUAUACUUAUGUUUUAAUUGGGUAAAUUGGCUGUUUCGUACAGGUGUUAUUAAAAAAAAAAAUUUAAUCUGUUUAAAUCCAAUUAAAUGAGGUUAAAAUACAAUAUCUACCAGGACAAGGCCGUUUUGAAUUCUUAAUUACGUUAAUUUCUCGUCUAUAAUGAGCCCUCUUUGAGAUAAAACACAUACAAUCAAGCAAUCUGGCAGGCAUCAAGAUUAUUCAAUCGUUCAAGAUGAAUGCUCGUUUGCUUGUUAGCAGUAGUAGUACUGGGCAUCCUCUCCUCAUCGGUGCCUCCUGCAGCAGCAGUCAAUGAUGUUGUGGACUCACGAUUUCCUGGAGCAAUGUGCAUCAAAAUUAACACCAAACUAUGCAGCAGUCUAUGAUGUUGUGGACUCACAAUUUCCUGGAGCAAUGUGCAUCAAAAUUAACACCAAACUAUGGCCAGGAGAUUGAAGCAGGCAUGUACAAAGAUGGAAAGGAGAAGAACAAAGUACUUUCUGCUAAUUGCUGCGAUCAACUUAUAGCUGCAGGAUGGGAUAUUGGGAUUGUCAUGAAAAAUUUGUGGAGGUAACUCCACCUUUUCACAAUCAAACUGAAGCUGUGGCUAAUCAAAUUUGGCAAGGUUGCGUAUAUAGAUAUGAUUAUUGACCUAUUUGGUACUAAUAUCUCUCAAUGGGAUGUAAUCUCACACUUUUAAGAAAUAAUAAGAAUAAUUAUUAUUAAUUAGUCUUGUACAUGCAAUCAAUGUUGAAACUGAACAAUGUACCAUUGAACUCCAACAAUCAUAACAAAUGCCAAUGCAUUAGCAUGGAGUCUGAAUGUAAUAAACAGGGCAAUAACACAAAUAAUACCUUGGAAGUAGGCACCACCGUGCAAAUGGUAAAGUCUCAACCUGAAGAGGAAACAGCUUCCUGACAACUCUCUGCUUUGGAAACAUUUGCUUCGUCUUCAUGAAAACUGGGAGCUUUAGGAGUGAGUCCAAGAACCUUGAACAUGAGUUGAUCAGCAACGAAAUUGUUGUUCGGAGUUGUCAAAAGUUUCUCGCCAGUAAAGAUGGAAUUAGCACCGGCAAGAAAACACAGUGCCUGCUCUGGCAUGGAAGAACGAAUUCUUCCAGCUGAUAAUAUGACCAUUGCUUUUGGCAUGACUAUACGUGCUGUAGCAAUCAUCCGAAUCAUCUCCCAUAUUUCAACUGGCUGAACAUGGAAUUAGGAAAUCGACUUUGGUUAUUUCCAAGCAUAGAGUAACUUUUCAUGGACAUGGAAAGCUUUUUAGAUGCUCUUUAACAAUGAUGGCUGCCUUUUACAACAACACAGUGAGGGUAAAUAUGCUGAAGUAUAUCAUUCUUCCAAGCAAACACUACUCUAGAAACUUUUAUUAUCGGCAAUUUGUAUCAGACUACGUGGGUUUCACCAACAAUUUAUAUUAAAGAGCAAUAAAUGAUAAGAGAGAAACAACAUCAAUGACAGAAUAUGCUUGCAGUAAAAUAUAAUAUAUGCUUGCAGUAAGAUAUGAUAUAUAUAUAUUUAUAUAUAUUCCACCAAAACAUUAAAUGGUAUUGUGUUAAACAGGAAUAAAAUCACCUUCUGAUCUUGAAGAGGGGUGCCUUUCACUGCAAGCAGCGCAUUGAUGGGAACACUCUCUGGAUGAGUAGGGAGUGUUGCUAGUGUAUGCAACAAACCAACUCUGUCCUCCUCUGCUUCUCCAAGCCCUAUUAUACCACCUAUGAACAGAAAAUCAAAUACUCAUUGUCAAGAUCUGUUUAUCUUUGCAUUGAAAGACGAAAAAAGAAAGAUCUAUCAUCUAUUUGACAAUGAGGUUGAAGAAUGUUUGGUGAAUUUUAACAAUGGCACCUUGAAGUUAGAACAGAGAAUUGCAUGACUACCAAACUAAAAUGAAACGCUUAUGCAAAUAUCAUUGAUUUCAGUUCAUUUGAUGAUUUUGAGGCUUGAAAAAGGCAUUGCUUUGAAGGUUAGGAUUCCCAACUGAGACACAUGUUAAUUUCAAGUGAUGUUUGCAAAGACAAUCUAACUCCACAGACAAUAUCCUACCAAGCUUUAUUUAAACAAACAAAAAAAACAAAGUAGCCAUCAUCAUAGCCACCUCUUGAAUAAACAGAUUAAUUGUUUCCUUUCUAGAAUCUUAACACGUUUGGAAGGUUAUACCAGGAAUCUUGAAUCAACUCAGCAGUGUUAAUUUUAUUUUAUUUUUUAAAAUCAACUCAGCAGUGUUAAUUUUAUUUUAUUUUUUAAAUUCUAGUAAAAGAGAAUAAACCCUUUAACGAAAUUUCAAACUCUCUGUUCAGCGAAACUGAAAUUCAACUGAACCCAGGAACUUAAAACUCUGGUAUCUGUUGCCAAUGAUGGAGAUAAGUGAUAUUUGUGCUCACUUAAGAGACUUUUAAUAGAUUUAGUAACUAAUUACAUCUCAAUCCUAACCCUGGCCUCUUUGACAUGACUAAUACUUAAAAAGCUGCAAAGGACAAAAACCACCAACAGCAUAUGGAAUUGUAUCAUAUGGUUUGGCACCAAUAUGAACCCUAGGUGAUGAGCUUGUCUACCUUUCAGAAGGGGUACAUAUCAUCUUAAAAGUGGAUAUGAUCUUUCUCUGGAGGUUAAAGAAAGCCAUACAACAUAAAAAUUCUUCCUUCCCUUUUCUACUGUUUUUCACCAUUUAAUUUCUCAAUUCGCCCAUUCAACCAAUAGAAGGUGGCAAGAUAAAAGUCCACACAGAAAAAAUGCUCAAUAAGAUAGCAUAAUCAACACUAUAGUACAAAAUUACCUGAACAGACAUUAAUCCCAGCUUCACGGACAUGCUUAAGGGUUUCCAAAUGUUCAUCAUAACUACUUGUAGUAAUGAUUUUGGGGUAAUAUUCUCUUGAGGUAUCAAGGUUAUGGUUGUGCGCUGUAAGGCCUGCUUUCUUGAGUUCUAUAGCCUGCUGCUUCUCCAGCAUGCCCAAGGUGCAGCAAACCUCCAUUCCCAUGUCCCUCAUACAUGACAGAUUAAAACCCAGCUCAACAUUUGGCGGAUAAGCAAGAAAAUCUAAGACAAAGUUAGUCAAAUUUUCAAAAGCUAUGGCAAACAAUUAAUAGGACAAGUAGCUCAUGAAGCAUUGUAGAAGUUCUAUUACUUUUGAAACCUACGGAAACCCAAGAAAAGAAUUGAUGUUAAAAUUAUGAAUUGGAAAGCAUCAUAACAUAAGACAGAAGCUGUAUUCCAUGUAAUUCUUUUGUUGAAAAGAAAUAUUCGCUGGCUGUGUGUUGUUGCAUAUAACUUGAUAGUAAAAUACAAAAGCAUAUUCAAAUUUCUUGCAUUUAACAAAAUAAAAUUUUCAUCAACCCAGAGUUGACAUUACAUUACAGUCAACAUCUACAGUACUUACAUUGUCCAAGUAUCACAACUGAAUUCAUAGGGGGGAAAAUAAAAAGUAAAGAGAACUGAUAUAAGAAAUAUACAACCCUGUUAAUUAUGGUUCUAAAUAAGUUCCCUUAAUUGUGGAAUUCCCACAUUAUAAUAAUGUAGCAGGCUCAUUAUCUACAACACAAUCAUCCAAUCAAAAGCACGAUUAAAAAUUCACCUCCUUCUUUAACAAUGAGGACUUUCAUCAUGAAUUGCUUUAUUACCUUAUAUCUUUUACGUAUUCAAGUGUUUGGUUGAAAUUGGUUUUCCUCCCUAUUGUGUCUCUCCAUGCAGCACCCAUUCAAAAUCAUGUACUUCCGGCCUCCUUUGCCUGCAAAAGUAUAAUUAUAUUGAUAACAAGCUACUAAGAAACUAGCAUUGUAUCAUGUGAAACACAAAGCUCGUCAAACAAGUUUGAUAGAUAUUUGAAGAAGUUUUCACCAAUAUGGAAAACUGUAAUGGGUAGAUCUCAAUCCAUUCAUAAAGAUAGGCAUUCAAACAAGUUGUCGAUAUAUAAAAUUGAACUCAAAUGUAUAUUAAUAUGAUAUUGCAGUAAUUAGCCUCACAUUCAAAUCCAUAAUUGACUUGGAAAUCCCUCAUAGUAACAGAGUAUAACCAAAAAAAUUAAUCAACACUGCAUUUUUUCUAGUGCUAUGUCCGCAUCAGGAUAAACUAAAUCAGAUUAUUGCCCCUUAAAUGAGCGCAUGGAUAAGAAAAUAGCUUAGGGUAAAUAGUCAUUCAUCAGUACUCUUGUUCUUGUAAUGUUCUCUCCCUUUUCCAACUAAAUUAUCUUGCGGAACUUGUGAAUCACAUUUACUUUUCAAUUAAUUAAAAUCAAGUCUCUCCAUUUUCACAUGUAUAGCAUAUGUGCAAGACUAGUAUCGAGAAUUACUUUCAAAGCUCCGUAAUUUUCCAACCCUGUUCCUAUAUUGCUGCUCUAACACACCGUGAAGCUUACUCGAACUACAGAACAUUUACAAUCAAUUUUAAAAGAAUAUGCCAUUAAAGAAUCAACAACCACCAGCAUCUUGGAUAUAGCAAUUCACAGUGAACUUUGCUGACCUUUUGUGCUGCCUGCAUCACGGCGUCUUUAGUCAUAAGCUUUUGGCCCUUCACUCCAGUGUCAUAUCCAGAGGAUUGAGGACAAUAUGAACAAUCCUCACUGCAUCCACCCGUCUUGAUGGAGAGGAGAGUGCACUGCUGCGCUUCCCUGAAGUUAUGAGCAUGUCUGUGAACUUGAGCCUGAAAAAUAAAAAGAACCUCCUACCUAGUUGCUCAAUCGGUAACAAUAAGUUUGCAUAUAGUUACUUUUUAAAAAAAAAAAAAAAUCAACAGUGUAUUAUUGCCUACAAAUAAAUUUUAAACCAAAAAGAUCUCGCAGGGCAUUAUGUUCUUGGAAAACAUGAUACUCCUCUUCUACUCCAAAAGACUAAUACCAGACACUUUUGUCAAAAACUGUUUUUGAAAAUCAUUAGACAACACAUUUUUCAAAUAUUCUAAGUUUCCUGUUUUCAUUCUUGAGAAUAAUUUGUGAAAAAAGAAAAAAUUCUAAAAUAAUCCCAAAGCAUUAAAAGAAAAAAAAAACAGAUACCAGCCCACUAAAACUGCAAAAAAUACAUUAGCAGAAUGGGGGUUCUAAAUUAAAACAAAAAUAAGAAACAAAAACAUAUUGAAUGAGAGAAGUGAAAAAUACAGACUCCAUGGAAGAGGAGAUCGAGAACAGGAGAGUCGUAGAUAGAUUUGAUGUCAUAUUUAGACCAAUCGUGUCUGGGACCUUCACGUAUUGUUCUUUCAGCUUCAAUGGCAGCAGCCGAGGCUGAGUAACACGAGCAAGAAGAAUGCAAUGCCAGAAAUUUCUUUGAGGGUCUUAAACUUAAACUACGUUGCGAACGCAGUAACGAUCGAAACGACAUCAUUUUGAUUUUUUUUUUCCGUUGCUGGAGCUGCACUGGAUUUUUGGCGAUGAAAACUAGGAGUGUCAAUCGAGAGAGAAGAAAGAAGAAUAAGACGAAAAGUUAGAUAGCUACUUGCUACCGACCUAAUUUUUUUGAACUUUGAAGGAUAUAGGCAUAUACGUGGCUUUGUUUCUUAAACUAUAUUUGUAAUUACAUCUAGGUCGCUAAUUGCUUUACUAUUUCUCAAACAAGAGCAUAGUUUCUCUAUUUUUAUCAUAUAGGUCCUAGUAAUAGUUCCUUCUUGUUUAGAUGUACGGAGAGUACCGACAAUACUCUCCACCCAUUUUUUUUGAAAGGUACUGCAAGAACGAUCACCCAAAAAUUAAGUGAAAAAUAAGAUUUUAUUAUUUAUUUAAAAAAUUAUAUUAACUUUUCAAAUUUUAAAAAAUCUUUUUAAUUAAGAUUUUAAAAUAAGAGAUAUUCUUUCUUCGAUUUUAUAAGGUGCUUUCUACAUCUUUAAUUUAUAUUUUAUUAUUUUGUAUUAAAAAAAAUAAUUUAAUUACUAUUUAUUUAAAAAAAUAAUUAUUUAAUUCAAAUAAUUUUGAUAAGAAACUUUUUAAAAAAUAUAUUUUUUCACUUUUCUAUUUAUCACAUAAGUAAGUAAAUAAAUAUUUAAAAAAUAAAAUUAAUAGUAUUUUUUAAUGAUGCUCUAAGUAUAUAUUUUAUUAGGGGUUGUUUGUUACCAGGUCUCCACAUUUAUUAAUUCAGUUAUUUUGUAAACCACUUCUUGGUGGAAUGCUGGUAUAUUUUUUAAGAGUUGGAUUAUUGGCACCCCUCCAUAAUUCUUUUAAAACCCCUCUUCUAUUAUAAUUACAUUUUAGGACAAUACUAUAAUAUAUCUCAUAUCUAUUUUAUCUCAUUUCAAACUUUUGUUUUUUCUCUCUUUAAAAAAAAAAGAAAAAUUCUUAUAUUUUCUCUGCUAUCACAUUCACACAUGUAAUUUUUUUCUCAAAUUCUCUAUAAAUUUUUCUUCAAUUAAUAAGAUAAUGUAUUGAUAAUAAACAAAACACAUUCUGAUAAAAUUGUCUUACUUUUUUUUAAGUUCAUACUAAAACUUUUUACAUCAUAAUCUUAGAGAUAAUUUAUUUGAUUCAUUGAUUUUUAUAAAGAAGUUUAUCACUGAUAAAAAUUAUUUGUGAGGAGUGAGAAAAAAAAUAAAAAAUUAAAAGAUUCACAAAUUAAAUGUGUUUAUUUAGAAGUAAGGGUAAUUUUGACAUUAUGUCUAAUAUAAUUGAAAAAGGGGUUUUAAAAGAAUUUUGGAGGAGUGUCAAUAGUCCAACUCAUUUUUUAAUGCACUUUCUUGACUUGGCUUAUGAUGGACCUGUUUUGUAAUAGCCUUCAACCAUGGGUUGCUUCUCCCUGACCUAUGAUAGGCUCUAUUGGCACCCCUCUAUUUUAUUUAUAAAACCCCUUUCCUUUUGUAUUUAUAAUUCUAUCGUUUAUAUAUCAAACGCAAAAAUUCAUCUAAUUAAACGGAAUUUGCUAUAAACUAAGUUUAAUUCACUUUAUAAUUUUUGUUUGCGAGAAAAAUAAUUUUGUGAAGUAUUGUUAAUUUUAUGAGCUUGUUAAGGUACAUCCAAACCUUCUGGUUAUUCAUAAAUUAUCUUCUUCUUUGUCGAUUCUAAAGAAGAGUGCAUACUUGUAUUACAAAAACACCAUAUGUACAUUUGAGGGUUUAACUUUAAAGUAGGAGAAUAAUAGCAGCAUAGCAUUACUAGUUGGGAGGUUAUUGAGGAGGUUUAUAAAAAGAGAAGGGAUUUGAUGAGGAUGAUAGAGGGGCGCCCAUAGCAGAUAGCACCAUUCUAUGAAUGUUUGUAAUGUGUUCCAAACGCCAAUUUUUUGGGUGCGCUCAAAUCUAUGUAUUGAAAGUCGAACUCCAUAAUUUAUAAUAUUGUCUUAUUGUUUCGGUUUAAGGAUAUAAUUAUGUAGCAUAAAUAAAUUGAUUGAUAUAGUUUUAAAUAUUUCUGAUAUCAAUGUCUAAAUGUUUAUCUAUAUCUUCUUUUUAUAAUAAAAACAUUUUUAAUGUAUUGUACAUUACUUAGCUAUCUCAGAGAAUUGCUCAUUUGCGCGUGGACUUGUAAUUGAUUGAUAAUUGUAUAUAUUUGUUGUCAAUAUUAUUAAAUGUUAAAAAAAAGACAAAUACACUUUGGUGAUUUUUUUUUAAUUGGAUAGAUUUUGCAUAAGAAGAUUACAUGAACAUAUUCUCAUACUCAAUUAAUAUAUUUCAAAUUCACCGAAUAAUUAAAGAAAGGGUGGGGUUCUUUAAACCCCUCAAAUUUCUUUCUAAACCCAUUUUUUAAAUAAACUCGUAACUAAAAUUUAAAAAUAUUAAUUUCAUUUCUAUUCAUUUGAGAAUUUCAAAAAUAACCCUUAGUAGAAUUUCUAUACAUUGAUAUUUUUCUAAUUGUUCUUGAUUUGAACUAACAAAGAGACUUGCCUUUGUCAAUUUGAAAAACAUUUGACAUCAUGUAGAGAUAAAUUUCAGUUAAUCAUCUUCAAUCAAACCUUAUUUGAAUUAUAAAAUCAUUUUUUAAUGUUGGUAUUUGCACUAAUUAUUCCUUUUGAAAGGGAGAGGAACUUGCACAUUCCCAAAUAUUCCUUCAAGAAGUUACAAACCAAACGAUUUACUAGUUUCUAUUGUUUAAUGUAAACUCCAGGAAUUGAAAUAUCAAGAGAUAGUUUCAUCUUGUGAUACAAUUUUUUUUAAAACUAUCAAAAAAUAUUUUUGAUAUACCAUUUAUGCAAAUAUAAGAAACUAUUUAUCUGUAAAUUUGAAUUAGAUUUCUCUCAUCAACUAUCAUAUUUUCAAUAUAAACUAAAACAACUCACGCUAGUUUAAAUAGAUGGAUGCUGAAAUAUGAAGUAAUUUUGAUACUAACAUGUUUAUAUAAGUAAUUUUAUCAAAGGAUAUUUUAGAGAAAAAAAUAUGUUGACUAAAGAUAAACUCUAGUUGGUUAGUAAACAAGUUCAUUUUUAUAGUAAACGAGUCAAAUUUGAUUUUAGAACUUUUUUGUUAAAAAAAUCUGACUACUAAAUAAAAAUAAAUUUGAUUUCACUAAAUAAAAAAUUUUGAUUACUAAAUAAAAAAUACAUUUGAUUGCUAAAUAAAAAAAUCUAAUUACUAAAUAAAAACUAAAAUAUUUUACUGUAAAAGUUGACAUGUUAUAAGAGAUAUUUUACCUGAUCAAUUUUAAUUCAAUUAAGGCAUGAUAGUUUUUUUAAUUUAAAAGUAGAAAGUUAACAGGUUGGAUGUGCGGUUUUACAUAAAAAGUUAAUAGGUGCAUAUUGAUAUUUGUCAAAACAUUUGGAUGUGCAUGGAAAUGAACCUUUCCAAAUGUUAAAAACGGUUGCCCAUGAUUAAUUUCUAUUCUGACCUUUAAUCUCAACCAUCCCUUUUCAGUCUCUAGAUCCAACGAAUCAAAAAUGCAUGGCUGUUACGUACAGUUUCUGUGACGUAGCCAGCUCCUUUUCAAUGAAUUUUAUUGACUUGGCUUAUGAUGAAUCUGUUUUGUAACAGUCUUCAACGGUGGGUUGCUUUUCCGUACCUAUGAUUGGCUCUAUUGGCACCCCCAUAUUUUAUUUAAAAAAACCCUUUUGUUUUGUAUUUGUAAUUUUAUCGUUUAUAUAUCAAACGCAAAAAUUCAUCUAAUUAAACGGAAUUUGCUAUAGUUUUAUUUACUUUAUAAUUUGUGUUUGCAACAAAAAUAAUUUUUUGAAGUUUUCAUAAUUGUUAAUUUUAUGAAAUUGUUAAGGUACAGUCAAACCUUCUGCUUAUUAUUUUUUUUUUAUAAUGAAAAACUUAAAUAAAUUAAAAAACAUAUCCAUGAAUUAUCAUCUUCCUUUUCGAUUUUGAAGAAGAGUGCAUUCUUGUGUUGCAAAAACGUACAUUUGAGGGUUUAACUUUAAAAUAGGAGAAUAAUGGCGAGAAUAAUAGCAGUAUAGCAAUACUAUUUGAGAGGUUAUUGAGGAGGUUUAUAAAAAGAAAAGGGAUUUGAUGAGGAUAACUGAGGGAUGCCAGCAGCACUCUAUAAAUGUUUGUUUGUAAUGUGUUUCCAAUGUGAAUUUCUUGGGUGCGCUUAAAUCCAUGUAAUGAAAGUAGAACUUAUAAUUUAUAAUACUAUCUUAUGGUUUCGGUUUAAGGAUAUAAUUAUGUAGCAUAAAUAAAUUGAUUGAUAUAAUUUUAAAUAUUUCUAAUAUCAAUCACUAAAAGUUUAUCUAUAUUUUUUUUAUAAUAAAAACAUUUUUAACGUAUUAUACAUUACUUAGCUAUCUCAGAGAAUUGCUUAUUGAGGUGUGGACUUGUAAUGAUCAUAAAAAUGUCAAUAAUGAAAACGAAAAGCAGUAAUAUGAAAACUAGUAGAGCCAAGUACUCGGCAAGAAGGAGUUAACCUAGGGUAUGUUUUAAAGACUUAGAAGAAAUGAUGAGAAAGCUUAACUCACUUCAUUGAUUUACAAAUACCAAUAUAUACAACGAAGAGUGCAACAACUACCUAUAUUAUUGGUUUGUUACAACUGAAUAUAUCUUUACAUUCAAAAUACUUUGAACAUGUAAACUCCUAUAAUCAUGGAGGAGAAUCCUCUAUCAUGCCCCCUCAAGAUGGACUUCUUGAAAGCAGUCCGAUCUUGCGUCGAAGUUGAAGGAAGCGUGGUGGUGGGAGAGCUUUUGUAAGAGCAUCAGGUAGCUGAUCAUUAGAUGAUACAUGUGCUACCCGUAAGGAACCGUUUUGAACUUGCUCCUUGAUAAAAUGAAAUCAAUGGUAACAUGUUUCAUCCUUGAGUGAAAUAUUGGAUUGGAAAACAACUGAGUUGCUCCCACAUUAUCGUAGUAAAUAAUUGGACAAUUAGGCACUCUAAUAUGCAGGUCUGUUAACAGUGAUCAUAUCCAAGUAAGCUCAGCUGUUGUAUUGGCAACAGAGCGAUACUCAGCUUUGGUGGAGGAUCGUGCCACUGUACGUUGUUUCUUCGAACACCAGGAUACUAAAUUUCGACCAAGAUAUACCAAGUACGCACCUGUCGAUGAAAAAUAAUCUUUGUUACCUGCCCAGUCGGCAUUAGAAAAGGCAUGUAUACUAGUGGAAGAAUGAUGAUAUAGUUGAAUACCCUCAUUAACAGUACUUGCCAAAUAUCGAAGGAGUCGCUUGACACAGGUCCAGUGGUCAGUUGUCAAACAAUGCAUAUACUGUGAUAAGCGAUUAACCAUGAAAACUAUGUCUGGCCUGCUAAUUAAAAGAUAUUGUAGACUGCCCAACAUAGCACGAUACUCAGUGGCAUCAUCCAGGGGAGUGCCAGAUUGUGACGUCAGUUGCGCAGUGGUUGAAAGAUGAGUGAGUACCGAUUUCGCUGCCAUCAUGUUUGCUCGAUUUAAUAACUCCAGUAUAUAUCUUCUUUGAGACAAGAUCAACCCCUGGUCAUUCGGUACAACUUCAAUGCCCAGAAAAUAUGCCAAUUUUCCAAGAUCUUUGAGAGAUAAUUGCUUGGCAAGAAGAGCUAUAAAUUCAUUAAUCUUGAGAGGCUUGUCCCCCGUGAUUAUUAGAUCAUCAACAUACACAAUGAGAUAUAGAAUAUGUGUGCCAUCAUUAUAUACAAAUAGUGAUGUAUCAGCCAUAGAAUUUUUUAAUCCAAAUUGAAUAAGAAAUUAUCGUAGUUCAUUAUACCAGGCGCGUGGAGCUUGCUUUAGUCCAUAGAUGGCCUUUCAAAGCUUGCAGACAUAGUUAGGUUUGUCACCAUCUAUGAAUCCUUGAAGUUGAGCCAUGUAUACAUCCUCAUACAAGUGCCCUUGAAGGAAUGCAUUAUUUAUGUCUAGUUGGCGUAGCUCCCAUCCAUGACUGACUGCAAUGCUUAGAACAAUACGAACUGUUGUUGGCUUUACAACCGGACUGAAAGUAUCAUGGAAAUUGACCCUUGGUCUUUGAUGGAAUCCUUUGGCCACCAAGCGGGCUUUGUACCUGUCAACAGAGCCAUCAUAAUUUAUUUUUAUUCAAAAAAUCCAUUUACACCCAACAAGAUUAUGAUUUGGAGAUGGUGAAACAAGAUCCUAUGUCCCAUUCUUAACUAAAGCAUUAAACUCAUCUGACAUUGCUUAUCUCCACUUGGAGUCUUUUGACGCUUGAGUCACUGUGGUUGGUUCGAUUUCAUCUGUGGUGGCAAGUUGAGCAAGGAGACUCAUUCUGCGAAUAGGUUUAUGAAUAUUAUUUUUAGAUCUGGUGACGAUGGUGUGAGCGGGUGGCAUUGAUGGUUCUAGGGUAGUGAGUGUGGUGUGUUGAGAUGCACAAGGUUGUAUUUGAGGAGCUUCAGCCACAAAUGACGUAGUGAGUGGCAGAGUAGUUGUGGAGAUAGGUAUUUGUAGGGGAGGAGGAAACCAGGUGGCUAUUGUGUGUGAUUGGUUUAUGGACUCUUGUGGUUUUUGGUGGACGAACGAGAAUAUAGACUCUACAAACUUGACAUGUCUAAAGACGUAAACUUUGGAGGAACUUGUAUCACGACACAAAAACGCACCCUGACUUGUCAAAUAACCAAGAAACACACAUAGUUUAGAAUUGGACUCUAGUUUGUGAACUGUAUAAGGUCUGAGCCACGGGUAGUAAAGACACCUAAAAAUUUUGAGUUUGUUGUAAUUGAGUUUUGCCUAAAAAAUUUUCUCAUAGGAUGAAUAAUACUGGAGGGUUGGUGUGGGCAUCCUGUUUAUGAGGUAAACGACGGUGGCAAAAGCAUAUGGCUAAUAUUGUAAAGGUAUUGAUGCAUGGGACAAAAGUGCAAGACCAGUUUUGACAACAUGCAGAUGGCGACACUCAGACAUACCAUUGUGUUUUGGGGUGUGUGGGGGAGUGGUGAGAUGAGAAAUUUCAUUUGUAGAAAGAAAAUUGGUUAGUGCAAUUAAUUCACCACCAUUGUCAGAGUACAAGGUUUUGAUGAGUUUUUCAAAUCGUUUUUCAACAAUGGCUUUGUAUCUUAUAAAAACUUCUUUGACAUUAGAUUUGUUUUUCAAUAGGUAAAACCAAAUAUAUUUUGUGUAGUGAUCGACAAAAAUAACAUAAUAUUUGUAUCCAUUAACAGAGACCACAAGAGACGUCCAAAUAUCAGUGUAUAUAAUUUCAAAAGGAUGUGAAGAUGAUAUUGUAGAUUUUGAAAACAACAACUUAUGACUUUUAUUUGACAAACACGCAUUACAAUUGACAUCAGACAACAUAGAAGACGUUACACUGAGUUUAUUGGAAGAAAAAAAUUGUUUUAAAAUGGGAAUGGUAGGAUGUCCUAGCCUAUGAUGCCAAUUAGAAGACGAGGUCGUGACACUUGAAAAAGAAAUAAUUGGGGUGGAGUCUGACCACUCAUAUACGCUACCUUUAGCUUGACCCUUCAAAAGUGUUGUCCCUGUGCUGAGUUCCUUCACAAGAAAAGUAUCUGGUAAGAAUUCUAUGGAAGCAUUGUUAGAAUUGCAAAAUUGAUAAAUAGAAAUAAGAUUUCUCUUCAUGCUUGGAACACGUAGGAAAUUGUCUAGAAGAAAAGACUUAUGAGGAGAGUUUAAAGUUGUUGAACCAGUGUGAGUUAUUUGUAACUUAGAUCCAUGCCCUAUCAUCAUAUCAUCACCUCCUCUGUACGGGUUAUGUAAAGAGAGAUUUUCCAGAUCAGCUGUUACAUGAUGCGAUGCACCACUAUCUAGGAGCCAGGUUUGAUUGUUGUUUGUUGUGGCUGCAUAAUUUGCUUUUGGCUGCCAUGGGGUGGAUGAGUGGUUAUUGUUUGACUGCACAGGUUGCAAUUUGUAAGAUGGACAUUUCUUGGCAGUGUGUCCUUGAAUGCGAUAGAGUUGGCAGUAGCCAAGGUAUGGGCGUUGUUGUCGCUGAGUGGAAUUGUUGUUUUGGGGCACUCCUGUGUUGCGGUUUGGGUUGGAGGAGUUUUGGUUAGUUUCGCUGUUGAUACGCCAAUUGUUGUUGGUACGAGUUGUCACAUGGGCUGUUAUUGGGAACAUUCUGUCAGGUUUUGAAGUGUUUAGAGAUGCCUCAAAAUUGAGUAACUUUUCAUGAAGUUUUUCGAAUAUGAUAGGGGUGUCCCUGGCUUGUACAGCUCGGACCAGCUCCUUAUAGUCAUCUCCAACAGCCUCCAGAAUUUUGUGCGUAAGAUCAUCUUCGUCAUAAGGUGCGCCAAGAAGUGUAAGUUCAUCUGCCUGAGCCUUAAUAUUUUGGAGAAAUUCUAUAAUUGAUGCUAACCCUCUAGUCAUUUGUUUAAUCUGGCUUUUAACUUGCUUAAUACGUCCUCUGGAAGGCUUUGCAUAGGUGUUGGCAAGUGUUAUCCACGCUUCUUUGGAUGUUUUAGCAGUGGCCACAAAUGGGAUGAUGUUGGGUGAGAUGAAGCCAAUUAUGGCAUUGAGGAUCAGUUGAUCCUGGCGAACCCAAAGUGAAUGAGCUGGAUUCGGGGUAGUAGUGUUGUUGUCUGUUAUUGUAGCUGAAGGACAAGGUUUAAAACCAUCUAUGUAGCCAAGAAGAUCAUAGCCUACGAAGAGAGUUUGAAAUUGCAAUUUCCAUGAUAAGUAAUUGGUUGAUGUGAGUUUGAGAGGAGUUUGUGCAACUACAUUAAUGGUGAUUAAGGUGUUGUUGAGGUCAUUAGUGUUUCUGAUGGUGGUGGCCAUUGCAGGAUUUACUUUCCAUAAAUAAGGAGAGAAAGAGAGAGCCUCUAGUGCUCUGAUACCAUAAAGACUUAAAAGAAAUGAUGAGAAAGCUUAACUCACUUCAUUGAUUUACAAGUACCAAUAUAUACAGCAAAGAGUGCAACAGCUACCUAUAUUAUUGGUUUGUUACAACUGAAUAUAUCUUUACAUUCAACAUACUUUGAACAGGUAAACUCCUGUAAUCAUGGAGGAGAAUCCUUUAUCAUGUUUACAUUUAGUUUCCACCAAUAUUUCAAAAUUACCGAAUAAGGCCACUUAAUAAAAAGUUGAGAAAAUAAAUAUUUAUUGAUUUAUUUCAAACAUUGCAUGUGUUAGGAGCAUUAAAUGUGAAAUUUUGUGGAAGAGGUACCCUGGACCACUCUCCAGCGCGCACCACGUCUCCAAAGGAUGAGAUACGCCGCAAACAUGCACAUAAUGACCCAAAAAUCAUAAAAAGGUAAAAAAGACGUUAGCCAAAAAUGGUACGCCAUGUGGCAGCUGAGGUACUCCAUACAUAAAGGUGCCUAGGUUUCAUUCUCCAUUAUGCUCCAAUUUACCAACAACACUUACACUCUACAAAAUAGGUUUUCUUCAACCUUAAAAAUUAAUUUACAGAGGGUUGGCAAGCUCUCUUGGCUAUAAAAAGCUUGAGUUUGCUAACUUGAGCGUCGGAGUGUGAACGCCGAGGUACCCCGGCUUCACCUCUAACCUCUAUUUCACUGUUUUGCAGGCGUGAAGCUCAUUUGGAAGGACUUUUUUCUUGGUUCAGACCUUUGUCCAUUGUUGCCACUCCCUAUUUCCUUCUCACCUCCCUGAAUUUCGAAUACACCGCACACAACAAACCAGUGAGAUACCUCGUCUCCCCCAAAAAUACAAAUUCAUUGUUCUAGAUAUGUUUGACUUUUCCUACCCUUAAAUCUAUCGAAAACAAUUGGCGCCGUCUGUGGGAAGGCGCACAAAAAGCCUCCUCUACGGUUACCAAAUUAGUUAUUGUGUGUACCGUUGAGUGUUAGAAAAUGUAUAUUUAUAAAGGAGAAAACCGUCAUUUUACAUUUCAAGUUUUACUAACAACCCUUACUUUUAUGUAUUUAACCCUCUUGUGAUUUAAUUACGUGUGUUUUAUUUUAAUUAAGUAUUUUAUGUAUUUUAGGGGCAUUAUAGUCAUUUCACAAUAAAGGAGAGAUCAGACGGCAAAACGGACAUCAUUUUUGAACUCAGGACGGUCGAAAAUCUUAGGAGGAGCAUAAAAGGAAAAAUAGCACUAUUCACAUGUACGGUACUAUUCACGUGUACGGUACUGUAUACGUUACUGUUCACGACACUGUUCACAUAUACGGAUCGAUGAUGUGGCAUUGACCGAUGAUGUGGCAUUGACUGAUGAGGUGUCACGAUCCUGUUAGACUAAAAUUCUUAUGUACUGUUGAUGGUGACGUGGCAACAUAUCAAUGGACGAAAAAUCUCGCGUACGGUACAUGCAUCACACAGGAUUAUUUUCAACCAAACCGCGUUACUGUUCAUCCGGGUCAAACUGUGUUACUGUUCAUCCGCGUGGUCAAACCGCGUACUGUUGACUGAUGACGUGGCGCAAUCCUGAGCGUCCAAACUAUUUUUAAUCCGAUGGCCAUGAUUUACUCCAUGUAUCUAUAAAAAGGAGGCCUCCCCCCUAAUUUGAUAUAUCUGAAUCCAUUUUUGGGAUUCAUUUUCUUUAAUUCCCUCUCCAUCUUGUAUUUUCUACGUAUUUUAAUAAAUUUCCAUUUUGCCCUUAGUUCAAUUAUGAGUGGCUAAUUUUCUUUCAAGCUUGGGUUGAAGGUGAAGUCUCAACAUGUGUCGUGGGCUUUAUUUGGUAAAUUUGUUUUCUGUUCCCCUCUAAUUUUUGUGGAUGAUUUGACUUUUCGUCGACAAAUAAUAAUAAUCUUGUCUAGAUACCGCCUUGGUUACACCGGCUCUCUAGUACAAGGUUAUUAUUAUUUGGCACGAUAAGCCCUUAGCACCAUAUUGAUUAGAGCGUGGUUCAUGAGGUGUGGAUUCCCCCCUCAUGAUUUAAUUGGCAUUAAUAAGGAUUAUUUAUCCCAUGAUGCAUGUUGAUACGGAUCCAGAUACCCAAGUACGUCAUUUCAAUAGAAUUCUCUUCAAUUUAUUCUCGCCAUUUCAAUUCCAAUUUUAAAAUUUAUUCUUGCCAUUUUAAUUUAAGUUUUAGCAUAUUCCAAAUCGUUUCCACCACAAAUCCAAUCACCCAUUUACAAAAUUAAUUCUACACACAAUUAAAAUCCACCUCCUCGUGGGAUCGACACUCGUCACCAUUGAUCUAUACUAGAAUAGAUUCGUGCGCUUGCGAGUACAUUAAAAUUUGCACAACAAGUUUUUGGCGCCGUUGCCGGGGAGGUAAGUAAUUUUAAUUCAUAGAAUUAAUUUUUGUGAAUAAUUCCAUUUAAAAUUUUUUCUUGUAUUUUUUUUAAAAAAAAAAGAAAAAAAAAAGUGAAUCUACAUUUAAAGGUUAGUAUUUCUUUUCUUUUUCUCUUCUUUAAAUUUCUAUAAUUUAAUUUUCAAUUUAUUUUUCUUUGUAAUUUUUUUAUCUUAUUAAUUUAUUCUUAGUUAAUUUUUUUUCAUGUAUUUUUUUUAGUGUGUUUUUAUAAUAAGGUUGUAAUAGCGCAAUAAGGUUAGUAUCGUAAUUUCUCCCUCUUUUUUAUUUUUUUUUGUUUUGUUCCCAUCUUUAUUUUUAUUUUAUUUGUUUUGCAUGCAUGGUCGUAGGUCAUUAUUACCUAAUCUUGAACCUAUAGACCUUGAACUUGAGAAAACACUUCGCACACACAAGCACGUUAAAAAUAAAUUUGAAAUGGAUUUACAAGCACCACAGGAGAGGCCAUUUAAGGACUAUUUUAGUCCCUUAGCUAAUUUGAGCACAUCAUGUAUAAGAUACCCAAAUGUAGCUGCUAGGAGUUUUGAAUUAAAACCUAGUGUGCUAAAUUGUCUCCCAACAUUUUAUGGCCUAGAAAAUGAGGACCCAUAUAAUCAUCUGAAUGAUUUUCAUGCCAUUUGUCAAACUUUUAAAUAUGAAAAUUUUUUAGACGAUGAUGUUAAACUCAGAUUAUUCCCAUUUUCUUUAAAGGAUAGAGCUCGUUCAUGGUUAAAUACUUUACCUGCUAAUAAAUGGUGACUAAAUUUUUGAAUAAAUAUUUCCCAGAGCAUAAAACUAAUGCUAUUCGCAGGGAAAUCUCGGAGUUUACCCAGAGAGAGGACGAUCAAUUUUUCGAAACAUGGGAGCGAUUCAAUGGGCUACUCUUGAAAUGUCCACAUGGGUACGAGAAAUGGCACCAAUGCCAAUACUUUUUGGAGGGAUUACUACCAAAUGUGCAAGAAUGGCUAAUGGCAACAAGUGGAGGAGAGCUAAUGUCAAAAAGUGCAUCAGAGAUUUGGGAAUUCUUCCAGCGACAAGCGGAUAAUUCCCAACAACGGAGUCGAUCACUUGGGAAUACUAGAAGAAUUAAGGGAGUAAAUGAGGUUCAAAUUGGCGAGUCAACUUCGGGAAUCAAAGAAGUCAAUGAGAUGGUUGAAGGUCUUGCUCGACAAAUAGCAUCGUUAUCGACUGCUAAAUCAACAGAGCCACAUGACCCUGACUCAUAUCCAGAUCAAGCCAAUGCCAUAGGUGUAAUGAGAAAGCCAUCAAAUUACAACCCAUACUCCAACACAUAUAAUCCUGGAUGGAGGGACCACCCCAAUUUUUCAUGGUCUCAAGGAUUCCAACAGAAUGGACCAGCAGCUCCAGCUCCACCAAUGCAACAAAUUUCUCAAAUUCCUCAAGCCUCUCAGCCACCAUUUAGACCAUACAAUCAGAACCAGAAUUACUCUCAACCCAGACCAUGGGAGGAUGCAUUCCAGAAUUUCAAGAAUGUUACUCACUCCACGAUUGAGCAACAGAACCGCACCAUUGAUGGACUACGAAAUGAGUUGAGAGCAUGCUUCAACUCACAAGUUCAAUCAGUUUCAAGCCUCGAGAAGAUGGUGAGACAACUUGCUUCUUCAGUUCAAACCUUGGCAAUGAUUGUUGAGAAAGGCAAGUUUCCAAGUCACCCAGUGCCUAAUCCUAAAGGAGUGUAUGAAGCAAGUACCAGUUCACCACAGCAGCAUGGAGAAGUCAAAACAGUCAUGACCUUGUGAAAAGGAAAAGAAGUCGACAACAAAGUGGAGAUGCCGGUGAUAAAAGAAAAUUAAAUUGUACAUGUGAAUGUUGAGGACUCACCACCGGAGGAGAAAGAAGAAACCAACCCACGAGAAUAUGUUCCCAAAGCUCCAUUUCCUCAGAGGUUAGCUAAAGGAAAAAAGGGAAAAUGCACAGGUGAGAUUCUUGAAUUCUUCAAACAGGUAAGUGUUAACAUCCCUUUACUUGAUGCUAUAAAGCAAGUUUCAUCUUAUGCCAAGUUUCUUAAAGACCUUUGUACUAAAAAGAGAAACAUUCAUGUUCAAAAGAAGGCAUUUUUAACAGAAAACGUUAGUUCUAUACUCCAACAUAAAAUUCCUCUAAAAUGCAAAGACCCAGGCUCCCCCACUAUCUCAUGUAGCAUAGGGAACCACACAAUUGAGAAUGCUUUGUUGGAUUUAGGAGCUAGUGUAAAUCUAUUGCCUUACUCAGUAUUUUUGAAACUUGGACUUGGAGAAUUACACCCAACUCCAGUGGUGUUACAACUUGCAGAUCGGUCCACGAAAAUACCCCGUGGUAUUGUGGAGGACGUGCUUAUCCAGGUAGACAAGUUUUAUUUUCCUGUUGAUUUCAUUGUAAUUGACACUCAAGCAAUACAGGAUUCGAGGAAGCACAUCCCUAUUAUUCUAGGCCGACCUUUCUUGGCAACUGCGGAUGCUCACAUUCAAUGCAGGACUGGAAAUAUGCAGUUGUCCUUCGGCAACAUGACUAUGGAGCUAAACAUUUUCAACAUUGCCAAACAACCUCACAGUGCAGAUGAUGGAAUUGUUGAUAUGGAUUUAAUAGAAGCAUUAGUUGAUAAUACUUUUGUUUCAAACCUUAAUGAUGAUCCUUUACAAACAUGUUUAACUCACUUUGAUUUGGAUUUUGAUAUUGACAGAUCGGUCGAAGAGGUCAACGCCCUACUUGACUCAGCACCAUCCAUGGACACUAAUAAAUGGAAGUCAAGAGUUGAACAACUAGCACCAUCAGAAAAGAAACUCAUCCCAUCAUCAGAAUCACCACCGAAACUCGAGCUCAAACCAUUGCCCAACACAUUGGAAUAUGCGUUUUUGGGAGAAGAAAGUACUCUACCGGUAAUCAUCUCAUCAUCCCUCGACGAUGAACAAAAAAGUAAGUUAUUGAAUGUUUUAAAAGAGCACAAAGGAGCAUUAGGAUGGACCAUAGCGGACAUCAAAGGUAUAAACCCAGUAGACUGCAUGCAUUACAUCCACCUCGAUGAAAAUGCUAAAUCUACCAGGGAAAUGUAACGUCGGUUAAAUCCUAAUAUGAAAGAAGUUGUUAUAACUGAAGUCCUAUAAGCUAUUAGAUGCAGGUAUCAUUUACCCAAUUUCUGAUAGUUCAUGGGUCAGUCCUGUACAAGUUGUCCCCAAAAAGUCAGGAGUCACAGUAGUUACUAAUGCUGAUAAUGAAUUGAUACCAACUAGAGUGACUACAGGAUGGCGUGUAUGCAUUGAUUAUAGAAAGUUGAAUUCUGUCACACGUAAAGACCAUUUUCUUUUACCAUUUAUUGAUCAAAUGCUUGAUAGAUUAGCAGGCCACAAAUUUUAUUGCUUUCUAGAUGGCUACUCAGGAUACAAUCAGAUCCCCAUAGCACCAAAAGAUCAUGAGAAAACCACUUUCACUUGCCCUUUUGGCACAUUUGCAUAUAGGAGAAUGCCAUUUGGAUUAUGUAAUGCACCUACUACAUUUCAACGAUGCAUGUUAAGCAUUUUUUCUGAUAUGGUUGAACGAUUCCUUGAAGUCUUUAUGGAUGACUUUUCUGUUUUUGGUGACUCGUUUGAUCAAUGUUUACAUCAUCUAACACUAGUUCUGCAGAGGUGUAUCGAGAAGAACUUGGUCUUAAAUUGGGAGAAGUGUCAUUUUAUGGUAAAACAAGGUAUUGUUCUCGGUCACAUCAUUUCGAGCAAAGGUAUUGAGGUUGACAAAGCCAAGGUGGAUCUCAUUUCUAAUCUUCCUCCACCCAAAACAGUCAGAGAAGUAAGAUAUUUCCUUGGGCAUGCUGGUUUCUAUAGACGUUUCAUUAAAGAUUUUAGCAAAGUUUCUAAACCCUUAUGCAAUUUACUUGCUAAGGAUGUACUUUUUAUCUUUGAUGAUUCAUGUCUUAUGGCAUUUGAAAAACUAAAGCAGUUGUUGACAUCAUCACCCAUCAUUCAGCCCCCAAACUGGAGCUUACCAUUUGAGCUCAUGUGUGAUGCAUCUGAUUAUGCAGUAGGAGUAGUAUUAGGACAAAGAGUUGAUCGAAUUCCCCAUGUUAUUUACUAUGCUAGUAUGACAUUGAAUGAUGCACAGUUAAACUAUUCAACUACUGAAAAAGAAAUGCUAGCAGUAGUAUUUGCAUUAGAGAAAUUUCGAUCUUAUCUCAUUGGUUGUAAAAUAAUUAUAUUCACAGAUCAUGCUGCUCUUAAAUAUUUUCUCACAAAGAAAGAUGCAAAAGCUAGACUAAUUCGUUGGGUGUUACUUUUGCAGGAGUUCGACUUGGAAUUUAAAGAUAAGAAAAGCACAGAGAAUGUUGUGGCUGACCAUCUCUCUCGUCUACAUUUUGACACAAUUAUGGAAACAUUACCAUUGAAUGAGUCAUUCCUAGAUGAACAAUUGAUGAGUGUGGAAGUAUUACCAUGGUAUGCUGACAUCGUGAAUUAUCUUGUUACAGGUCAACUUCCAGAGCAUUGGACCAAGCAAGACAAGGCUAAAUUCUUUGCAGAAGUAAAGAAUUUCUUUUGGGAUGACCCGUAUUUGUUCAAGUAUUGUGCAGAUCAAAUUGUUAGACGAUGUGUCCCAGAAAAUGAAAUUCAGAAUAUUCUUUCAUUUUGCCAUGAACAAGCUUGUGGAGGCCAUUUCAGUGCUAAGAAAACAGCUACUAAAGUUUUACAAUGUGGUUUCUUUUGGCCAACUAUAUUUCGAGACGCUUAUACUUUUUGUUCUUCAUGUGAUAGGUGUCAACGAAUGAGGAGCAUUACGAGAAGGAACAUGAUGCCACUAAAUCCAAUUUUAGUGGUUGAGAUUUUUUAUGUAUGGGGUAUCGACUUCAUGUGACACUUUCCCCCAUCUUUUGGCCAUCAAUACAUAUUGGUUGCUGUUGACUACAUAUCGAAAUGGGUAGAAGCAAUUUCAUGCAGAACCAAUGAUCACAAGGUAGUGAUAGGAUUUUUGAAAAGCAACAUUGUUUCACGCUUUGGAUUCCCUCAAGCAAUAAUCAGUGAUGGUGGUGCCCACUUUUGUAACAAAGCAUUCAAGGCUCUUUUGACAAAGUAUUCAAUCACACACAAAGUGGCGACCCCGUAUCAUCCGCAAACCAGUGGCCAAGUUGAGAUCUCCAAUCGAGAAAUAAAGUACAUAUUAGAAAAAACAGUGAGGCCAGACAGAAAAGAUUGGUCAUUAAGACUUGAUGAUGCAUUAUGGGCAUAUGGAACGGCUUUCAAGACCCCGGUUGGGAUGUCACCCUACAGGCUAGUGUAUGGAAAAGCUUGCCACCUACCUGUGGAACUCAAGCAUCGUGCGUAUUGGGCCAUCAAGAAAUUCAACUUUGACAUGCAGCAAGCCAGCUCAGAAAGAAGAUUACAACUGGCAGAACUUGAAGAAAUUCGCAAUGACGCAUACGAAAAUGCCAAGAUUUACAAGCAACGGAUGAAAGUCUUUCAUGACAAGCAAAUUAUGAGAAAAUCGUUCACCCCAGGUCAGAAAGUGCUUUUAUUCAAUUCUCGUUUGCACCUAUUCCCAGGUAAGUUACGCUCUUGAUGGUCUGGUCCCUUUAUUGUUCAUACUGUUUUUCCACAUGAGGCAAUUGAAAUUAAGGACCCAAAGAACAGUGUCACUUUUAAAGUUAAUAGUCAAAGAUUAAAGCCAUAUCUAGAGUACCAACCACAUGGAGAAGACACCGAAAUAAAUUUGAGUGACCCACCAGAUUUGAAUUGAUUUUUUUUUCUCGGUGAUUUGAUUUUUUUUUUCUUUAUAUUAUUCUUUUGCUAAUUGAAAUUAUUUUUGCAUAAGUGUGUUUGUUUAACUAUUAAGUUUUCUCUUAUCAUUUUCAAUCAUGAGUACCUUACUUAGACCGUUCCUCCUGAACAUUCUUAAACCACUUCAACGUGUCAAAACUCAUCUCAAAAGGCAGAUUCAAUUUUGUAAAACACAUAGCAUUUGGGCUCUACAGCCACCAGAGUUAGUAGCCUAUGUUGAGGGUUUAGAAAGCCAACUCAGAGACAUUGAGAGAAGUGUUUAUGACAUCCAGUUGGAGCUUGAGGUAAAUUCAAUAAGAGGACGAUUUUAAUUUUCUUUGUGUGUUUUAAUUUGUUUUUCUGUUUGUGUGCUUUAGUUUGUUACCCUGGUGAAGUGGCGGAUAAUGGUACUCCGUGACAAUCAAGUCGGUUACUUCAGUUUCCUAUAAUAACUGACAUUCUGAGGCGAAAGUAUGGAUAGAAAUGAGAUUUUAGUGAAGCUUCACAAGCAAUUCCCUUCACUUCCUCAGAAUGCCCUCCUUACGAUCUAUAAAGCUCAGUCCGAACGCAUGCGAUUACUCAUGAGGAAUAAUAUACCUGCUGACAUCCGUUGGUUAAUCGAGGCUAAAGUAUGAUCGGCAGGUGAGUUAGCUCCAAAAUUUAUUGCAUAGAUGCCUGGUUGUGGUAAAGAAAAUUAUGCAAGAAAAUGACGAGCUCAAAGAAUUUUUGUUGCUUGUCAUAAAUGUGUCAGAAUGAGUUGCGAUAAAAAACCAUGUUCUUUAGGAAUGGUGUCUGAUAACAAGGAAGAUAAGAUUCAAUUCAUUAGGGAUGGCUUGAAUAAGGAGUCAUUGGAUGAUAUCCUUCUAUCUCUUGAAACGCAUCCCAGUGGAUAUGUGCAAGGAGCGAUUCUCCAGUUAUGGUCAUUAUUCCAGAAAGAGCAUGCACGAUAUAGUCUUGGGAAUCUGACUAUAAACGACCCUGUUUGCCAGUAUAUAAGAAAACUGGAUGGGAAGCCUAUCCUCGACCCAUAGAGGGCGUUCAAGCCGUUUCUGGACGUAAAACCAGAGGAAGAAGUGAGCCACAGUCGCAACUACCUGUAAAUAUCCUUUUACUUCACUGUUAUUUUAUUGUUUGCAUUAUUGUCUUUAAUAAUUUUAUUACUGUUUGCUUUUUCCUUUUUACUGUUUCCUUUUUGACUUACGAGCCAUGUGCUUUACGCGUUAUUUGACACUGACAUGCCACAUUAUACACAGCUAUGACCCACUGUCACUAAGAUUCUUAAAUAUGAUUUUUUGUCAAGCACUCAAAUUAUUUUUGAGAAGUAUCGCAAUGGCAGCUACUCCAAACAGACAAUUCAAGAACAUUUGUCUGCUUUCUGGAUUUAACUAUGGCAAACAUAAAUAGUUUGUGGAGGCAGCCAUAGAUCUUGGUCGAAGCAUAGCAGCGAGAAAAUUACACUUGGUGUAUGGAGGAGGUAACUGAGGGUUAUCAAAAAUGGUCUCAGAAGCAGCUUUUAUCAGAGGAAGUCAAGUGUUAGGCAUCAUCCCAAGAGUCUUAAAACCAUUGGGCAGUUCGUCUGACUCAUCAACUGGAGAAGAGUUAGUCGUCUCAGGUAUGCAAGAAAGAAUAACUGAAAUGCUUAAUCAUGCUGAUGCUUUUAUUUUCCUUCCAGGAGAUCUUGCAACACUAGAGGCACUUAUCACACUAGCAUCUUGGGCCCAUCUGCACAUCCACCAGAAACCCAUUGGUUUGUUAAAUGUCAAUAACUUUUAUGAUGGCUUUAUCGCAUUUCUUAACCAUGCAAUAAAAAACUAUUUCAUUCCUUCUAAUGUGAAAAAACUUUUUAUUUGUGCUCACACUGCUAAUGAGCUACUUGAUCUGUUACAAGCUUAUAAACCGGAGCCAGACCCCUGGACCUUUGUGUUGGAGCGCCCAAAUAAUGAUGGUAACAGUAGCCGCAGUAAGAAGUACAAAUUAGAUUUAACUCUCCGCUUGUAAAUAUUUUCUUCUAUGUUGCACCACCCAGGUGAUGUCUUCUAAACUCUACUUCUUUCCUUUCAAACAUUGAGGAUAAUGUUUCGUUCUGGUUGGGGGGAGGGAAUAGUCGACAAUUGUGGAAUUUUGGUGAAGUUUUUACUAAUUUUUUGUUGUAGAAACUAACUGUUGCUAACUUUUUGUGUUGAAGAUGGCUGAAUAUAGAGUGUAGUGCCUCAAGAAACGCAUCUUCUAAGUUAAAAAAAAAAACCAUUUUCUUUUUCUAUCAUUUUAAGUGUAACUUUUCUAAUUAGUUUUUCUGCAUCAUUUUCACAUUUCUGCAUGCAUAUUUUCCUUUCAUGUUUAGAAUAGGUUGAGGGGUAGAAUGUUCUUUAAAAAAAAAAUUUCUGUGAUAUGUUUUAACAUUGGAUGACAUGAUUAAUUUCAAAUUUUAGUAUUUGUUUUAUCUUUGGUCUUAAGUGAUGUUACACUAUGUUUGCUAUUCUACAUGUUGAUGUCGGAGACAAAUAUGAGUUGCUUGAAGGAAUGAACAUGUCAUAAAUAAGUGCCAAGUGAGUUGUUGAGCCUAUCAUUUUCUUGGAGAGUAACCCUUUUGCCCAUUCUCUAUACAGCUUAGCAGUUUAUUAUUUUAUACACGAUCUCUAGAUUUCUUUUGAGUUAACCCUUAAAAAAAUGGUAAAAUUAAAAAAAAAGAAAAAAAUGUGUGUUGCUACAUUGGGAGGCCUGUCUAACUAGUAGAUAUGGAUGAUUAUUUAGAGCCCUAAAAGACGAUGGAAAGGCCAUCUUUGAUCCGUUUGAGCCUUUCUAGCCAUCCCUUUUAUUAAAUAUCCAUAGUUAACCCUUUUGAGCCUUUAAAAAAAAAAAAUAUUUUCUUUAUCAACUUAUCAUCUUGACCCACUCCGAUUUUGAGUAUUACCUGAUAUCUUAUAAGUUCCAUCACCUAUUUAUGUUUGAGAAAAUGUAAAUAAUUAUGUUGUUCAGUGAAGUUAUGCCAAAAAAAAAUAAAAAACAAAAGUUGUUGUUUCAAAAGAAUAAAAAUAACAAUAAUAGGUGAAAUCCACCUUGCAACUUUAAAAAAAAAAAAAUUUCUCUGCAUUUUUCUCAAACAUACACUUUGUUUUCCUUAUUUCCCUUCUUUAUUAGCCAUAUCCCUAGCCUACGUUACGUCCUAAUAAAAGUCAUUCUUGAUUUUAGGGAACUAUAGUUUGAAGUAGAAGCUAGUUAUAUGGGCUAAAAAGAUGUAGUACUCAACGGCUAAUAAAUAAAAUUUUCAAGGAACAAAUCGGGCGUACCAUGCAGGUUUACAUAGACGACAUGAUCACCAAAUAAGUGCUUGCAGGAGAACACUUGAGGCACCUCAGAGAUACUUUUACAGUUUUAAGAAAACACCAAAUGCAGCUCAACCUUAAAAAUGUGCAUUCGAGGUUACCUCGGGAAAAUUUCUUGGGUUCAUGGUACAACAACGGGGGAUUGAGGCCAACCCCAAUAAAAUUCGUGCGGUUCUUGAAAUGAAGUCGCCACACACCAUCAAGAAGGUUCAAAGCUUAGCAGGCCGGGUAGCUGCCCUGAACCGCUUUAUCUCCAAGGCCACCGACCGGUGUAAGCCUUUUUUCAAAGCUUUGAAGGCCGGCAAGAAGCUCCAAUGGACACUCAAUUGCGAAGAAGCUUUCCGAGAACUGAAGGGGUACCUCGUGAAUGCUCCACCACUUACCAAACCUGAACCGAAGGAGGUGCUUUUGUUGUAUCUCGCCGUAUCCGAGCAUGCCACCAGCUUUGUGUUACUCCGAAAAGAUGAUAAUGGGGUACAACGGCCUAUUUACUACACUAGUAAGGCAUGGUCGAAGCCGAAAAGAGGUACCUCACCUCUAAGAAGAUCGUUUUGGCACUGGUUAUCUCCGCAAGGAAGCUCAGACCAUUUUUUCAAGCUCACAUCAUUGCAAUCGUCACCAAUCUUCCCCUCCGGCAAAUCCUCCAAAAGUUAGACGUGUCCGGAAGGCUUCUCCGAUGGUCCUUCGAAUUAAACGAGUUCGACAUCAUCUUCAAGCCUCGUUCGGUAAUUAAAACUCAAGUCAUCGCUGAUUUCAUUGCGGAAUUCGCCAAUGACUCAUGUGGUGAAAGUGAUCUGAGGUACCUGUCAGAUACCCCAUCCACCGAUGAAGGGGGCAUGUCUGGGAAAUAUAUAUAGAUGGCUCAUCUAACUCACACGAAAGUGGUGCGGGAGUUAUUAUAAUCGACCUAAACAAGGUGAAAAUAUGCUAUGCUUUGCAAUUUGGAUUCAAGGCUUCAAACAACGAAGCCGAACAUGAGGCCAUCAUAGCGGGGUUGAGGAUGUCAAAAGCUUUAGGAGCAAAAUAGGUACACGUUAAGAGCGACUCCCAGUUGGUGAUAAGCCAGAUUACCGCACAAUAUCAAGCGAAAGAGGAAAACAUGAAGGGGUACCUCCGAAAAACCAGAGAGUUGAUGUCCUAAUUUUGUGAGGUUAAGGUGGAAAGGAUAUCCCGACUGGAGAACAUCGAAGCCGACACUCUGGCAAAAAUGGCGUCCCUUAGUGUAGCUCAAUCAACUGGCCCCAUCACGACAGAACACAUACCCGCCCUCAGUAUUGAUCUCCUAGAGCCAUUGGAAGUAGGAUCACUGUCCACCGGGGUCCUUUGGAUGGCGCCUAUCAUAAGGUACCUCAAGGACGGAGAACUCCCCUCAGAUAAAAGUGAAGCAAGAAGACUAAAGUAUAAAACCACGCUGUAUUGCCUGAUCCAGGAUACCUUAUACAAAAGAGGGUUCACUCUUCUUUACCUUAAAUGCUUGGGAAGUGACGAGGUCGAGUAUGUCAUGAAGGAGAUACAUGAGGGGAUUUGUGGCAAUUAUUAUGGAGCACAAUCACUGGCGCAAAAAGCUCUCCGUCAGGGGUACUAUUGGCCUACCAUACGGGAAGAUACUAAUAAUAUGGUACAAAGCUUUGACAAAUGCCAAAGGUUUGCUAGGGUAUCCCACUUACCCCCAGAGAAGCUAACAAUUAUAUCUUCCCCUUGGCCCUUCACUAUAUGGGGAGUGGACCUCAUUGGCCCGUUACCUACCGAGAAAGGACAAGCAAAACAUGCAAUCGUGGCGGUAGAUUAUUUCACAAAGUGGGCGGAAGUGGAGCCACUAACAAGCAUAACAGAACGAAAAAACAACGGAAUUCAUUUGGAAGAACCUCAUUUGUAGAUUUGGGAUCCCUUGUGCAAUUGUUAGUGACAACGACAAGUAAUUCGAUAAUGAAAAAUUUUAAAGUUUUUGUUCGGAGCUUGGGAUAGCCAACCGGUUUGCUACACCUGCCCACCCCCAAACUAAUGGGCAAGUCGAAAUCGUUAACAAGAUUGUCAAAGGUAUCUUGAAGAAGAAGCUAGAAGAAUGAAAGAGAGCAUGGGUAGACGAGCUACCUAAGGUUCUGUGGGCCUACCAGACUACUCAAAACACCUCCACCCGGGAGACCCCGUUUUCCCUCGCAUUCAGUAUUGAUGCAGUGAUUCCAGCGGAAAUCGGGGUACCCUCUCACAGGGUUGAAUACUUUGAUGAGGUUGAGAACACCUCAUUGAUUGCUUCAAAUCUUGAUUUGGUGGCUGAGAAAAGGGUGAGAGCAUAAUUGAGGACAAUCAUAUACCAGCAUCGCAUUUCGGGUCUAUAUGAAAAAAUGAUACGCCUUCGAUCCUUCAAGAAAUGAGACUUAAUCUUAAAAAGGGUAACUCAGAGCACUAGGGUACCAUGUGAAGGCACUUUCGGGGCAAAUUGGAAAUGACCUUACCGCAUCGACAAACCCGUUGGGUCAGGUGCAUACAGGCUACUCCACAUGGAUGGGACAAUCGUGAGGCACCACUGGAAUACUGUAAUGCUACGGAAAUAUUAUUAAAGGACAGUGUCUUAACCUUUAGUCUUUUGCUAUUAUUUGUUUUCUUUAAUGUUUUUGUGUGGUAGGCCAAAUGGGGUACCCCAAAUACCCUAUGUUGGUUAGUUGCAACUUUAGAAUUUCUUUAAUUCCCAACUGAAAAGGAUAGGAGGUCUUACGGUCUCCCGUUCUCCUUAAGGUAACAAAGUUAAGUCAUGUAUUGAUCAAUUUUUUCAUUAUCUAUAAAUGCAUUUUCUUUCUCGACAAAUAUGAUGUGUGUUCUUAAUUUUUUUGCGACUUCGAUCAUGGAAUGCGAAUUAUAUUCAUUUAUCGCCAUUAAUAUACCCUCACAUCUGGUUAUAUGCAAUUAUCGCCAUACUCCUGUCAAUUAUGAUUAACCUAUUACAGGACUAGUCAGGGUACCUGGCAUGCAUAGAUCACGACGAUCUAUGCAAAGCCAAGAUUGGCAACGGAGUGAAUAGCCCAGGGGUAGCCUUUCUGCGGAAGCAUGACAAAACUACUUAAACAAAGAGAAUGAGGGUCAAAGAGGACUUGAGGGUGAAGUAAAGCCGGCAUACUCUAGCGCCACGAGGUUCUGCUUAUGUAUGAGUACACCCACACCUUUGUCCUCUUACUUGAGCAAAAUAGGGGGUAGGCCAUUCAAAAAUUCGGAGAAAACUUCGAAAGAGCAAAAAUAUUAAUUGGUUGGACCAAUUGUGUGCUCUCAUUUUCAAUCCGGAUGUCGCGAUGGUAUUUGAUUACCUAUUUGUGGAAGAUUCGCCAUAAUUUUAAAAAAAGACAUGCACCAAGGGCGUCAAUCUACAUAAACCAGCAGACGCCGGAUGUCGAAUAUUUAUUAAGUACCUGGAGUACCCCAUUUCAAAAAAAAAUUCAUUGCAUAUAAUGGGGGGUACCCUAGAGAUUUGCAAGAUAACAGUUUGGACCAGCAUUCAUUUGCAGAAUAACAAGGAUACAAAAUACAAGUUCAAAAUAUGGAGGGCUCGGUAGUAUGGUAUCAUAACAAAAGAGAGAUCUUAACGAUGCAAGAUAUCCCAAGAAAUCAAAAAAGAAAUAAACAAGUUCCAAAUAGCAAAAUGUGAAUAGAUCCAUAAAAACAAGAGCACUAUAAAAUGGCUACACCGAGGGUGGAACACCGUCCCCACCAUCCAUCUCCAGAGGGCGAUCAGCAGAGGACUCUGAGGUACUCGGAAAAUGAGCAGCCGAAGCAGGGGCAUCUGAGGCAGGCAACGGCUGAAGCACGCGAGGUACCCUAGGCGACCCAGGAGGGGUACCCGACCGUGCAUGGGAAGACUUAUUCCUAUCCUCAAUCGUCUUCAGAAUCGUGACCUUGUUGACAAAUUUCUGCACACUGGGUACCUCCAGUUCCGGAUCCACGCUCCACACCUCCAUCAUAAUAAGGGAUAACGCCUCCUUCGCCAUCUUCUUCUGUCAGGACAAUAGAUCCUCAUUUGUGGCCCUCAGCUCAUCGCAAUCCCUCUCCAUUUGAGUUUUCUCUCCAGAUAGGUCAGUAAUGCGUUCUUGCAAAAUUUUGACUUCUCGAGUAAGCUUGUCCUCGCGAGACUGUCGACUUUGGAGCUCACCCCUUAAUUUGUCAACCUCUGAUUGGGUGGCAACAAGAGAGUCGAGAUCUAGAAGGCAGUGGCUUAGGAGAAAGGAUGCCUGCAGGUCAUUAAAGACAUGUUAUAUAUAUGUGUAUGGCAAUAGGAACAAAUAAGUAAAGAAUGGAGGGUACACCCGAGGUACCCCAAUAAAGGCUACCUAUUGGGUAGCCCUGAGUGCCUGACCAUAGCACUCACUCAAACUCAUCUUGUCCGUCUCUUUAACGACCUCGAAAGUAACAUUUUCAGCAGAAUAGUAGAACCAGCGAGCCAAGUGUGAAACUUUCUUGUUGGAGGUUGGGUCUAGGUCACCUUCGCACAAUUCGUCGGGGAAAGCAGAAACCAACCCGAAUUUUCUCUUUUUAGAACGAGGGGUACCCUUCAACCUGCUAUGGGAGGUACCAUGGGAUUUCCCCUUCAGUCCGAGAGCUCGAGGUGGCUGGGUAUUUUUUUGAGGUAACGCCGAAUCCUGAGAUCCAGAAGCUCUACCCACUACUACUUGGAAGAAAGCAUCAAAAGCAUCACUCGCUGACUCUAUAACUGCACCCAAUGCAUAAAAGUGAUGUUAGUCGGACAGGCGCUAAGUACUACAAACGCAAAAAUGGCAAACAAAAAACAAGAAAACCAAAUAAAGAACGCGGAGAUAACGAGGUACCCCAGUCCUGUAGAUAAUAACGGGGUACCCCCAACAUCCAAAUCAUACAUGAGUCACCACCGAAAGCAGGUGGAAAACUUCGAUCAAUCAACCUCGCUCUCCUUAACCUGCUCUCUUCUAACACAUCACUACCCCUCUGUGCACCUCGAAACCUUUCCACAAACUUCUUCACCUCUUUUCCCACCUCGUGAACUGGGCAUAAUCCUUUAGCCCACGUCACACCUGCAAAAUCACGGAGAACCCAAGGUUAGUGAGACAUUUAUGCGAAAUAUUACAAUAAAGAACAAUAAACAAGGGAGAUACUUAUAGUCUACACUGAAGGAAUUUAGAACCUCCAAAGUGUUGCGCUUGUCGCCUAGAGUCUCUAUCCCCCACUUACCUUCAGCGACAAACCACUUCUUUUUGUAACCCUUCCUCAAGGCAGGGUCUCCUUUAACAAUAUUGACAUGAUCACCCCAAGCAGAGAAGUAAGCAAUAGCGAAACCCUUGGGCUUUUUGAAUUGGUAAAGGCCCCUCAACUCCCGAAUAAAAAUAUCACGCCUCAAUACCUCCAACCAUAACACCUGCAAGCCCACAAGUAUCAUCCACCCUGGAAGGGACAGCUGCCUAGGAACUACCCCCAAAUAGCUAAACAUCCUCAUAUAGCAGGGUGGGAGGGGCAUGCAAAGUCCAAAAUCAAAGAGGUUAAUGUGAAGAGCAAUCCCAUCAGACUUCGGACACUUGGGUCGUUCAUCCACAUGGGGUACCCUAAGCUGGACAGAGGGAUGAAUAUUGUAUUUGCCUCUAAUUUAUUCUAAGUCCCCCAAAGUAGCCCUCCUAGCGCCUAGUGAAUGAAUGUUACCAGAUUUUUAAAGUGUGCCAGAGGGAGACUUGGGAGGCCGGUCUGAGGAAUGAGCUGGAACUUGGGCUUGGAUGACUUACCCUUUCUUCGAGGAUGGUGGGUUGGUCGUUUACUGGAAAAGCGUGGACUGACACGAGAAGCACUCCUAGGGUGAGGGAGCUCAAAAUGUGAGUUACAACUCCUAGAGGCACUAGGGAGAGACCUAUCACCCUCACUAAUGGAAAUGUGGGAAGGAGAUCCUGCAGGAGGGCUGUCAACACUACUAACCUCAACUGCACGACACUUCCUCACUGGUCCUACUUUUUUCUUACCCAUUUACUUCUUGCCACACACCACCAGGCCACAAGUCCCCCAACAACAUAUCCACCAUGCCACAAGUCCCCAACAAUAUAUCCACCAUGCCACAAGUCCCCAACAACAUAUCCACCAAGCCACAAGCCCCCAACAACAUAACCAGCAGGCUACAGGUCCCCAACAACAUAUCCACACCAUACACCACCCACCACACAUCAACCAUCAAAUACAAACACCAACCACAAAAAAAAAUAGAAAUAAAAAAUAAAUUUUUCUCAGAGUAUGCAAAAUAGCGCCACUGUAAAUGCGCCAAAAGAGGAAGAACAAGGAAGGAUACCUGUAAUUCACCAACUUGACAAAUCAGGACUUGUGGUCGUGGGGUGACAAAGCUGCAGGUAACCAAAAACAGUAGGUAAGAAUAUGCAAGUAUAAAAAUAAAAAAUAAGCUUAAAUAUAUGUAGUUAUUUAUUAAAAAAAAGGAUGAUAAAAUGAAAAACGAAGAAUAUAGCAGGGGAAAAGCAUUACGGUGACCAGAAUGCCGCUGGCCACUAUCCGGAUUUGACGUCGGUAACCGCAAUUGUAGCCAUCGAGAACCACCGUGGGAAUGAAUAACGAAGAAAUAAAAAAAAAGAACGAAGAAGACAACGCGGGAGGGGGAAGCUGCAGCCACCGAACCAACGCCGGCUGCCGCGGCUACAACCACCGAACCGACGCCAGUUGCAACCGCCGAGAACCAACGCCGGAGAUUGCGAAGAAGAACGCCGGCCAAAAAAAAAAGAGUAAAGAAGAUGUUUGUACCUGUGAGCAAUAUUGAUGCAGUCAUGAGAAAAGACGAAUGUUUGAAGAAAGAAGCCACUGGAGACAAUCGGUUUUAUGGGAGAUUGUUUUGGGAUUUUCAAAAUAAAUGAUAAGAGAUUGAUAUUUACGUCAGGGGUUUUUAAUUAAACCUGACGGAGCACACGGAACAAAAAGAAAGUCAGGGAUGUUUGCGUGAGAUUGAUAUUUUUAAAAUUUAAAUUGCAUGUCAGACGGCUGCCACUUCCCAAGAAAAAUGAGAGAGAGACAUGAAGACAACUGUUUAUUCUCAUCGUAAAAAAAAAAGGGUGGGAAAAGGAAAAAACAAAGAGAUGAUUUUUUUAGCUCGACAAUACACAAAGUUUAAUCAAUGGAAGAAACUGAGCAAGGUACCCCCGAUCCAGCCAUUCACCAAGCCGAACCCCGCAUCGCCACGUGUCACUCAUACAUCAUAUAAUAAGUUUCUUUUGCUUCUAAUACUUCUCUCCAAAAGAAACUAGGGGGAUGUUGUUUGGGAGAAAAAUAGGAGAGGUAGUAAAGCGACACGUGUCGACGAACAGAAUAACUCCAGCACAAUCUAAGGUACCCGGCAUGAUUUCAGGUACCUCGCAUAAUUAGAGGUACCCCACACAGAUUGAGGUACCCCGCACAAAUAAAGGUACCCGACGUGAUAUGAGAUACCCCGCACAAUUAGAGGUACCCCACAUACAUUGAGGUACCCCAUGUAACUGGAGGUACCGACAGAUUGGAUGCAUGAGAACCCUCUGAAAAAGUCCGCCAUGAGAAACGUCUCCACCUUUUAAAAGAUAUUAUUCGAUUUUGUCAGAAUUAUCAAUAAAAAACGUCGUGCUAAAGGGGGGACAGCCACCUGCCACCUCUGCCAAAAGUGAAGGACAUUGUCCUAAGGACAAUGGUCCUCAACUGCUACCUAACAGCUACUGCAGAGGUACCCUGGACUACUCUUCAGUGCGCGCCACGUCUCCAAAGGAUGAGAUACGCCGCGAACAUGCACAAAACGGCCCAAAAUUCAUAAAAAGGUAAAAAGACAUUAGCAAAAAAUGGUACGCCAUGUGGCAAUUGAGGCACUCCAUAUAUAAAGGUACCUAGGUUUCAUUCUCCAUCAUACUCUAAUUCACUAACAACACUUACACUCCACAAAAUAGGUUUUUUUCAACCUUUAAACUUAAUUUACAGAGGGCUGUCAAGCUCUCUUGGCCAUAAAAAGCUUGAGUUUGCUAACUUGAGCGUCAGAGUGUGAACGCCGGGGUACCCCGGCUUCACUUCUAACCUCUAUUUCACUGUUUUGCAAGCGUGAAGCUCAUUUGGAAGGACUUUUUUCUUGGUUCAGACCUUUCUCCAUUGUUGCCACUCCCUCUUCCCUUCUCACCUCCCCAAAUUUCGAAUACACCGCACACAACAAACCAGUGAGGUAACCCGUCUUCCCCAAAAAUACAAAUUCAUUGUUCUAGAUAGGUUUGGCUUUUCCUACCCUAAAAUCUAUCGAAAACAGCAGGCAUGGUGGUUUGAUGGGAAUUGAGAGCAUAUCGAGCAUUUUCAUUAAAGCUCUUGUAGAUUUUAUAACUAAAUCUGCAUACAGUAUUUCAACAUCUACAUUUUUUUCUUAUAUCUUGAGACCAAAAGGACAUCACCAAUGUCGACAUUAUGGAAAAACAUUAAAAACAAAAAGACAAACAAAAAACCUAUAUACAUGAACUCAUCCAACUCACCAUUAAUGUUCGAAUCAAUUUACACUAGCAGUUUUACAGCAUGAGUCAUAUAAUCACCCAAUGAAAGGCUCAUCCAGCACUUUCUUCCUGAAUCACAACUUUACUAAUAGCUUUGUUUAGUGCAUUUCUUCUUUUGGCUUGAAUCUGAUGAAUGUGUUUGGAGUGUAUAGCACCCUGAUCAGAGGCAACCCAGCAGGAUUCCCGUGCUCAUAGGCGAGGAGCUACAGGAUGUAUCCCAGCAGGAUUCACGUGCUCAUAGGUGAGGAGCUACGUGAUGUACUCCAGUAGGAUUCACGUGCUCAUAGGUGAGGAGCAAUCUUGUACAUCUGAUAGACGAAGUACGAGAGGGUUCAGAAAAGAAUCCAAGUGCUAAAGGACCGAGUCAAUGGCAGUUAUCGACACGUACUCUCGUUUCACAUCGAAAGACCCGACGUAGUGAUGAACGUGGGGGAGUGGGAACUGAGCGCCCAAGUAAUAAGCUAUAAAAGGGACUUUCGGGUUAGACAUUGGGGGGGAUUCUUUUUCCUUUCACUCGGCGAGAUUAAAUCCAUAGGAUCAUUUUCCCUCUCUUACCACUGAGAAAUUUCUCUUUCUCUCAUGACUUCUUUAUCUUUAAAAUUGAUUAUUUUCAAUUCUUUUCCUUUAAAUUUACUUAAAAGCUUUUUGUUUAAAACAAUCAUAAUUAAGCCACAUGAAUUGUGGUAUGAGUUUUUCCAAAUAGACCCAAAUUGCUGACUUGAGCGUCAGAGGGUUCUCGUCGGAAAAACUUCCGGCAUUUGCUGACUGUUGGCUGUGCUCACAGGCUCACAGGUUAUCUGCUCAUGGAUCGUCUGCUCAUAGGUUAUCUGCUCAUGGAUCGUCCGCUCAUGGAUUGUCUGCUCGUGGGUGGUCUGCUCAUGGAUUGUCUGCUCAUGGAUCGUUUGCUCAUGGAUUGUCUGCUCAUGGGUGGUCUGCUCAUGGAUUGUCUGCUCAUAGAUUGUCUGCUCAUGGCUCGUUUGCUCAUGGAUUUUCUGCUCAUGGAUUGUCUGCUCAUAGAUUGUCUGCUCGUGGGUUGUCUGCUCAUGGAUCAUUUGCUCAUAGAAAAUAUGCUCACUGUGCUAACUACUCAGCGGCUUCCCACCAAACAAAUUUAAUGCUGAUGCAGGAAUUUGAGAUCUGACCAACUCAUCCGAAUUUCGUCAUCAACAGAAUGUACUCUGCCACUAUCACAUGGAACUUGGGAGCGAGCUUACUUGAAGAGGAAACAUUCAGCCCUGCUUUCUUCAAGGCCCUAUUAACAUGUUUCUGAGCCUUUUGGAAGUGGACCGAGCAGAGAGCAGGCGAAGUGGAUUUAAUUAUCGGCUUUCCACAUGUUAUGGGACUUGCACAGCACUAUAUGCGUACAAACAAGAAGAAAAAUUAUCAAUUUCAAGUCAUUUCUAAUCGUUUGGCAUUUUUUAUUAAACUUAUGGAUGCAUGUCACUUAUUUCAAAAUUUUGUGUACUCAGUUUGUAGUUUGGUCAAAUAUUAAGGGAUCUGAAUUCUGAGAUCAGCCAGCAAAAGUUACCUAUUUUAUCUAAUUAUAUGUUUUUAUCAUUGCAUUUGAUCAAUGACAAAUGUUGAGGAUUUAGUAGAAAAUAUUUUCUUCAACUUUUAUAAGGAAAUUGCUAAUAAGAAGAAGCGUAAACUGAAAUGAUAUAAAGCAAUGAAAAUUUUGAUAGAGCCAGCAAAUUGUUUAUGUUUUAACCAUUCAUGGCCUCUAUUUACACUUUCAAUUUCGACUGUUGUAUCAUGGUUCGGCAUACAGCAUAUUAUACUUAUGUUUUAAUUGGGUAAAUUGGCUGUUUCGUAUAGGUGUUAUUAAAAAAAAACAUUUAAUCUGUUUAAAUCCAAUUAAAUGAGGUUCAAAUACAAUAUCUACCAGGACAAGGCCGUUUUGAAUUCUUAAUUACCUUCAUUUCUCGUCUAUAAUGAGCCCUCUUUGAGAUAAAACACAUACAAUCAAGCAAUCUGGCAGGCAUCAAGAUUAUUCAAUCGUUCAAGAUGAAUGCUCGUUUGCUUGUUAGCAGUAGUAGUACUGGGCAUCCUCUCCUCAUCGGUGCCUCCUGCAGCAGCAGUCAAUGAUGUUUGCUUGUUAGCAGUAGUAGUACUGGGCAUUCUCUCCUCAUUGGUGCCUCCUACAGCAGCAGUUUCCUGGAGCAAUGUGCAUCAAAAUUAACACCAAACUAUGGCCAGGCGAUUGAAGCAGGCAUGUACAAAGAUGGAAAUGAGAAGAACAAAGUACUUUCCGCUAAUUGCUGCGAUCAACUUAUAGCUGCAGGAUGGGAUAUUGGGAUUGUCAUGAAAAAUUUGUGGAGGUAACUCCACCUUUUCACAAUCAAACUGAAGCUGUGGCUAAUCAAAUUUGGCAAGGUUGCGUAUAUAGAUAUGAUUAUCGACCUAUUUGGUACUAAUAUCUCUCAAUGGGAUGUAAUCUCACACUUUUAAGAAAUAAUAAGAAUAAUUAUUAUUAAUUAGUCUUGUACAUGCAAUCAAUGUUGAAACUGAACAAUGUACCAUUGAACUCCAACAAUCAUAACAAAUGCCAAUGCAUUAGCAUGGAGUCCGAAUGUAAUAAACAGGGCAAUAACACAAAUAAUACCUUGGAAGUAGGCACCACCGUGCAAAUGGUAAAGUCUCAACCUGAAGAGGAAAUAGCUUCCUGAUAACUCUCUGCUUUGGAAACAUUUGCUUCGUCUUCAUGAAAACUGGGAGCUUUAGGAGUGAGUCCAAGAACCUUGAACAUGAGUUGAUCAGCAACGAAAUUGUUGUUCGGAGUUGUCAAAAGUUUCUCGCCAGUAAAGAUGGAAUUAGCACCAGCAAGAAAACACAGUGCCUACUCUGGCAUGGAAGAACGAAUUCUUGCAGCUGAUAAUCUGACCAUUGCUUUUGGCAUGACUAUACGUGCUGUAGCAAUCAUCCGAAUCAUCUCCCAUAUUUCAACUGGCUGAACAUGGAAUUAGGAAAUCGACUUUGGUUAUUUCCAAGCAUAGAGUAACUUUUCAUGGACAUGGAAAGCUUUUUAGAUGCUCUUUAACAAUGAUGGCUGCCUUUUACAACAACACAGUGAGGGUAAAUAUGCUGAAGUAUAUCAUUCUUCCAAGCAAACACUACUCUAGAAACUUUUAUUAUCGGCAAUUUGUAUCAGACUACGUGGGUUUCACCAACAAUUUAUAUUAAAGAGCAAUAAAUGAUAAGAGAGAAACAACAUCAAUGACAGAAUAUGCUUGCAGUAAAAUAUAAUAUAUGCUUGCAGUAAGAUACGAUAUAUAUAUAUUUAUAUAUAUUCCACCAAAACAUUAAAUGGUAUUGUGUUAAACAGGAAUAAAAUCACCUUCUGAUCUUGAAGAGGGGUUCCUUUCACUGCAAGCAGCGCAUUGAUGGGAACACUCUCUGGAUGAGUAGGGAGUGUUGCUAGUGUAUGCAACAAACCAACUCUGUCCUCCUCUGGUUCUCCAAGCCCUAUUAUACCACCUAUGAACAGAAAAUCAAAUACUCAUUGUCAAUAUCUGUUUAUCUUUGCAUUGAAAGACGAAAAAAGAAAGAUAUAUCAUCUAUUUGACAAUGAGGUUGACGAAUGUUUGGUGAAUUUUAACAAUGUCACCUUGAAGUUAGAACAGAGAAUUGCAUGACUACCAAACUAAAAUGAAACGCUUAUGCAAAUAUCAUUGAUUUCAGUUCAUUUGAUGAUUUUGAGGCUUGAAAAAGGCAUUCCUUUGAAGGUUAGGAUUCCCAACUGAGACACAUGUUAAUUUCAAGUGAUGUUUGCAAAGACAAUCUAACUCCACAGACAAUAUCCUACCAAGCUUUAUUUAAACAAAAAAAAAACAAAGUAGCCAUCAUCGUAGCCACCUCUUGAAUAAACAGAUUAAUUGUUUCCUUUCUAGAAUCUUAACACGUUUGGAAGGUUAUACCAGGAAUCUUGAAUCAACUCAGCAGUGUUAAUUUUAUUUUAUUUUUUAAAUUCUAACAUGUUUACCAAUGUAUUCUUUAUACAAACAAUCAACCUAGUAAAAGAGAAUAAACCCUUUAACGAAAUUUCAAACUCUCUGUUCAGCGAAACUGAAAUUCAACUGAACCCAGGAACUUAAAACUCUGGUAUCUGUUGCCAAUGAUGGAGAUAAGUGAUAUUUGUGCUCACUUAAGAGACUUUUAGUAGAUUUAGUAACUAAUUACAUCUCAAUCCUAACCCUGGCCUCUUUGACAUGACUAAUACUUAAAAAGCUGCAAAGGACAAAAACCACCAACAGCAUAUGGAAUUGUAUCAUAUGGUUUGGCACCAAUAUGAACCUUAGGUGAUGAGCUUGUCUACCUUUCAGAAGGGGUACAUAUCAUCUUAAAAGUGGAUAUGAUCUUUCUCUGGAGGUUCAAGAAAGCCAUACAACAUAAAAAUUCUUCCUUCCCUUUUCUACUGUUUUUCACCAUUUAAUUUCUCAAUUCGCCCAUUCAACCAAUAGAAGGUGGCAAGAUAAAAGUCCACGCAAAAAAAAUGCUCAAUAAGAUAGCAUAAUCAACACUAUAGUACAAAAUUAUGUUAGGUCCAUGAAAACUUAUGUCAGGCGCAAAUAUAAAGGGGCAGGGGUUGUUUAGUAAUUUUAGGGGCAGGGGCAAUUUAGUAACUUUAUUAUUAAUUAGGGUUUAGUUAUAAAUAAGUGAUUAUGGAGUCAUUUAGGGUUUAUGUUGAGUUUUGUCUGGUAUUAGGAACCAUUAGGAGUUUUGGGAGAGAUUGACAUACCUCUCGAAUUGUAGGUCAGGAUUGAUUGUUUGUUUUCUUUCGAUUUAAUUAAUAAAAGUCAGCCCUAAUUUAGCCCUAAGUCCUAUCAAAGUGGUAUCAGAGCAAGAAUCCUAAGACAAUGGCAGCGAAGAAGGUGGACGCGCUUGAAGAAAAAUUGAAAGCAGAGGUCAGAUCACUCAAGGCUACGAUUGAUGAGCGAUUCAACACCGUUCAAUAACAAUUUUCAUCUCUUGAAGCCAUGCUGUUGAAAUUGACGGAACUCCACCUCAACCCUCCUCCGGCAGCAUCGAGGGGCCAUGGCGGUGUGGCAGGAGAAGGAUCCGGGGUUACGAAACCCGUGGUAGGCGACGGCGCAGAAAUCGGAGUGACCGGGCUAGGCGACUCGGGGGCGUUUGGGGGUGAGGCACAACCUGGACAGGCUGAAUUUGGGCCCGAGCAGGGAGGAUUUGGGUCUGAACAGGUUGGAUUUGGGGACGGUAGGCCAGGAGGAGGGAUUUCUGGUGAGAAAGGGAGCGGUUAUGGUCGAAAUACGGCUGGGCAAGGGAAUCCAGCCCACUAUGGUGCUGGGCAAGGAGAAUUUUGGGCUGGAUCUUUAGGAUUUGCAGACACUGGAGUAGAUUGGGGAGGUUGGAGACCUCCGAUGGCAUGAAAUUGGGCGGGUCAGACUCAAUUUGGAGUAGAUUCUAGGGUAAGGAAACUAAAAAUGCCUAUUUUUUAAGGUGAGGAUGCCUAUGGAUGGGUGUAUAGGGCAGAGCGCUAUUUCGCCAUUAAUGGACUCUCAGAAAGGGAAAAAUUGAUGGCGGCGACGUUAUGCUUGGAGGGAAAGGCCUUUGCGCAGUUUCAAUGGCGAGAACAACGACAACCAAUGAGGUCGUGGGGUGAAUUUAAGGAUCGGCUGUUGGAGAGGUUUCAGGCCACUCAAGAGGGAUAUUUGCAUGAACAGUUUUUUGCUCUGACCCAGGAGAGAACGAUUAUGGAGUAUAGGGAGAAGUUUGAGUUGCUAUUAGGGCGUCUAGGGGGGCUUCCAGAGGCGGUGUUGGAAGGGAAUUUUAUGAAGGGACUGAAGCUAGAAAUCCGAGCCUCCCUACGCUUGCUAAGGCCGAGAGGGUUAGGGGAGUCAAUGGAGUUGGCACAGAUGAUUGAGGAUAAGAACACAAUAGAACGGAUUAAUAGGAGUAGUUCAGUCGAUUUUUCAUAUCGAAAUAACACACCAUUGGUAGGAAAGAAGACUCAGACUUUGGGGUUUCAACGAGAGUUCCAAAAUACACCAUCAGGAGGCCAGAAAAUGCAAAUGAUGGGUUUACAGAGAGAUUCCCAAAGGGAUCGGGUUAGUGGGGCACGACUAGGGGUGACUUUCAAACGCCUCACAGAGACAGAGAUUCAGGAUAAGAGGGCGAAGGGGGUGUGUUUUCGAUGCGAUGAUAAAUUUUCACCAGGGCAUCGAUGUAAGGAUAAAUCACUACAAGUCCUGACUGUGUGUGACGAGGAAGAAGAGGCAGCAGUUUCCUAGAUUUCACCUUGAGGACAAGGUGUCUUUUUGGGAGGGGAGUAAUGUUAGGUCCAUGAAAACUUAUGUUAGGCGCAAAUAUAAAGGGGUAGGGGCUGUUUAGUAAUUUUAGGGGUAGGGGCAAUUUAGUAACUUUAUUAUUAAUUAGGGUUUAGCUAUAAAUAAGUGAUUAUGGAGUCAUUUAGGGUUUAUGUUGAGUUUUGUCUGGUAUUAGGAACCAUUAGGAGUUUUGGGAGAGAUUGACCUACCUCUCGAAUUGUAGGUCAAGAUUGAUUAUUUGUUUUCUUUUGCUUUAAUCAAUAAAAGUCAGCCCUAAUUUAGCCCUAAGUCCUAUCAAAUUACCUGAACAGACAUUAAUCCCAGCUUCACGGACAUGCUUAAGGGUUUCCAAAUGUUCAUCAUAACUACUUGUAGUAAUGAUUUUGGGGUAAUAUUCUCUUGAGGUAUCAAGGUUAUGGUUGUGCGCUGUAAGGCCUGCUUUCUUGAGUUCUAUAGCCUGCUGCUUCUCCAGCAUGCCCAAGGUGCAGCAAACCUCCAUUCUCAUGUCCCUCAUACAUGACAGAUUAAAACCCAGCUCAACAUUUGGCGGAUAAGCAAGAAAAUCUAAGACAAAGUUAGUCAAAUUUUCAAAAGCUAUGGCAAACAAUUAAUAGGACAAGUAGCUCAUGAAGCAUUGUAGAAGUUCUAUUACUUUUGAAACAUGCGGAAACCCAAGAAAAGAAUUGAUGUUAAAAUUAUGAAUUGGAAAGCAUCAUAACAUAAGACAGAAGCUGUAUUCCAUGUAAUUCUUUUGUUGAAGGGAAAUAUUCGCUGGCUGUGUAUUGUUGCAUAUAUAACUUGAUAGUAAAAUACGAAAGCAUAUUCAAAUUUCUUGCAUUUAACAAAAUAAAAUUUUCAUCAACCCAGAGUUGACAUUACAUUACUGUCAACAUCUACAGUACUUACAUUGUCCAAGUAUCACAACUGAAUUCAUAGGGGGGAAAAUAAAAAGUAAAGAGAACUGAUAUAAGAAAUAUACAACCCUGUUAAUUAUGGUUCUAAAUAAGUUCCCUUAAUUGUGGAAUUCCCACAUUAUAAUAAUGUAACAGGCUCAUUAUCUACAACACAAUCAUCCAAUCAAAAGCACGAUUAAAAAUUCACCUCCUUCUUUAACAAUGAGGACUUUCAUCAUGAAUUGCUUUAUUACCUUAUAUCUUUUACGUAUUCAAGUGUUUGGUUGAAAUUGGUUUUCCUCCCUAUUGUGUCUCUCCAUGCAGCACCCAUUCAAAAUCAUGUACUUCCGGCCUCCUUUGCCUGCAAAAGUAUAAUUAUAUUGAUAACAAGCUACUAAGAAACUAGCAUUGUAUCAUGUGAAACACAAAGCUCGUCAAACAAGUUUGAUAGAUAUUUGAAGAAGUUUUCACCAAUAUUGAAAACUGUAAUGGGUAGAUCUCAAUCCAUUCAUAAAGAUAGUCAUUCAAACAAGUUGUCGAUAUAUAAAAUUGAACUCAAAUGUAUAUUAAUAUGAUAUUGCAGUAAUUAGCCUCACAUUCAAAUCCAUAAUUGACUUGGAAAUCCCUCAUAGUAACUGAGUGUAACCAAAAAAAUUAAUCAACACUGCAUUUUUUCUAGUGUUAUGUCCGCAUCAGGAUAAACUAAAUCAGAUUAUUGCCCCUUAAAUGAGCGCAUGGAUAAGAAAACAGAUUAGGGUAAUUAGUCAUUCAUCAGUACUCUUGUUCUUGUAAUGUUGUCUCCCUUUUCCAACUAAAUUAUCUUGCAGAACUUGUGAAUCACAUUUACUUUUCAAUUAAUUAAAAUCAAGUCUCUCCAUUUUCACAUGUAUAGCAUAUGUGCAAGACUAGUAUCAAGAAUUCCUUUCAAAGCUCCGUAAUUUUCCAACCCUGUUCCUAUAUUGCUGCUCUAACACACCGUGAAGCUUACUCGAACUACAGAACAUUUACAAUCAAUUUUAAAAGAAUAUGCCAUUAAAGAAUCAACAACCACCAGCAUCUUGGAUAUAGCAAUUCACAGUGAACUUUGCUGACCUUUUGUGCUGCCUGCAUCACGGCGUCUUUAGUCAUAAGCUUUUGGUCCUUCACUCCAGUGCAUAUCUAGAGGAUUGAGGACAAUAUGAACAAUCCUCACUGCAUCCACCCGUCUUGAUGGAGAGGAGAGUGCACUGCUGCGCUUCCCUGAAGUUAUGAGCAUGUCUGUGAACUUGAGCCUGAAAAAUAAAAAGAACCUCCUACCUAGUUGCUCAAUCGGUAACAAUAAGUUUGCAUAUAGUUACUUUAAAAAAAAAAAAAAGAAUCAACAGUGUAUUAUUGCCUACAAAUAAAUUUUAAACCAAAAAGAUCACGCAGGGCAUUAUGUUCUUGGAAAACAUAAUACUCCUCUUCUACUCCAAAAGACUAAUACCAGACACUUUUGUAAAAAACUGUUUUUGAAAAUCAUUAGACAACACAUUUUUCAAAUAUUCUAAGUUUCCUGUUUUCAUUCUUGAGAAUAAUUUGUGAAAAAAGAAAAAAUUCUAAAAUAAUCCCAAAGCAUUAAAAGAAAAAAAAAAAACAGAUACCAGCUCACUAAAACUGCAAAAAAUACAUUAGCAGAAUGGGGGUUCUAAAUUAAAACAAAAAUAAGAAACAAAAACAUAUUGAAUGAGAGAAGUGAAAAAUAAAGACUCCAUGGAAGAGGAGAUCGAGAACAGGAGAGUCGUAGAUAGAUUUGAUGUCAUAUUUAGACCAAUCGUGUCUGGGACCUUCACGUAUUGUUCUUUCAGCUUCAAUGGCAGCAGCCGAGGCUGAGUACACGAGCAAGAAGAAUGCAAUGCCAGAAAUUUCUUUGAGGGUCUUAAACUUAAACUACGUUGCGAACGCAGUAACGAUCGAAACGGGACACGGCUACCAUGCAGGGCAUAAAAUCCCUGUAUGGUACAGGGGCUGCCCUUGAACCGUUGGAUUCAGCUUAUUUGAAUCCAAUGGUUGGGGUUUUAGUUUGAAAAAAAUGAAUAAAAGCAGAAAAAAAUAUGGCAACCGGUUCAAACGGGGUAGUUACAGUACGUAAAAAAUUACCGUUGGAUUGAAUAGAGCGGAUCCAAUGGCUGAGAUUUGUUUUAUUAUUCAAUAAUUAAAAAAUUUUGAAAGAACAAACCUGUAAAACUGAAAUAAACAAAAAAAAAAAAAACCACCACUCACUCACUCACCUCACCGUCACCACUCCCUCACCUCACACGUCAAACACCUCACCACUCCUCACCUCACACACGGCCAUCAACGGCGGCUGCUGAAGGAGUUCCUAGGCAACGAUCAAUGGCGGCACAAGGACGGGCUGAUCUCCGCCGUCGGCAACGAUCAACGAAGGCAGAAGGAUGGGCUGAUGUUCUUCGUUGACAAUGAUCAACGGCGGCACAAGCACAGCCCCGUUCCUCGCCCCACAUUCUCUUUACCGCCAGAAUCAUCAAGCAAAACGUUAGUAUUAGAUUAGAUUUUCUGAAUUAAUUUAUAAUUAGGGUUUGAUUUGAACUGUAUCAAGGUUAGAUUUGAAUGAUUGAUUUGGGUUUGAUUUUAAUUGUUGAUUUGGGUAUGAAUUAAAAUUUUUAUUGAUUUAUAGUGUUGGUUUAUGUCUUUCCCUUCUCAAGCUUUUGGGCAAUAGUGCAUGGAUCGACAGCAACAAAGAGCAGGGGCUACACAGGCACAGCCUCGGCUUCGACCUUAGCCUCAACCUGGCGAUUUAUCUGCUAUACUCGGUGUAUUCCUCACUUCCAUUGCUAUUGUCUCACUAGCAAAUUCUCUCUUAUUCCUAAUUCGUGCUUUUACGCAUAUUUAGUCACUUUCAAUCUGGUUUAUCAGUUAAUGUGUAUGAUAUUGUGUUCUAUUUCUUGGUUUUUUCACAACGUGAAACUUUUUUUUUUAACACUUGGUUGACCAUUUUUGGCCAAUUAUAUUUGAUUUUAUAGUCACAAUUUUCUCAUUUAGUACUUUUUAGGUUUUAAUGGUGACUUAAAUCUUCUUUUUUUAAUUGUUUGAGUUGAAUCUUGUAGCUCUGUAAAUAUUAAGUGUUGGGUUCUCACCUGAAUAAAGGGCUUUCCUUGGAGUGAAAUAGUGAAAUGAACAACGAUUUGAAUUGACUAGUUGUAAAGUUUAAUUUUUUCCUAAAAUGAGCAGAUCAACAAUAUAUUAUCAUGGGCAGUGUUUUUACCCAGAUUUUGCUUCGUUACUUGCCUACUAGUAUGAACACUUUGUUGCUUUGAAAACUCAUUUGCUAUAUUAAUGCUUUGGUGGUAAGUUUCUUGUAUGUAUAUCUGUAGUUAUAUUAUUUUGAUUGGAAUUUUCUGUAUUUAACUCUGAAACUGACUUGCUGGAUUUAAGUAAUAAUUAGUUAUUUUAGUGAAAGUUUGAGCAUUUGUGUAGGUAUGAAAGUAAUAUUAAGUUCAUUUUGAACAAUAUGUUGUUUGGAUGAAUAUAGCUUUUGAAUGAAUUUUCAGAUGAUGUCAAUGCCGAACAAUAGAUUGUCAUUGCUUCCUGGAAGAAUAGACCAAUCAAGUUACCCUUGUCGUACCUGGAAAUUAUUUGGAGGGGGCAGAAUCUGUUGGAUGAUGAACUUUGCUGCAGCUUUGUUGCAAUUUUGUUUGCUGCAGAAUUUUAGGCUUGGCUUCAGUAAAUAUAGGUUGAUAUUUGCAAGGCAUCUUUUAUACGGCUUAUGUAAAAUUUUUUUCUUUUUCCAUUUACAUUGCUGGGUUUCGUUGUAGUUGCUGAGCAAGUGAUAGAACACAUUCAAUUUUAUACAACAAUUAUAAGUAUUGACCAUGAGGCAGGAUACUGGAAAAUUGUUGUGUUAUUAUAACCCCUCAAUGGUAAAAUGAUUGCAAUUGGUAUGGUGAUCACAAUUGAUGACUUUUGAAUGAAACCAUAUGUUUUAAUUAUUUAGUUAUCCUGUUAUUUAUUUUAAUAAAGCUUAGUUUAUUUCAUUUGCAUGGAUGUUUAUUUCACAAGAUACUUAUUUGAAAAAUGUCAAAAAAAAUGUUAUAUUGCUAAAAAAUAAAAACGUUGUUAAUAAGCUGUGCUGAGCUUUAAAACUACUUACCUUUCUUCCUUUUUUUUUAUUUGCCGUAAAUUUAUGCAAUAUAUCAAUCCACUUUUUUUUCGGAGAUGGUACUUGUAAUAAGGUUGGAUGAUGCACUUGGUGUAAAGUACUAGAUUUUGGUGGAUUUUUAGGAUGAUAUGUAGAAAAUAUUAUGUUUGACAUAGGAAUAGUUAAUUUGAUUUAUUUUCAUUAAAUUGUGUUUCCUAUAAUUAGUUAAAAUAAAAUUAAAAUAAAUUGAUUAAAUUGAUUUAGCGGAAUGGAGAAAUAAGCCUAUAAAUUUGUAUGGGAAUUAAUAGAAUUAAAAAUGAUUGCAAGGUUAUUUAUAAGAGCUCUUAUGAAUUUAAAAGCAAAUUCGGAUUGGAAUAUUAUUAUUUUGUUGGUUACCUUUAUUCAUAAUACAAAUACUUCAAAAGUGAUUAUAUUUAUAAAAAAUUAGAAGAAAAAUGUUAACAAAAUAAUAUUAUUGAAUGUCUAAAACGAACACUUGUAGUCUAAGGUAUAACCAUUGAAAGAUUAAAAUCGGUGCACUAAAUUCAAGUGAAACGGUUAGAUUUAAGACUAAAUAAAUAGUAUUCAUAAAAUGAGUGUUGUUAAAUACCUUAAUAUUCUUCUAAUGCUUAUGUUAAAGUCACUUUACAAAAUGGUGGAUUAAAAAUUUUCGGGUGCUUGGAAAAUAAUUAUCUAAAACAUUGAAUAGUAAUUUUAAAACACAUUACUUAAAAUAUGUAACAAUGAGUACCUCCGUAACAAUGAACAUAAACAUCAAAUAUGAAACUUCGAACUUGAAACAUAAAACAUGAAUCAUAAACAUGAAACGGGAGCAAAAUAGAAAAAUUUUAAGGUAUUUAAAAAUUAUUACAUAAAACAUUGAACAAUAAAUAUGAAACACGUUACUUAAAAUAUGCAACAACGAACAUAAAAUAUGAGUACCUCCGUAACAGUGAACAUGAAACAUAAAACAUGAAACAUAGAACAACAAACAUGAAACACAGAACAUAAACAUGAAACGGGGGCAAAAAAGAAAAAUUUCGGGGUAUUUGAAAAAUCAGUACAUGAAACAUUGCACAACUAACAUGAAACAGAUCACUUAAAAUAUGCAACAACAAACAUAAAAUAUAAGUCCCUCCGUAACAGUGAACAUGAAACAUAAAACAUGAAACAUAGAACAACAAACAUGAAACACAGAACAACAAACAUGAAACACAGAACGUAAACAUGAAACGGGGGCAAAAAAGAAAAAUUUCGGGGUAUUUGAAAAAUUAUUACAUGAAACAUUGCACAACCAACGUGAAACAGAUCACUUAAAAUAUGCAACAAGGAACAUAAAAUAUGAGUCCCUCCGUAACAGUGAACAUGAAACAUAAAACAUGAAACAUAGAACAGCAAACAUGAAACACAGAACGUAAACAUGAAACGGGGACAAAAAAGAAAAUUUUCAGGGUAUUUGAAAAAUUAUUACAUGAAACAUUACACAACCAACGUGAAACAGAUCACUUAAAAUAUGCAACAAGAAACAUAAAAUAUGAGUCCCUCCGUAACAGUGAACAUGAAACAUAAAACAUGAAACAUAGAACAGCAAACAUGAAACACAUAACGUAAACAUGAAACGGGGGCAAAAAAGAAAAAUUUCGGGAUAUUUGAAAAAUUAUAACAUGAAACAUUCCAUCACCAACAUGAAACAGCUAGCUUAAAAUAUGCAAAAACAAACAUAAAAUAUGAGUUCCUCCGUAACAGUGAACAUGAAACAUAAAACAUGAAACAUAGAACGUAAACAUGAAACGGGGGCAAAAAAGAAAAAUUUCGGGGUACUUGAAAAAUUAUUACAUGAAACAUUGCAUAACCAACAUGAAACAGAUCGCUUAAAAUAUGCAAAAACAAACAUAAAAUAUGAGUCCCUCCGUAACAGUGAACAUGAAACAUAAAACAUGAAACAUAGAACGUAAACAUGAAACGGGGGCAAAAAAGAAAAAUUUCGGGGUACUUGAAAAAUUAUUACAUGAAACAUUGCACAACCAACAUGAAACAGAUCACUUAAAAUAUGCAACAACAAACAUAAAAUAUGAGUCCCUCCGUAACAGUGAACAUGAAACAUAAAACAUCAAAUAUGAAACAUAGAACGUAAACAUGAAACGGUGGCAAAAAAGAAAAAUUUUGGGGUAUUUAAAAAAUCAAUACAUGAAACAUUGGACAACCAACAUGAAACAAAUCACUUAAAAUAUGCAACAAUAAACAUAAAAUAUGAGUCCCUCCGUAAUAGUGAACAUGAAACAUAAAACAUGAAACAUAAAACAUAAAACAUGAAACAUAGAACGUAAACAUGAAACGGGGGUAAAAAAGAAAAAUUUUGGGGUAUUUAAAAAAUCAUUACAUGAAACAUUGUACAACUAACAUGCAACAGAUCACUUAAAAUAUGCAACGAACAUAAAAUAUGAGUCCCUCCGUAACAGUAAACAUGAAACAUAAAACAUCAAACAUGAAACAUAGAACGUAAACAUGAAACGGGGGCAAAAAAGAAAAAUUUCGGGGUAUUUGAAAAACCAGUACAUGAUCCGUAACAAUAAACAUGAAACAUAAAACAUCAAAUAUGAAACAUAGAACGUAAAUAUGAAACGGGGGCAAAAACGAAAAAUUUCGGGGUAUUUGAAAAACCACUACAUGAAACAUAAAACAUAAAAUAUGAAACUUAAAAUAUUAAACAUGAGAUAAAUUUCAUAGAAAAUGAAUAAAAUUUUUGUCUUUUUGUUAACACACAUUUUAUUUUAUUUUUUAAAAUAUUUAUAAUAAAAAAAUUUUUUCUAUUUUUACUUUACUUAUCCUUUUCUACUUCUUAUUAUUAUUAUUUUUUAAAUAUUAUUCGUUUUAAAUAUUUUUUAUUUUAAUUUAUUUAAAUAAAAAAUACAUAUUAAUGGCAGCAACCGGCUGGAAAACCGGUUGCUGCCAGUCAUAAAAGUUGUUUGGCUGCCAGAUGGCAGCCAAACAACAAAGGGGUCAAUAAAUUGACCCCCUCUAUCAUAGCCGUGUCCAUCGAAACGACAUCAUUUUGAUUUUUUUUUCCGUUGCUGGAGGCUGGAGCUGCACUGGAUUUUGGCGAUGAAAACUAGGAGUGUCAAUUGAGAGAGAAGAAAGAAGAAUAAGACGAAAAGUUAGAUAGCUACUUGCUACCUACCUAAUUAUUUGAACUUUGAAGGAUAUAGGCAUAUACGUGGCUUUGUUUCUUAAACUAUAUUUGUAAUUACAUCUAGGUCGCUAAUUGCUUUACUAUUUCUCAGACAAGAGCAUAGUUUCUCUAUUUGUAUCAUAUAGGUCCUUACCUUAGUUCCCUUCUUGUUUAGAUGUACGAAGAGUACCGACAACACUCUCCACCCUUUUUUUGAAAGGUAAUGCAAGAACGAUCACCCAAAAUUUCAUUGAAAAAUAAGAUUUUAUUAUUUAUUUAAAGAAUUAUAUUAAUAUUUAAAAAUUUUAAAAAUCUUUUUAAUUAAGAUUUUUAAAAUAAGAGAUAUUCUUUCUUCAAUUUUAUAAGGUCUUUUUACAUCUUCAAUUUAUAUUUUAUUAUUUUGUAUUGAAGAAAAAGAAAAGUAAGUUAAUUACUAUUUAUUUAAAAAUAAUAAUUAUUUAAUUCAAAUAAUAUUAAUAAGAAACUUUUUAAAAAAUAUAUUUUUUCACUCUUCUAUUUAUCACAUAAGUAAGUAAAUAAAUAUUUAAAAAAUAAAAUUAAUAGUACUUUUUAAUGAUGCUCUAAGUAUAUAUAUUAUUAGGGGUUGUUUGUUACCAGGUCUCCACAUUUAUUAAUUCAGUUAUUUUGUAAACCACUUCUUGGUUGAAUGCAGGUAUAUUUUUUAAGAGUUGGAUUAUUGGCACCCCUCCAUAAUUCUUUUAAAACCCCUCUUCUAUUAUAAUUACAUUUUAGGACAAUACUCUAAUAUAUCUCACAUCUAUUUUAUCUCAUUUCAAAAUUUUGUUUUUUCUCUCUUUAAAAAAAAAAAAGAAAAAUUCUUGUAUUUUCUCUGCUAUCACACUCACACAUGUAAUUUUUUUCUCAAAUUCUCUAUAAAUUUUUCUUCAAUUAAUAAGAUAAUGUAUUGAUAAUAAAUAAAACACAUUCUGAUAAAAUUGUCUUACUUUUUUUUAAGUUCAUACUAAAACUUUUUACAUCAUAAUCUUAGAGAGAAUUUAUUUGAUUCAUUGAUUUUUAUAAAGAAGUUUAUCACCGAUAAAAAUUAUUUGUGAGGAGCGAGAAAAAAAAUAAAAAAUUAAAAGAUUCACAAAUUAAAUGUGUUUAUUUAGAAGUAAGGGUAAUUUUGACAUUAUGUCUAAUAUAAUUGAAAAAGGGGUUUUAAACGAAUUUUGGAGGAGUGUCAAUAGUCCAACUCAUUUUUUAAUGCACUUUCUUGACUUGGCUUAUGAUGGACCUGUUUUGUAAUAGUCUUCAACCAUGAGUUGCUUCUCCCUGACCUAUGAUAGGUUCUAUUGGCACCCCUCUAUUUUAUUUAUAAAACCCCUUUCCUUUUGUAUUUAUAAUUCUAUCGUUUAUAUAUCAAACGCAAAAUUUCAUCUAAUUAAACGGAUUUUGCUAUAAACUAAGUUUAAUUCACUUUAUAAUUUUUGUUUGCGAGAAAAAUAAUUUUGUGAAGUAUUGUUAAUUUUAUGAGCUUGUUAAGGUACAUCCAAACCUUCUGGUUAUUCAUAAAUUAUCUUCUUCUUUGUCGAUUCUGAAGAAGAGUGCAUACUUGUAUUACAAAAACACCAUAUGUACAUUUGAGGGUUUAACUUUAAAGUAGGAGAAUAAUAGCAGCAUAGCACUACUAGUUGGGAGGUUAUUGAGGAGGUUUAUAAAAAGAGAAGGGAUUUGAUGAGGAUGAUAGAGGGGCGCCCAUAGCAGAUAGCACCAUUCUAUGAAUGUUUGUAAUGUGUUCCAAACGCCAAUUUCUUGGGUGCGCUCAAAUCUAUGUAUUGAAAGUCGAACUCCAUAAUUUAUAAUAUUGUCUUAUGGUUUCGGUUUAAGGAUAUAAUUAUGUAGCAUAAAUAAAUUGAUUGAUAUAGUUUUAAAUAUUUCUGAUAUCAAUGUCUAAAUGUUUAUCUAUAUCUUUUUUUUUUUAUAAGAAAAACAUUUUUAAUGUAUUGUACAUUACUUAGCUAUCUCAGAGAAUUGCUCAUUUGCGCGUGGACUUGUAAUUGAUUGAUGAUUGUAUAUAUUUGUUGUCAAUAUUAUUAAAUGUAAAAAAAAAAAGACAAAUACGCUUUGGUGAUUUUUUUUUUAAUUGGAUAGAUUUUGCAUAAGAAGAUUAGAAGAACAUAUUCUCAUACUCAAUUAAUAUAUUUCAAAUUCACCGAAUAAUUAAAGAAAGGGCGGGGUUAUUUAAACCCCUCAAAUUUCUUUCUAAACCCAUUUUUUAAAUAAACCCAUAACUAAAAUUUAAAAAUAUUAAUUUCAUUUCUAUUCAUUUGAGAAUUUCAAAAAUAACCCUUAGUAGAAUUUCUAUACAUUGAUAUUUUUCUAAUUGUUCUUGAUUUGAAUUAACAAAGAGACUUGCCUUUGUCAAUUUGAAAAACAUUUGACAUCAUGUAGAGAUAAAUUUCAGUUAAUCAUCUUCAAUCAAACCUUAUUUGAAUUAUAAAAUCAUUUUUUAAUGUUGGUAUUUGCACUAAUUAUUCCUUUUGAAAGGGAGAGGAACUUGCACAUUCCCAAAUAUUCCUUCAAGAAGUUACAAACCAAAUGAUUUACUAGUUUCUAUUGUUUAAUGUAAACUCCAGGAAUUGAAAUAUCAAGAGAUAGUUUCAUCUUGUGACACAAUUUUUUUUUAAAACUAUCAAAAAAUAUUUUUGAUAUACCAUUUAUGCAAAUAUAAGAAACUAUUUAUCUGUAAAUUUGAAUUAGAUUUCUCUCAUCAACUAUCAUAUUUUCAAUAUAAACUAAAACAACUCACGCUAGUUUAAAUAGAUGGAUGCUGAAAUAUGAAGUAAUUUUGAUACUAACAUGUUUAUAUAAGUAAUUUUAUCAAAGGAUAUUUUAGAGAAAAAAAUAUGUUGACUAAAGAUAAACUCUAGUUGGUUAGUAAACAAGUUCAUUUUUAUAGUAAACGAGUCAAAUUUGAUUUUAGAACUUUUUUGUUAAAAAAAUCUGACUACUAAAUAAAAAUAAAUUUGAUUUCACUAAAUAAAAAAUUUUGAUUACUAAAUAAAAAAUACAUUUGAUUGCUAAAUAAAAAAAUCUAAUUACUAAAUAAAAACUAAAAUAUUUUACUGUAAAAAUUGACAAGUUAUAAGAGAUAUUUUACCUGAUCAAUUUUAAUUCAAUUAAGGCAUGAUAGUUUUUUAAUUUAAUAGUAGAAAGUUAACGGGUUGGGUGUGUGGUUUUACAUAAAAAGUUAAUAAGUGUAUAUUGAUAUUUGUCAAAACAUUUGGGUGUGCAUGGAAAUGAACCUUUCCAAAUGUUAAAAACGGUUGCCCAUGAUUAAUUUCUAUUCUGACCUAUAAUCUCAACCAUCCCAUUUCAGUCUCUAGAUCCAACGAAUCAAAAAUGCAUGGCUGUUACGUACAGUUCCUGUAACGUAGCCAGGUCCUUUUCAAUGAAUUUUAUUGACUUGGCUUAUGAUGAACCUGUUUUAUAACCGUCUUCAACCGUGGGUUGCUUUUCUGUCCCUAUGAUUGGCUCUAUUGGCACCCCUUUAUUUUAUUUAUAAAACCCCUUUUGUUUUGUAUUUUUAAUUUUAUCAUUUAUAUAUCAAACGCAAAAAUUCAUCUAAUUAAACGGAAUUUGCUAUAGUUUUAUUUACUUUAUAAUUUGUGUUUGCAACAAAAAUAAUUUUUUGAAGUUUUCAUAAUUGUUAAUUUUAUGAAAUUGUUAAGGUAUAACCAAACCUUCUGCUUAUUAUUUUUUUUUUAUAAUGAAAAACUUAAAUAAAUUAAAAAACAUAUCCAUGAAUUAUCAUCUUCUUUUUCGAUUUUGAAGAAGAGUGCAUUCUUGUGUUGCAAAAACGUACAUUUGAGGGUUUAACUUUAAAAUAUGAGAAUAAUGGCGAGAAUAAUAGCAGUAUAGCAAUACUAUUUGAGAGGUUAUUGAGGAGGUUUAUAAAAAGAAAAGGGAUUUGAUGAGGAUGAUAGAGGGAUGCCAGCACCACUCUAUAAAUGUUUGUUUGUAAUGUGUUUCCAAUGUGAAUUUCUUGGGUGCGCUUAAAUCCAUGUAAUGAAAGUAGAACUUAUAAUUUAUAAUACUAUCUUAUGGUUUCGGUUUAAGGAUAUAAUUAUGUAGCAUAAAUAAAUUGAUUGAUAUAGUUUUAAAUAUUUCUAACAUCAAUCACUAAAAGUUUAUCUAUAUCUUUUUUUAUAAUAAAAACAUUUUUAACGUAUUAUACAUUACUUAGCUAUCUCAAAGAAUUGCUUAUUGAGGUGUGGACUUGUAAUGGUCAUAAAAAUGUCAAUAAUGAAAAUGAAGUGUAAUAAUCUGAAAACUAGUAGAGCCAAGUACUCGGUAAGAAGGAGUUCGCCUAGGGUAUGUUUUAAAGACUUAGAAGAAAUGAUGAGAAAGCUUAACUCACUUCAUUGAUUUACAAAUACCAAUAUAUACAGCAAAUAGUGCAACAACUAUCUAUAUUAUUGGUUUGUUACAACUAAAUAUAUCUUUACAUUCAAAAUACUUUGAACAAGUAAACUCCUAUAAUCAUGGAGGAGAAUCCUCUAUCAUGCCCCCUCAAGAUGGACUUCUUGAAAGCAGUCCGAUCUUGCAUCGAAGUUGAAGGAAGCGUGGUAAGAGCAUCAGCUAGCUGAUCAUUAAAUGAUACAUGUGCUACCCGUAAGGAACCGUUUUGAACUUGCUCCCUGAUAAAAUGAAAAUCAAUGGUAACAUGUUUCAUCCUUGAGUGAAAUAUCGGAUUAGAACACAACUGUGUUGCUCCCACAUUAUCGCAGUAAAUAAUUGGACAAUUAGGCACUCUAAUAUGCAGGUCUGUUAACAGUGAACGUAUCCAAGUAAUUUCAGCUGUUGUAUUGGCAACGGAGCGAUACUCAACUUUGGUGGAGGAUCGUGCCACUGUGCGUUGUUUCUUCGAACACUAGGAUACUAAGUUUCGACCAAGAUAUACCAAGUACACACCUGUUGAUGAAAAAUCAUCUUUGUUACCUGCACAGUCGGCAUCAGAAAAGACAUGUAUACUAGUGGAAGAAUGAUGAUAUAGUUGAAUACCCUCAUUAACAGUACCUGCCAAAUAUUGAAGGAGUUGUUUGACACAGGUCUAGUGGUCAGUUGUCAGACAAUACAUAUACCGUGAUAAGCGAUUAACCACGAAAGCUAUGUCUGGCCUGCUGAUUAAAAGAUAUUGUAGACUACCCAACAUAGCACGAUACUCAGUGGCAUCAUCCAGGGGAGUGCCAGAUUGUGACGUCAGCUGCACAAUGGUUGAAAGAGGAGUGAGUACCGGUUUCGCUGCCGUCAUGUUUGCUCGAUUUAAUAACUCCAGUAUAUAUCUUCUUUGAGACAAGAUCAACCCCUGGUUAUUUGGUACAACUUCAAUGCCUAGAAAAUAUGCUAAUUUUCCAAGAUCUUUGAGAGAGAAUUGCUUGGCAAGAAGAGCUAUAAAUUCAUGAAUCUUGAGAGGCUUGUCCCCCGUGAUUAUUAGAUCAUUAACAUACACAAUGAGAUAUAAAAUAUGUGUGCCAUCAUUAUAUACAAAUAGCGAUGUAUCAGCCAUAGAAUUUUUGAACCCAAAUUGAAUAAGAAAUUAUUGUAGUUCAUUAUACCAGGCGCGUGGAGCUUGCUUUAGUCCAUAGAUGGCCUUUCAAAGUUUGCAGACAUAGUUAGGUUUGUCACCAUCUAUGAAUCCUUGAGGUUGAGCCAUGCAUACAUCCUCAUACAAGUCCCCUUGAAGGAAUGCAUUAUUUAUGUCUAGUUGGCGUAGCUCCCAUCCAUGACUGACUGCAAUGCUUAGAACAAUACGAACUAUUGUUAGCUUUACAACCGGACUGAAAGUAUCAUGGAAAUCGACCCCUGGUCUUUGAUGGAAUCCUUUGGCCACCAAGUGGGCUUUGUACCUGUCAAUAGAGCCAUCAGAAUUUCUUUUUCCUCAAAAAAUCCAUUUACACCCAAUAAGAUUAUGAUUUGGAGAUGGUGAAACAAGAUCUUAUGUCUCAUUCUUAACUAAAGCAUUAAACUCAUCAAACAUUACUUGUCUCCACUUGGAGUCUUUUAACGCUUGAGUCACUGUGGUUGGUUCAAUUUCAUCUGUGGCGGCAAGUUGAGCAAGGAGAUUCAUUCUGCGAAUAGGUUUAUGAAUAUUAUUUUUAGAUUUGGUGACGAUGGUGUGAGCGGGUGGCAUUGAUGGUUCUAGGGCAGUGAUUGUGGUGUGUUGAGAUGCACAAGGUUGUAUUUGAGGAGCUUUAGCCGCAGAUGACGUAGUGAGUGGCGGAGUAGUUGUGGAGAUAGGUAUUUGUAGGGGAGGAGGAAACCAAGUGGCUAUUGUGUGUGAUUGGUUUAUGGACUCUUGUGGUUUUUGAUGGACGAAUGAGAAUAUAGACUCUACAAACUUGACAUGUCUAGAGACGUAAACUUUGGAAGAACUUGUAUCACGACACAAAAAUGCACUCUGACUUGUCGAAUAACUAAGAAACACACAUGGUUUAGAAUUGGACUCUAGUUUGUAAACCGUAUAAGGACUGAGCCAUGGGUAGUAAAGACACAUUAAAAUUUUGAGUUUGUUGUAAUUGAGUUUUGCCUAAAAAAUUUUCUCAUAGGGUGAAUAAUAUUGAAGGGUUGGUGUGGGCAUCCUGUUUAUAAGGUAAACGAUGGUGGCAAAGGCAUAUGGCCAAUAUUGUAAAGGUAUUGAUGCAUGGGACAAAAGUGCAAGACCAAUUUCGACAACAUACAGAUGGCGACACUCAGACAUACCAUUGCGUUUUGGGGUGUGUGGGGGAGUGGUGAGAUGAGAAAUUCCAUUUGUAGAAAGAAAAUUGGUUAAUGCAAUGAAUUCACCACCAUUGUCAGAGUACAAGGUUUUGAUGGGUUUUUCAAAUCGUUUUUCAACAAUGACUUUGUAUCUUAUAAAAACUUCUUUGACAUCAGUUUUUUUUUUUUAAUAGGUAAAACCAAAUAUAUUUUGUGUAGUGAUCGACAAAAAUAACAUAAUAUUUGUAUCCAUUAACAGAGACUACAAGAGACGUCUAAACAUCAGUGUAUAUAAUUUCAAGAGUAUGUGAAGAUGAUAUUGUAGAAUUUGAAAACGACAACUUAUGACUUGUAUUUGACAAACACGCAUUAUAAUUGACAUCAGAUAGCAUAGAAGACGUUACACUGAGUUUAUUAGAAGACAAAAUUUGUUUUAAAAUGGGAAUGGUAGGAUGUCCUAGCCUAUGAUGCCAAUUAGAAGACGAGGUCGUGAUACUUGAAAAGGAAAUAAUUGGGGUGGAGUCUGGCCACUCAUAUACGCCACCUUUAGCUUGACCCUUCAAAAGUGUUGUCCCUGUGCUGAAUUCCUUCACAAGAAAAGUAUCUAGUAAGAAUUCUAUGGAAGCAUUAUUAGAAUUGCAAAAUUGAUAAAUAGAAAUAAGAUUUCUCUUCAUGCUUGGAACACAUAGGACAUUGUCUAAAAGAAAAGACUUAUGAGGAGAGUUUAAAGUUGUUGAACCAGUGUGAGUUAUUUGUAACUUAGAUCCAUCCCCUAUCAUCAUAUCAUCACCUCCUCUGUACGAGUUAUGUAAAGAGAGAUUUUCUAGAUCAGUUGUUACAUGAUGAGAUGCACCACUAUGUAGGAGCCAGGUUUGAUUGUUGUUUGUUAUGGCUGCAUAAUUUGCUUUUGGCUGCCAUGGGGUAGAUGAGUGGUUAUUGUUUGACUGCACAGGUUGCAAUUUGUAAGAUGGACAUUUCUUGGCAGUGUGCCCUUUAAAUGCUAUAGAGUUGGCAGUAGCCAAGGUAUGGGCGUUGUUGUCGCUGAGUGGAAUUGUUGUUUUGGGGCACUCCUGUGUUGCGGUUUAGGUUGGAGAAGUUUUGGUUGGUUUCGCUGUUGAUACGUCAAUUGUUGUUGGUACGAGUUGUUACAUGGGCUGUUAUUGGGAACAUUGUGUCAGGUUUUGAAGUGUUUAGAGAUGCCUCAAAAUUGAGUAACUUUUCAUGAAGUCGAAUGUGAUAGGGGUGUCCUUGGCUUGUACAGCUUGGACCAACUCCUUAUAGUCAUCUCCAACAGUCUCCAGAAUUUUGUCCCUAAGAUCAUCUUCGUCAUAAGGUGCGCCAAGAAGCGUAAGUUCAUCUGCCCGAGCCUUAAUAUUUUGGAGAAAUUCUAUAAUUGAUGCUAACCCUCUAGUCAUUUGUCUAAUCUGGCUUUUAACUUGCUUAAUAUGUCCUCUGGAAGGCUUUGCAUAGGUGCUGGCAAGCGUUAUCCACGCUUCUUUGGAUGUUUUGGCAGUGGCCACAAAUGGGAUGAUGUUGGGUGAGAUGGAGCCAAUUAUGGCAUUGAGGAUCAGUUGAUCCUGGCGAACCCAAAGUGAAUGAGCUGGAUUCGGGGUAGUAGUGUUGUUGUCUGUUAUUGUAGUUGAAGGACAAGGUUUAGAACCAUCUAUAUAGCCAAGAAGAUCAUAGCCUACGAAGAGAGUUUGAAACUGCAAUUUCCAUGAUAAGUAAUUGGUUGAUGUGAGUUUGAGAGGAGUUUGUGCAGCUACAUUAAUGGUGAUUAAGGUGUUGUUGAGGUCAUUAGUGUUUCUGAUGGUGGUGGCCAUUACAGAAUUUUCUUUCUAAAAAUAAGGAGAGAAAGGGAGAGCCUCUAGUGCUCUGAUACCAUAAAGACUUAAAAGAAAUGAUGAGAAAGCUUAACUCACUUCAUUGAUUUACAAGUAUCAAUAUAUACAGCAAAAAGUGCAACAACUAACUAUAUUAUUGGUUUGUUACAACUGAAUAUAUCUUUACAUUCAAAAUACUUUGAACAGGUAAACUCCUAUAAUCAUGGAGGAGAAUCCUUUAUCAUGUUUACAUUUAGUUUCCACCAAUAUUUCAAAAUUACCGAAUAAGGCCACUUAAUAAAAAGUUGAGAAAAUAAAUAUUUAUUGAUUUAUUUCAGACAUUGCAUGUGUUAGGAGCAUUAAAUGUGAAAUUUUGUGAAAGAAAAAUCUCAUCAACUCUUAGCUUCACAAUUUUAAACUUUGACACGUGAUUCAAAUAAAAUUUAUAUAAAAAAGAAAUAUAAAUUAUUUGUGUUCAUAUUUUACCCUAUCGAUAUAAAGAAUAACUUUCUAACAAAUGAUCGGUUUUUGUUAUUAUUAUUAUUAGGCUAUGCCUAUGUUGGAACAGAUCUACGGUGGAGUACGAAUUUCAACCACAUACGCAAAAUGAUAAAUAAUAAAAAACUCAUUAUAACUUUGAUCGAGUAGUUACGAAGGAAUGCUCUAUUUUAAAACAACUUCAACAUAACCAAACCCUUAUUAUUAUUAUUGUUGAAAAAAAGAGCAAUAUACUAAAUUAGAAAAAACACGCGCGCUGAUGCAAUGUGUUUUUUCAGAAGCAUUGGAUUUCACCUUUUUAUCUGAAUUGUGAAAAGGGCAAAAACAUCUGUUCACUUGAAAUUCCGCGUGACAGGCACGUGUCCUGGAUGAGGCCGAAAAUACAAUUGCUUUUUAUCUUGCUUUCCUCCUUGAGUCGGCAUUGGCUUUCUCUUUGGCCAGUUUUGUGAAUUUUGUCGUGUAAUUUCAUUUCUGGAUUUGCUUAGUGCGAAAACCACUGGGUUCUAAGAAAACAAGGUGUUCGGUCAAUUGUCUAAAAGAAGUCUACAACGCUGCCCAUUACCACCUCCCCCCGUUCACAAUGAGUGGGAACAACAUAAACUCGGUGUUCUACGCCGGGUCGUAUCAUCCGAUUCAAGCUGGUAGCAUUGACGGCACCGAUAUUCACCCCCACGAUAACGCCAUUUGUCGUGCUCUGCUCUGCUCCUCCGCGGGCCUCUGUAUGUACUUCUAUUUUCUUUAUUCCUUUUCACUCCCCCCACAACUUUUAAGUAUUCCCAGUUCUCACCCAUUUUGUAUCUUAAUCAUUUGCAGAUGACCCCCUCGGUGACCCCAAGGCCAUUGGUGACCCUCAUUGCACUGUCUUUGUGGGUCGGCUCUCUCAUUUUACUUCCGAAGACACUCUUCGCAAGGUAAGCGGUUUUUUUUUUUUUUUAAAAAAAUUCCGUUAAUUUUCUUCAUAUUCUGCAGUGUUGCAGAAUUGUAUCUAUUUUGGAUUGAAUUAAUGAGUUGAAAAAAUUAUUGUCAUGUGGGUGUUUUAGGCUAUGAGCAAGUAUGGUAGGGUCAAGAACUUACGGUUAGUGAGGGACAAUGGUAAAGUUGCCGUUCUGAAAAUUGUGUUAUGUUGCCAAUAGUUAUGUUUGGAAUGUAACAUCUAACUUGUUCUGGUGCUUAUUGAUUUGUAUGAUGUGCAGUUACGGGUGCAUCGCGUGGUUAUGCUUUUGUUGAAUAUGAAACUGAAAGAGAGAUGCGCCGUGCAUAUGAGGUAUGUGGCUGAUAAUUUGAUUCUUUCUUGCUUUGCCACUUUGUGACUGUUAUGCAAUUUUUGUUUUGCCCUGAAAUGUGAUUCAUUUCAGAUUCUGUAAUGCACCAUAAAUAUCCACACUUUGAUUAUUUGGCCGCACUUGUGACUGUUGAGUCUCAUAUUGGAUAUUUGCUUGAUAAAUGAGGAAUUUAUAUAAUAUGUUAUGUCUGUAUUAAAAUUGGAGUUAUGUCUAUAUUAAAAUGGGAGUUUUUUACCUUCUAGUUGAGCUUUGCGCACGUCCACAAUUUCAAAAUUAAACAAACUCAAACACAUUGAUCAUCCUGGCUGCAUGCAUGCAUUCAGUGUCCCCAUUGAUAGAAAGUAAAGUGAUGGUUUUUUUGUUUUCAUGUCUGCCAUGCAGGAUGCUCACCACUCCAUUAUUGAUGAUCAUCAAAUUUUAGUUGAUUAUAACAGGCAACAGUUGAUGCCUGGGUGGAUUCCAAGGAGGUUAGGUUAGUUGUUCAUUUUAUUUACUCUGGUCAGCAUCAGCACCAAUAAAUUUGAAUCAUAUAAUUUUUGUCUCCUUUUUCCGUCAAGCAGGAGGAGGCCUUGGAGGUAAGAAAGAGUCAGGGCAGCUUCGCUUUGGAGGAAGAGAAAGACCAUUUAGAGCUCCUUUGUAUGUUCCUAAUUUUGGGGUUUUAUGUUUUGUCAUAAAUUUUUUCAUUAUGUGAUUGAAUGGAAUUGUUAGCCUUUAAGCAAUUUUAGUUAUAAUUUACUCUAAUGAAAAAUGCUUUCUAUUAAAUCUUCUUUCCGUUCAUUUAUUUACUUCUUUAGGUGUUAUAGGCAAUAGAUUCAAUGUUAGUUUUAUUGUUCUUUUUUGUUUGCUUUUGGUGUUUAGUGGGUGUGUGAGUGGUUGGGGAAGAAGAAAGCUUAAGUGGAGCUACUGGCUGGAACAGGAAAAUAAUUGGAAUCAUCUAACUUUUGAUGGACUGAUGGAAUGAUACCUUGUGUGGACAGACCGUACUCAUUUUUUGUAAUAUUUCAAUAAGUUACAAAUCUAUUUUGUCAAGGAACUAUUUCAUUCCUCUCUUUCCGGAAAGCCAUCCAGGUGCAUUAUUUAGACACUUAAAGCAGCUGAUCUCAUAUUCUCACUUUUACGUAGAAAGCUUUGUCUUUUCUUCCAUCAUAUUUGACACACAAUUACCCUUCGACAGCAAUUAUCUGGGAAAUUCAUUUUCUUUGUGUUUGGCUUGGAUGUAGUAUAGUGUACGAAUUUGAUUUAGGUAUGUAUACUUGGCAAGAAAUGGAGGGAGAUGUAAUCUUUUUGUGCAAUCUUUUUGUGCAUUGCUAUAUCUGAACUUAUCCUACCGUGUAAAACUGUUACACAAAUGUUUGAAACAAGGUAACUUUCCCAUCAAUUACUUAGGAGCUGCCUUGAGAACUGAAAGAUAUUGUUUCUUUGUGGCUCCACCCAAGAAUCCCUUUGAAUCAUAUUGUAUUGACUGAAAGGCACACUCUCUAUUAUAGUUCCUUAGGCUGUUCAUCUUUUGGCUGUGCUUAUUUGUCAGGCUAGCACAACUGACAACUGCUACUCGUACAAGGCAAUAGGAGUUUAGCCAGGAAUAGUAUUGUUUUUGGAAAAAAAAUGAAUUAAAAAGUUCAUUUCACUUUGUAACUAUAUGGUGGAAAUUUUCAGUACAUUAUUUUUAUGUACAUAUUUCUGACUUUGUUCAUUCUCUUGCAUCACCAGGCGUCCAAUUCCAUUUGAUGAGCUAAAGAGGCUCGGCAUUCCUCCUCCACCAGAAGGAAGAUAUAUGUCACGUUUUCAGGUAUUGUUUCUUUCAUCUUUUUUUUUUUUUUCUCUUUUUUAGGAUUCUGAUAACCUAGAUUCCCGCACCGACCCGGACCAUGAGUCCUGCCCGGCCAAGCCCUAAACUAGGUGUCAGUCAGGUGCCCCAACUCCAUGAACUAUGAGACGGUGGAAUUUUUAAGUUCACUAGAAGGAUUGAACCUGAGACAUCAGUACGACCAAGCACUAUGUCUCAAGCCCACAACCAACUGGGCUGCCCCCUUGGAGUGUAUUGUUUCUUUCAUAUUACAGACCUUUUAGGGCACAAAAUACUGUUUCCAGGAAUUCUUUUUUCAUUUUGGUUCUUUAAUUUUCAUUGUAGGUCCCAUCACCCCCUAGAAGCAAAAGGUGCUCUAUAGAGAAGGAAGAAAACACUCGCAGUAGGAGCUGGAAGCACAGUGAAGAACGUACUAACAAAAGUAGCACCAUGGAGAAGGAAGAGAAACACUAUAGAAGCUCUUUGGAGAAGGAAGAAUCACAUCGUAAAAGCUCUAUGGAGAAGGGGGGUCGCAAAAGAAGCUUUGUGGACAGAGAAGAAAGCCAUUACAAAAGAAGCACUACAGAAGGGGAAGAGCGGUCACGGUCUCAUAAGAGGAGCUCUACAGACAAGGAAGAGAGCUCUCACCAAAGGCGGAGCUCCAAGGACAAGGAAAAGCACUCCCACCACGGCCAUAGUAAACGGUCUCGCAGACGUGAGAGAAGUUCAAAUGGUGAGGAUCACUAUACUGAUUACUGAGAUGCUGAAUGCUGGCCACUAUAGGGAAACGUUUGGUUUCAGUUAACUGCAGGUUUGAGUUGUGUAUGUAUAAACUGAUGAGUCCAUGCACUCACUUGGGUAAAAAAUAUGGAUAACUUGCUUAAAAUUGUAAAAUACCGAUUUCUGAAAAUCUGAAGCUAAUACUAUAUCGCUGUUGUUCAAGUGACAUAAUGGCUUCAGCACCUAAACGGAUUGUGGAUCAAUGUGAUUUCAGAUAUCCCAUAAUAGCUAUCUAUUUUGCCAAAAACUGCUCCUGCACUAAAUUCCAAAAUCCAGCGCGCCUAAAAACAGCAUAAUUAUCAAAUCUUUUAGCUGAUUCAUGGUCAAUUUAAACAUAGAGGUAAUUCAAAAAGGAAGAAGGGGUAAAAAAUCAAAUUCAAAGACCAAAUUAAAUGAGGGAAUUAUUCAAACCUUCACUUGUUAGGAAGUUUGUUCUACUAUUGAUUGAGAUCAAGCUCUCUGCAAAUGCUUCCACUGUAUAAUCUGUUAAAUCUUCUUGAAAACCAUCAAUCACAUAAUCUUUAUAUGUUCCAUCAAAAAGUACAAAUUUCUCGUCUAAAACUGACAAAAUAAAAUGACUGGCCUUGAGGGAACACAAUGGCUGCAAUACAGGAACUGAAUUGGCUGAUGACAAUUUUCACACAUUCUGUCAAUGGAAUUAAACAAAGACAGUCUCCUAUGACUCUAAUUGAAUGGGAUGAAGAUAGAGAAUGAUCAUCAAAAUCAUUUUCAUUGGGCAAGGCUAAAAUCAUCUUUAUACGGAUUGAAACUAAUUCUUCGAAUGUGUCGAGUUUGGAAAAUUUUGAACUAUGGUUGGCUUGAUCUCAAAUUUCGGAUACGUAGGCAGUCGAAACGAUACAACCAUUCUGGAUCCUUAUUGAAGGAUUAUAUUUGGGACGAUGGUUCGUUGGUAGUCCAAAUCUUCGCCGAGGUGGAGAAUUGUUGAAAAAUCAAAAAAAAAAUUUAACAUGCAUGAUCUUCUAGCCGCAAUGUUGGAAGCAUUAAUGAAGCAUGUGGAUGGAAUUAUGGAAAUUGAAACCAAAUGAGUUGGUGAAGCAUGUGACAAUUUGACAAAUUCACAACAACUUUGACAAUUUGGCAAAUUGUUGGUGAGCACCGAAUUUGUAACAAUGCAAAAUACUUCCUAUAAAUAGAGGGAGUUUUUCAUUUGUUUAGCAUCCUAAAUUUGUCAAGCUUAUAAUUUUCUAAGAUUUUGAGAGAAGUGUGUCUGUGGAAUUUAUAUUUCCUACAGAGUGUGAGAGUAUUGGGUAUAUUUGUGUUUCUAGGAAGUGAAAUUCGUUACUCAAAUAUUGUACUCUAAUAAUUGUUAGUAAUAUAAUUAUUUUUCUCUUACUCUUGUAGACGUAGGCAUAUUGCCGAGCCACGUAAAUUUUGUGUCAUUUAUUUUUCUGUAAUUAUUUGGUGCACUUGAUUCCGCAUUCCGCGCACAACACGUGCAAAAACCAAAGUGGAUAUUUCUUUUGAGUGUGAUUGCCCAAGAAUUUUGUUAAAAAUAUUGAAAUUUGGUUUCAAAAAUUUUCCAAGUAUAGUCCUUCAAGAAAAGUCAUGCAUACCUACUAUAUUCUCUCUGUAAGAUUGAGAAAUUCACAAAAGCUUGAAGUCAUCGAUUGACUGAGCAUAACCAGAGCCAUGUACUGUUGUAUCUAUUUUGUUGAAAAGGUUCAUAGUCUUUUGGUAUUAUUCUCUUGACCUCUGCGGUGCAACAAUUGUAUAUAAAGAAAGCUUUUGUUUGAGUUUCAACUUCAAUGGAUAAGCACAACAAACCAUUACAAGAACAGUGGAUCCAAACGGAAUCACAAUAGCCUUUUCCAAUUGGGAAAUUAAUAAGCCGAUCGGCCAUAAUAAUUUUGCUGUCCAGGUCUUUACAGAGAAGAGAGUUUCUUACUAAACCGUUGUGAAUACCAGCAAGAACCAGUGUUUGUCUUUGUUGGUUUUGAGCUCGGUGCAACUUGAGAAACCAGGUAUUGGUUAUCAAAGCCAUGAAUGACUCCGAUAAACAUUUGAAUCUGUAUAAAGACUUGGUUUGCAGUUUUGCAAAUAUGUCAACAAUGAUAUCCAGGGGAAGAGUCGCCUUUGCUUCUUCUGCAAGUUAAGCAAAUACCCUAGGUUUUAAUUUGUCUUCACAUAUUCGCAGCUUGCCAACUUCAGACUUAAUGCUGGCUCAAUUCUCUACCCAGACCACACCCGUGUGAGCCAGGCUGAAUUGAUACUAUUUAUGAAUCUUCAAUUAAUGAACUUUUUGUACUUUAAGAAUAAAUCUUUGUUAAAAUGAGAUGUCUUUAAAUAGCUUGAACCUUCAAGGUCAAAGUGGAAGAAAGAAAACAUAUUAUUUAUUUAUUAAUUACUAUCCUCGUGCUUAUUGUAUAAAACUAAUUAAUAUUAUUCUUUCUUCAAAAUUAUGAGAUUUCUACGAGUAGCCACGCAAACAUGAGAUACCAUACUACACGUAGCCACUGAAAAGUUCCACGCAAACAUGAUUUAGUUGACGGUAAAAGGGUGCAGUUACCUCCACAAAUUAAUUAUGGCAGGCUUCUCCUUCAUCAAGAAGUAGCCCGCAGCAUUUUUCAGAGACGAAUCGCUUAUUAUAAUAAAUGCUUGCUUUGAUUUCUUCACCACAUUUUGGUAGUAAAUUUGUAUAAAUACAAAUAUGUAUUCUCUUACAGAAAACAAAACAAUAAUAAAAAGAUCUUUGCUUUGAUUUUGUUUUUGGUGAAACAAAACAAAACAAUAUAUUUGAUUUCUUCACCACAUUUUCGCUUAUUAUAGAUCUUUGCUCCACAUUGCUCUAGAAAAUCAUGAGUUUCUUGAGGUAGUGGAGGUAAAGAAACAACAUCUUCAGCUACAACAAUCAUUGAGGAGGAGAGCACGGCCAUUAUUCCACUGACAAGCAAAAUGGCAAUCUUCAUAAAGGAUUGAAUCUCAAGGUUUGCCAUAUUACUUGUAUAUGCUUUUUUUUUUUCCAAUCUCUAGUGUGUUUUUGGGUUGGUAAUUUUUAUGAAUGAAGUUGAAAGUUCAAAUGAGGCUCAUCGAUUUAUUGGAAGAGAAAUGAAGGUUUUAAGAUUUUAAAUAACGCGUUAUGGGAACGUAUGUUUUAUUUGAAGUUCAUUUAAUUGAAUUUAAUGAACAAAGCUCCCAACGCUUCACAUGUAGUCUACUCCAUAUUUAUGAUCAAGCACACUUCUAUCUCUAGUAGUUUUUUUAAUUAUUCUGCUUUCCAUCCUGGACAAAAUGGACCAAGCCCUCCUGCUAGCUAUUCUAAUUGUCCGAAUUUAUUCACAAAGGAUAACAAAAUGAUGUGUGCUUAGAUUGACUGAUUGAACUAUUUAAGCAAACAGACCUAACAAGAACAAAACAGAGGAUUUUCACGUUUAGCAUGAAAUGUACAUUCACAGGAGCAACAAAUCGGAGAUGGCUCUACUUCAAUCUGGUAACUGUAGAAGAUUGCUGAUACAAAGCUGACCUUCGUGAUUACUGCUUCAGCGAUUCAGUGACCAAAUCCCAAUUUCCAUUGUUGUUUAAGACUCGAAAUGAACAUAAAAAAUACAAAUCUGAAUCACAAAGCUUUCGGUAAGUGUAACACACAAACACACGAGGUUGAGAUAAAAGCAUAAGAAAGUAAUGAAAUAGAAAUUAAUUAGAGUGUCGGACUCACAGAAGAAAAUAGGAUAUGAGGAAAGAUGGAACGUUGAUUUGGUCUCUGCAAAUUCUCUUACUACUUGAUUCCAGUUGCUU